AAUCUUCAAUCUAUUCCACUGUUGUCCAGGGAAGUAGAAUUACUGGCUUCAAUGUACUCCACUGUAACCACAGGGAGGUAAAAUCUGCCAUUUUUUAUCUGUUCCACUACUGCUUGGGGAGACAAGAUCUGAAAUCUUCAAUCUAUUCCACUACUGUCCAUGGAAGUAGAAUUACUGGCUUCAAUGUACUCCACUGUAACCACGAGGAGGUAAAAUCCGCCAUCUUUGAUCGUUCUACUACUGCUUAGCGAGACAAUAUAUGAAAUCUUCAAUCUAUUCCACUGCUGCCCAGGGAAGUAGAAUUAUUGGCUUCAAUGUACACCACUGUAACCACAGGGAGGUAAAAUCUGCCGUCUUCGAUCUACUUCGCUAUCUAUGCAGGAAGGCAAGAUCUAAAAUCUUCAGUCUAUUCCACUGCUGCCCAGGGAGAUAGAAUUACUGGCUUCAAUAUACUCCACUGCAACCUCAAGGAGGUAAAAUCUGCCAUCUUUGAUCUGCUCCACUACUGUUUAGGGAGGCAAGAUCUGAAAUCUUCAAUCUAUUCCGCUGCUGCCCAGGGAAGUAGAAUUACUGGCUUCAAUGUACUCCACUGUAACUUCAGGGAGGUAAAAUCCGCCAUCUUCGAUCUGCUCCACUACUGCUUAGGGAGGCAAGAUUUGAAAUCUUCAAUCUAUUCCGCUGCUGCCCAGGGAAGUAGAAUUACUUGCUUCAAUGUACUUCACUGCAACUUCAGGGAGGUAAAAUCCGCCAUCUUCGAUCUGCUCCACUACUGCUUAGGGAGGCAAGAUCUGAAAUCUUCAAUCUAUUCCGCUGCUGCCCAGGGAAGUAGAAUUACUGGCUUCAAUGUACUCCACUGUAACCACAAGGAGGUAAAAUUCACCAUCUUUGAUCUGCUCUACUACUGCUUGGGGAGACAAGAUCUGAAAUCUUCAAGCUGCUCCACUGCAACCGAGGGAGGCGAGGUUGGUGUCCUCAAUCUGCUUCACUGUCGAUGCAGGAAGGCAAGAUUUGCUAGCAUCACUGAUCUGCUCUCUGGGGAACAUGACCUGUAUAGUUCACUUUAUGAACCUAAUUAUGCCUAGUGAUUAGGAUUUCAUGAUCAGAAUGAAUCAAAUGCUCCUAACUAGACAUGUAUGAAUGACAUUUGAAUGAAUGCAUAAUGUCAUGAAAAUGAUAUUUUAACGUUUGAGUUAUCAUUACUCCAAGUUUAUUAAGGUCUUAUCGCUUAAUGUACUAUAGCGCCUUUAUGCUCGGCUGACGAACCCAAUAAGCACUUGACCAGAUUGCCCCCCACUGUAAACCUCCAAGUUUGAUCCACUGGGACGCAAAAUUUGUACCAUCUUUUCCCGUUGUAACCCAAGAGUAAAAGAUUUGGCCUUUUCUCAAUCCUCUGUUAUCACAAUUCAAGGAUGCAGGAUGUGAAACUUUUUGGUCUCUUACACCAUUCCCAGGGUGUUGUACCAAAUGCUCAUGCACAAAUGAAGAAAAUUCUUCUCCAAGAACAACUUCUUCUUAUUAUUCAGUGAUCAUUGCUUGCUUAUUCAUUUAAGUUUUGUCACCAACACAACAUCUUGCCAUUUUGUUCAAUUAAUACUUUAGACAAGAAAAUUCAAAGGGAUAGUCUUUAAUUUAGACUCUUCUUUAUCAGAUUUCCAACCUGGUGCGUUCUAAACAAUAGUCUUGUUUGAGGUUCCUAUAUUAUUCAGAAACUUCUAGAGUAAUAUGCAAAACUUCCCUUGUGAAAGUUUUAUUAGCCCAUUAAUCAUUAUUCUAAUGCAACAUGCUUGCAAAAAAAGAUCAUGGAUAAGAAUAAAGUUGGUUCUGAGCAUAGCUUGAAAUGAAUAAGCUAUCAAAGAUAAUAAAGAUGGGUAACGAAGAAAUUAAUUUAGGAAUGCAUAACUUGGAAAUGAAUGAAGUGUUCCAAGAAUAACAAAAAUAGUAUAAGGAUUAGGUGCCCCAGAUAUCGCAGCUUGAACUUUGCUGUAUAGACUUUCUGAAGACUAUUCUGAGUUUAACAUGUGUUUAGGAGAUCUACAGUACUUUAUCGAUGCCCCAAAAUGUCACCUACUCUUUUUUGUUGAUUCAGGUAUAGCAAGACCACUGCAUGCCCCAUGCUGAUCAGUAUUUGAGCUACUUCGAUAAUCUCAUACCCCAUUCUGAUCAAUAUUUGAGCCGCCAUUUUCGGGUUUUCAACUCAAAUCCCCUUUGCUCUAAGGCGCCCUUUGCGGGUUUUCACCUUAGCCUCUCUAUUUUUUUCAUUUUCAUCUUUUCAUUUUUUUUACAUCACUUUUUUUUUGGACUCAAAAUUCCCUUUGCGGGUUUUUAUAUUGGUCCUCUCCUUCUUUAAGAGGAGUAUUUCCUGGCUGAAUCUGAGUUUACAGGACUUUACCGGUUUAUCGUUCAUCUCGCUCAAAAUCAAAGCUCAUUUGGAAAAGACCAUCUCUAUAUCAUAAGGUUCUUCCCAAUUUGACAUCCGUUAUAUUUUUUGUAGAGUGAGGAUCUUUUUCAGCAUUACGUCACCACCGUGGAAUUCUCUGGGACAAAUCUUUUGCUAUUGGCUCGCAUCAUUCAUUUCUUGGUACAUCUGACCAUGAUGAAUAGUUUCUAGCCUUUUUCUUCAAGUAGAUUCAACUAAUCGUAUCGGGAUUGGAUCUUCAUCCUACUUCAGCUCAGUCAAAACCCGAAGAGAAAGAAUUUCAACUUCAAUGAAAAAAAUUGUGAUAAACUGAAAAGAGUGGCAUUGCCCCAGUAGAGUUUUCACUGCACCAUUCAUGAUAUUCACCUUGAACAUACUGCAAAUUUCUGAUAUCGUGCUGUUGUUCAGAUUGCCAUAACAGCGCUUAAACCGGGCACAUCCUGGUAUAACCAUGCGAAGGCAUCUUUGAAUGCUUGAAGUAACUCAGCAACGUCUUGCUUUGUUUUUUCGAUCGUGCAUGUUCCCUCAAGGUCACAGUUUUUAUUGUCUCCUCAUGAGGUAAAAUUUCCUUCCUGUUCUACCAUCCUUAAUAAGUCCAGAAAUAAGCUACAAUCCAUGUCAUCUUCAAAGUUGUGAGAUCCCUCUAAACACAUGUCUCACUCAAAAGGAGAUUUUGGGUCUGUUGCAGCAUCACUCAUGUCAUUGAUAUUUGGGGACCCAUAGUGGGUACCGAAGAAUAUACAAAAGAAUGUAUGAGUAAUAUGAAUAAAUGAAUGAAUAAUUUGGCAGAAAAAAUUUGAAAGAAUGGAAAAAAACGUAAAGAAUGAAAGAACAUUUGCUCAAAGAUGAUUGCAAUAAUGUAUUUCAUUAAAAUAAUAAUGUUUAGACGUGAGCCUAUCUCACAAAGAAAUUCUUAUUGCUUCUAGGCUGAAAGCAACAAGUGCGUUCUGAACAUUACUCUAACAGACUCUGAAUACUACAAGGUUUCCUCUGCAGUCCAACUAUUUAGAACAUUCCCAGGUUUAUAAAGGGCGAACAUCUAACAAGAUCUCUUCUCCAGUUGUUUCUUCGUGUUCGGCACUGAUGUGAACAUUUCCCAACAUUUCUUCAUUCAUCGCAGUCCCUUCAUUAUCCGUAUGAUUGAGUAGCGGGUUUUCUGUACUGAAUGAAUCCUCAAAUUUGACAAUGCCCAUAUUGAUAAACCUUUCGACUAGCUUUCUAAAGGCAGUGCAAUUUUCUAUAGAAUGCCCCGUAAUUCCCGCAUGAUAGUCACAUUGUGCAUUUGUGUCGUACCAUUUGGGGUACAGAGGUUGUAAAGGCUUCAAGUAGAAAGGGGAGACAACAUGUGCGUCAAAUAAACUUUGAUACAGCUCCUGGUACGACAUUGGGAUUGGUGUAAAUUGAGACUUCCUAAUAUUUUGCUUUGUGCCAGAUUCUUGUCUUGGGGGGAUCUGAUGGCCAAUAGUAACCGUCUUUGGCUGGUUUGCGGUAAUCGGCUUUGAAUAACUCUCGUUAUACCUACCCACAUUAUUCACCUCAUUUUUCCUCUUCCUCGAGACUUUUGAAGUAUUGUCUUGGGAGUUCCACUCUUGCCCAUUCCAUUUGCAACGAUAUUCAAAUUGUUUUGAAAACUCUACUUUCGCAUGUUUUGUUUCUGCUAGAUCAUCGAGGACAACAGGAUUAGUUAGAUUGCCCUUAAGAUUGGAACCUGAGCCUGUCGCGAAAUUCACGGGUGUCGAGGUAUUGGUCUAGUACUGUGGUCGAAUGUUAACAAUUACCCUUUGUGGAUAUGUGUUUGGUUGUGCUUGGAUGUUUGUUGAGGUAAAGUCUAGAAGAUAUGCAGGGCCUUCAUUAUCAUUCCCAAAGUGGACCACUGGGUUUUUUCCUUUUCCUAACCUCAUAUCCAAUAACUGGGUUAGCUGGCUCAUCAAAUUUCUUUAGAUAUCUAGCAUCUAAUCCUUUAUAUCUUGUUGAAAUUUGGCCAAUUGCUCUAGCAUCUGUAUUUGCAUCAGCUCUAAUCUCUCCAACCUUUGGUCCAUUCUUUUAGUUUCUGUUCGGGUACCGCAGGAAUGUUGGUUUUUAGCUGAAAUAAAUUUACUCAAUUAGGGUCUUUUAAUGGUCCUUAAUGCACGUAAUGUUGUGUAAUGCAAAUGCAUGAAGUGAAUGCGAAAAGAGACGUUGAUUUUUGGUUCAAUUCUAUUAGAACAACUUUACUAAAAAACAAAUCUCUUUACAUAAAGCAGAUAUAUGUACGAUUUUGCCCUUAUAGGCGGAGUCAUUCGAUCCUCUUCUUCAUUCAAGCAUUAAGAUAAAUCUCACGAACUCUUCAAAAGGGAUGUCUCUUCUAUCUCCUUUUUACUUGAUCCGGGCCGUGACUCGUUGCUCCUUUAUCAUCGUGAUGCUCGUUGCCUUCCCUUUAAAAAAAAUUUCAGCGGCUCUCGAAUAAUCUUCGUCAGCUUGAGUCUUCGGGUAACGGAGCAAUGGUUGUGUAGUCCUCCAUUAAACUAUUAUCUUUCUCUUGUUGUGUUUUUUCGGAACAUAUUCGGGCAACCGUAUUAUUUUCCACUUUAUCAAGAAACCCAUUUCCUUAUGACAAGUUCUCUAUUUAACAACCGAACGUGAAUCAACACCUCUUUUUAUGAUGAAAAUGCAAUGCAAUCAUGAUGUCAUGCAAUCAAAACAAAAUAAACCCAAGUCAGCAUCACACCAAAAAGAUAUAAUCCAAUACAAACAUGAAAUAACAAGAGCAUUUAUUCAGGAAUCCCUUAGGGUUUGGUAUAGCUCUACCUAGGGCAAGUUCCUAAAGUUCACUAUAUGAGACUUAGUUUCUAGAGUAAAGGUACCCGAACCAGUAGAUUCCUCGAUCCUCACCCAUUAUAGGCUCAUGUGGAUCGAGUUCAGUUCAGGGGGACACAUUUCCCUAUGGCUGUACGGAGAUGAAAAUCUCACGAAGACAUAGGUACGGAUGUAUCCCGGAAGUGGUCCACUACCCUGCACGGAAGUGAAAACCUCACGAAGGACUAGUUUCUUGCUCCCACUUAAAGGGUAAAAUGCAAAAUGCAAAUGCAAAGUUGCCAACAAACCAAAAACUCAAUGAAUACGACGGGAACUCAUGAAUUUUUUUAAAAAACUUUUGAUUUUCGACACAAAGACAAAUAUAAUCAGUCUAUGGCUCGACUCUCGAAGUCCCCAGUGGAGUCGCCAAGCUGUCGAAACCGUUUUUUUGAAAACAAAAAUUUAAGUUGUCGACUUUAAAAACAAAACUGGAGUCGCCACCGAUCAUUUAUUAAGGUGUGAUCAGCUCACCUUAAAAAUUAUGUUGGUCUACGAAUUUUGAGAAAAUGAGUUCGGAAGUCAGUUACGCACGAGGAAGGGUUAGCACCCUCGUAACGCCCAAAAUCGGUACCAAAUUGAUCAUUUAAUGUCUUAGUGUUGAAGGUUAAAAAGAUUUUAAAAUCAGCUCAAAUGAUGGAAUUUGAAAAAGAAUAAUCAACUGUUCAAGUCAUGUAAAGAAAUCGAGUCCUAAUACGUUAGGGUACAAUUCCUUAUAAUCCCCGAACUUUGAAUAUCACUUUUGUUUUAUGCGAAAAUUUUCAUUUCGAGAAAGUAACAGGCCACACCCAAUACGUUAGGGCACGACAAGUUAAGUUCCCAAAAAUGAUUUUUAUGCUCAUGCACUUUGAAUAAAGAAUAUUCUCGGUCAUUUAAGAUUGACAAAGAAAAUCAGAACCCAAUACAUUAGGGCUCAAUUUCCCUCGAAAAUCCCAAACUUCGAAUAUUGCUUUUAUUAAAAAAAACCGUUGAAUCAAGAAAAUAACAUUGAUGUAUAGUUAAAACCAAAAUGUAUUUUCUAAAAGGGUAUGUUAAAGUUAAUGUACAAUAUGAAACAAAAAUUUUAAUGUAAAACAUAUAUGAGUAUGUAUUUACAAAAUAUAUAUACAUGUACAAUAUACAAGCAAAUUCGAAAACACGAGUGGGCACAUACUUAGCACACAAAUAUAAGUGUACAUAUGAAAAGAGUAAGUGAAGAAAUAUAUACAACAAACUUAUAUAUAUUUACAAAGGCAAGAAAAAUGAAAUGUGUACAUAUUUACAAAGGCAAGAAAAAUGAAAUGUAUAAGUAUAUAUACAUAGGCCAAUCGUGAAAAUUCGCAUAUGUAUAUAUUCAAAUACAUAUAUAUAUGUACAAUAUGUAUAUAAAAUAAUGGGAUACAUGAACUAAAAAAUAUUUAUAAUAAUUUAAAAAUGAAAAGUGUAUGUAAAAAAUUUUUUUUAAAAAAUGUAUGUAUGUAUAUUUAUAUGUAUAAAAAACUAUGAAAACAAAGUAAUAAUACAAUGUGCAUACAAUAGAUAUAUAUAUAUAAUAUUAAAGUAUAUACGUAUUAACAUGCACAUGCGCAUAUAAGCAUAAUAAUAUAUAAUAUUAUAGUAAAAUAAUUUUAAAAAAUACUAAUAAUAUAAAUAACAUAAACAAAAAAAAUCUAAAUACAAGAUUAAAGGUUAAAUUGCGAAUAAGCAAAAUUUAAAUGCUGAUUUCAAAAAAAAUAAAAAGCAAGGGGGGAGCAAAUUCAAAAGCACGCAAUAGGAGGAGGACCGAUCGAGCAAUUUUACCCAGUUCCCAAGACGCUGCGUAGCGAGGGACUAAAUUGAAACGAAAAUCAAAUACGCAGCCCAAUUUAAAAAAUGUAAAAUGGGUCUAAUUGGGGUGCGCUGUAAAAGGGAGGGACCGUCUGCGCAAUUUCCCCUUUAAAGCCCAACGCGCGGAUCCUCCGGGUCGGGUCAGGUCAACACGCGGAUCUUUCCCCCCAAAACGACGCCGUUUUGAAAUAUUAUUUAAAAUGAAUUUUCCCCUUUCAAAAUUAGUUUCCACCGAAAGGGGAAAGAAAAAAACAAAGGCCCCCUGCUUUGCUCUGCUAGGGUUUGGGACUCUAGCGUCAUCGCGCAGCCUUUCGCCGGUGACCGUGCUCCGAUCAAGACGGAGAGGGCCCCCAGUCGGCGUCUUCGACGAAAGAGGUGAGAUUUUCGCAUUUUUGUAUUAUUUAUUUUAAAAAAGAAAAAAAAUGAAUAACGAAAGGAAAAAAAAAUAGGAAUCUGAUUUCACCUUUGAAAAAAAAUCUUUGUAUUUCUCAGUAUUUUUCUCUAUUUUCCCUAUUUCUCCGUUAUCCCCUUUUACAGUGCUUGAAAUCGGCCUUUUAUAGCCGAAAUGGAAAAGAAAAGAAGAAAAAAAAUCAAAAGGAAUCUAUUCUGUUAUUUGUUGGCAUAUUGCUACCCGAUUUUUGCUAUUCUGUUCUGCUUUCUCUUCUUUGCUGUGUUGUUUAUUGUUUGUUGUUGCAGGUACAACGUGGCAUGAAACAGCGCACGCUGGGAGGGUCAUGGUGCGAGAUUCGCGGCGGCGUGCGAGGACGAGUGGCGGCGGCGUUGAAGCAAAUAGGCUCCAAGGGUUUCUAUUUUGCUUUGGGCUAUGCUGGAAUUGGGCUGAAUUUUUGGGUUUAGUCUGUAGAUGGGUAAUUGGGCCUGCUGUGUUUUUAUUUUGUAUAGGCCAGGGCAGAAAAAUUGGGUAUUACACCUCUGUAAAAUAUUCUCCUUCCUUUUGCUUGUAUCCUUUUGCAACCAGUCUUGCCUUGUACUUGUUGAUAGAGCCAUUCGGAUUCAUCUUUGUCUUUUACACCCAUUUGACUCCAAUUGAAUUCUUGUGCGGCGGCAAAUCUGUAAGCUCCCAUGUAUCAUUCAAUUGAGCAAAUCUCUUCUUUCAUGCUUUCCUCCAUAUUUCUUCUUGAUAUGCAUCAUCAAAAGAAAUCGGAUCUUCUCCUACAAAGAAGGCAAAGAAUACAACAUCAUUUUACACAACUUCAUCAGUUACAUCAUAUAACUCUUGGAUGCUUCUCAUUUUUCGGAUCGGGCUGGAUGAAGAAGAAUUUGAUGAAGAACUUGGAGAAGUAGGAAGAUUUCCUACUUGAGCAUCAUCUUCAACAUUCUCAAUUACUGCCUCUUCUUCUUCUUCUUCAAGUUCAAAAGGAAAAAUUGGCAAAUUUUUCUUUUAAACUUCCAUAUAUUCAAACAUAGAAUUUUCAUCAAACCGAACAUCUCGGUUUAUCACAAUCUUUUUUGUCACCGGAUUUUACAACUUGUAUGCCUUACUUCUUUCACUAUAGCCAAUGAAAAUGCAUUUCUCUGACUUUUCAUCCAACUUGCUUCUCAUUGCAUCUGGAAUAUGAAAGUAAGCAACACUCCCAAAUACUCUAAGAUGUCGAACACUAGGCUUUGUACCAUACCAAGCCUCAUGUGGUGUGCAAUUCUCUAAGCUUCUUGUCGGCGAUCUAUUGAUAAGAUAAAUUGCACAGAAAACAGCUUCAGCCCAAAAUCUUCUUGAUAACCUCUUCUUCUUAAGAAGACAUCUAGCCAUUUCCAUAAUUGUUCUAUUCUUUCUUUCACACACACCAUUUUGCUGAGGUGUAUGGCGGAAUGCCAUUUCAUGCCGGAUGCCACUAUCUCGGCAAUAUUUCUCAAAUUCUUUUAAAAAAUAUUCACUUCCACGAUCUGUCCGUAAGGUGUUAAUUUUCAGCCCAGUAAAGUUCUCCACUUCUGCCUUGAAAUCUUUGAAUCUCUGAAAAGCCUCUGAUUUUUCUUUUACACAAUACACCCAUAACUUUCUUGAGUAAUCAUCAAUGAAAGAGAUAAAGUAAUGAUUACCUCCCAAAGAUGAAACUGUCAUUGGACCACAGAGAUCCGAGUGAAUAAGUUGCAAUGGUCUUCUUGCUUUCCACGAGGGUUGAGAAGGAAAAGUAAUUUUGUGUUGCUUUCCAAGUUGACAUGCUUCACAAAUAUCAUCAAGCCGAUUGAUUUUUGGUAAACCUCUGACCAUCAUCUUCCUUGAAAGCAUCUCUAAAUUUCCAUAGUUCAAAUGUCCAUAUCUAUCAUGCCAUAACUUUGAAACUCCUUUAUGAGCACCAAUAAAACAAGACAUAUUCUGAUUUUGAAUGGUGAGAGAGAAAAGAUUAUUUGAUGCCACUCCAACUCUAGCAACAACCUGAUUUUUCCUUGAUAAAUAGCAAGCCAUGUCACGAAAAUGAAUAUCAUACCCCUUCUUCAAAAGAUGCCCAACGCUAAGUAGAUUAUUUUUAAGACCAGGAACAAAAUAAACUUCAGACAUUUUCUCUACCCUUCAUUGCUUUGUUUUGAACUCCAACUCACCAACACCGCUAACUUUGUAAGCCUUGCCAUCUCCUACUUUUACUUCUCCAUAAUCAGAUUCAAAGAACUUUGAAAAUAAAUUUUUGUUACCUGUCAUAUGCUUGCUAGCACCACUGUCUAUGUACCAGACAUCAUCAAUCUCUCCACCAUGAGACACGAGCAACAAAGUUUCUUACUUUUUCUCUUGAUUAUUUUGUACUAUAUUAGCUUCAUUUUUCUCUUCUUUCUUGUACCAGCAUUCACUUGCCAAAUGACCAGGUUUGCGAUAAUGAUAACAUUCAAAAUAGCCACGAUCUCUUCCUCUUUGAUUGCCACGUCCACGUCCUCUUUGUGAUCCUCUAAAAUUCUGACUUUGGUUGGCUUCUUUCCAUCCAUUCUCCUUGCAUCUUCACCUCUUCCACGAGUAUUUGAGCCUCUUCCUCUAAAAUUUCUUCCUCUUCCACGACCACGAUCUCUCCCUCUUUGAUUUUUAAAAUCUCCCUUCUUCUCAUUUAGAGACAACUUUGACUGGAGUGCUUGAUCUAGAUCUACUUCCUUCUUCUUCUUGUUUAAUCUUUCUUCAUGGGCUUGCAACGAACAUGUGAGUUCAUCAAUAGUCAUGGUACUCAAGUCCUUUGAUUCUUCAAUGGCUACCACAAUGUAGUCAAAUCUGGAAUCCAAAGAACGGAGGAUUUUCUCAACACCACGAAUAUCAUCCAUAAUUUCACCAUUUCUUUUUAAUUGGUUGACUAUAGAAAAAACCCGUGAACAGUAAUCAGAAACUAAUUCUGACUCUAUUUUUUGCAAUCUUUCAAACUCCCCUCGAAGAGUUUGCAACCGAACUCUUUUCACCUUUUCAUCUCAUUUGAAAGAAUUUUGUAAAAUCUCUCAUGCUUGUUUUGUCGUGGUGGCACAAGCUAUUUUUUCCCAUGCCGCUUCAUAUGAUUGAACUCCUUGAUAUAUCCAAAAUAAGGCUUGUUGAUUUUUCUUCCUUGAUUUUCUUAAACUAUCUUUUUGAACUUGUGAUAAUCCUUCCUCCUCUUCAGCCUCAACUUCAUUAUAACAUUUUUCAACAAUCUCUCAAACUUCUAGAGAUCCAAGAAGAGCCUUCAUUUUGAUACUUCAUUUGCCAUAAUUUUUUUUGGUUAAUUGGGGAAUGGAAGAGAGAGGAAUAGAAUUAUUUAUUUCGAUCGAACAAGGCUCUGAUACCAAUUUGUAGAAGAUUGAUUAAAAUUUGGAGAAAUAAAACAAAGAAAAUGAUAAAGAAUAUAAUGGAGAAGAGAAAUAAAUUUUGUAUGGAAGAAAUAAAAUUCUUUCUAAUAAACUUGUUUUAUUUCAAUCACACAAAAAAUCUUCAUCACAUACAACUCUUUAUAUAGGAGUUGUAAGUGACUAUUCAUCUAUAUCACUAAAUGCUAGGAGUUGUGGCUAUUCAUGCAUGUGUGUAACUUUUCAUAUUCAAGUCUCUUCACUCUUCAUAUUCAAGUCUCUUCACUCUUCUAACUUUUCAUAAUUUAUUUGUGCAAGAUUACUUUAAUUAUGUGCCACCAAAGAGUUGCAUGAAGGUAGAAAUGGGCACACAGUAAAAUGAAAAGCUUUUAGCGAGGUGACAAGACAGUAGCUUUAGUUGCGGGGAUGGCAAUUUCAGCCUUUAAUUUUAUUUUAUUUUGUUUUAUUUAUAAUAGUACAUAUUUAAAGCUUUUGCCGAUGGAGUCGUUUAAGUCUUAAUUACAUUGGUAUGAACAUUAUUAUCAAUGUAAGAAGAUAUAAGUUUGAAUACUCUGAAGUGCAUUAUCCUCCUAUAUAUAAUAGUACAUGGAAGUAUUUUGCAUAUUAAAAUUUCAAUUUAAAUACUCAUUUAACUCCUAAAUUUAUCAUUUUUUCUCGAUUUGGUAUUUAUGGUUUUUUUUUGUCCUGAAUUGAUUAUUUAAAUUUUUAUUCCGCCUACUAUAUUAGUACCUUUUUGUAACGGUGUUAGUUUUUAAUGACAUGACAAUUAAUUAUUAAGGUUUUUUAAAUUUUGUCUACUAUAUUAUAUUUAUUUAUUGGGUCGAGUCACCACAUCAUCAAAAACUUACGCUGUUACAGAAAAGUAACAAAAUGAUGGACGGAAAAUUAAUUUCAAUAUUAGGUUGGGACAAAAAAAAAACAUAAGUACUAACUUGAGAUAAAGUGACAAAUUCAAAGGCUAAAUGAAUAUUUAAACCUAUUUUUUAAAUAUAUUUUAUAUUUAAAAAUUAAAUCUUUUUAAUAUAAAUAUAACUAAUUAUUUUAUUAAUAAUAAUUUAAUAAAUGUAACCUAUUAUUGUAACUAAUCUAACCCAUUGAAAUUAAAUAAUACAAAAUAUUAUUAUAUUCAUUUUAUUAUUUUAUUUUAUAAAUACAUAUUUUAAUAUAAUUAUAAUUAUAAUUAUAUAUUAAUACAAAUAUUGAGAUGGUAAAAAGUUUUCAAUGGUAGAGGUACACAAUGGAUGCAUCUCCACUGACUAAGUUAUGGAGAUGUGUGAGUUUUUGCAUCGCCAACCCUAAUAAGAUAUACUUAUAUUAACUCUAUAAUGACACCAUUUCCCGUCUCUUUAGAGUUCUCGGCAUGUCAUUGUUGACCUGUUUUGUUGUAGUAUGAGGUUAAUUACUAUAGUGAGAUUAAAUAGUGUAACAGUGAGAUUAAAAUUUAUGUUAGGAUAUGUGUUUAGAUGCAAACAACGUGAGACAAAUCAUAAUGAGAAAGCAAAAUGACUAUUAAAUAUAUUAAAUUAAAUUUAUAAAAAUAUAAUUUUACUAUAUUUAAUUAAUAAAAGUAAAAGUAUUGCAUAUUGUUUGAAAAUCAUGAAAUACAAUAAAUACUAUAAAUAAUAAUAUUAAAAUUAUUAAAAUAUUGUUUGAAAAUCAUCUAAUUUUGUACAAGCAAAAGGAUAAUUUAAGUGUUAAAAAAUAAAAUAAAAAUUUAAUUAUUAAAAUAAGAAAACAAGUAUAAUUUAAAGAUAAAUAAUGUAUAAUAUUUUUUUGGUAUAAUAUAAAUUUAACUUUUAACGUUUAUAUCUUUUAUCAAUUUGAUCUUUAUUCUUUUUUUUUUAGCUAAAGUUGGCUCUCGGCCUUUUACAAAGAGUUGAAUUGUUUUUUUAACAAAAACACUACUGAAACACUCCUCAAGUAUGGUAACUCCCGUGAUAAUUCACGUGUACUUCAUUUUUUUUAAUUUAUAAAAAAAUUAAAUUUUUUUAUAAUUUUUAAAUUUUCCGUUGACAUGACAUAUAAAAUAAAUGGUAUAAUGUCAAAUUUAGCCCUCAACCUUUUUAAAAGAAUGAAAUUUGACCAUCGAUCAACCUUUCAAAAAACAAUCAAAUUGUAACGAAAAUACUGUAAGAAAGAAAUCAACCAAACCGAGAAAUUUAGACGAUUUAUGGAAUGCAAGUUCAAAAAGCGCAGUUGCCCAAAAUCGAAUCCAAUUUUUUUAUUUAAUAUAUAAUUAAUUUAAUUUUUAUGAUAUAAAAAUAUUUUAUAUUUAAAAUACUGAAAAUAAAUUUAAAAUUUUUGAAUUUUUUUUGUUUUUCAGAAAUAUCUAUAAAAAAAACUUUGAAAAUUUGUCGAAUAAUAUUCUAAAGUCAUAAAACAAAGCUCAUUUUAUCAAAAUAAGUCUAAAAAAUAAAACAAAAAUAAUAUGGAAAAACCAAUAACUGAACCAAGCCAACCGAAUUAUGAUGGAUAGUUAAAAAAAUCUAAAAAACCCUUAUUGAAUUGAAUCGUUAUCACCGCUACUUACUAAAAUGUUAAAAUGUUAAACAUAACAGCCCGCAUGGUAAUCCACAUGUAUUCCUGCUAAUUUUUUUUGAAUUUUUAUGAACUUUUUUAAAAUUUAUUUUAAAAAUAAUUUUAGAAUUUUAAAUUAUUUAUUGUCGUGUCAUAUAAGAUAAACAAUAUGAUUUCCACAUGAGAUAUACAUGGACUGUCACACAGAUUGCCAUAUUAACAUUGUCAAAGAAAAUGUUUUAAUCAGCAUUUCCAUUCAAAAUGACAAUCAAAUUUUUUUUUUGGAUCUUUUCUAUUCUUCGAAUAGGACAGAUAAUGAAUGUUUUUUUUUAUUGUUUGAGUUAAUUUUUUUGGGAGUAAUGACGAUGAUUUACGGCGCUAAGAUUUUGAUUGAAUUUGUGUUAUGUUUGCAAGGGUUUGGAUGGAGAUUCAACAUUGCUUAUUUGUUCAUGUAAAUUGUGGUAAGUUUUUGAAUUGGCUUGGGAUGUACAAUCUUGCCUGGGGUGUUUUUAAUAUAGUUGUUCUUUUUGACACAAUGUCUAGAAUUACUCAUAGUCCUUCCCCAAUUUAUAUAAAUAGGAGGAUAAUGUGCUUUAGCGCACUCGAAUCACAUCUACCUGCAUUGGCAACAAUGUCCCAAUCGAGCUAAGACUCAAUCGACACUUAAUUUCUUUGUUUUUAGGUGAUGGUUGAUUUCAUAUUUUUGUUUCAAUUGUUGCAUCCUUUUUCUGGUUCUAAUGAAAUUUUAUUAUCUUUCAUGAGAAAAAAAGAAAAAGAAAAUAGUGCUAUGUCAAUAUAAAGUACACAUGGACUGUCACACGGGUUAUCAUGUCAAUAUCCUUAAAAAUUUAAUAGUUCAGCCAUCAUUUUUGUUAAAAAAACGACUUGACUAUUUUUGAAAUAUUAUGACCAAAUUUAACUCAAAAAUAAUAAUAAUAAUCAAAUUGACAAAAAAUACAAAUGUUAAUGACUAAAUUUAUCACUAUACUCUUUUUUUUUCUCAAAAAAAUCAAAAAAUUUAUUGAAUAAAAACAAGAAGAAGAAGAUAGUUUGAUAAGCUAGACAACUAAAAUCUAUAGAUUAUAUUAAACAUGUUCAUUGGUCAGGUUAUUUGUCCAAAUCCAUCAAAUCACCCGAUUUUACAUAGUAGAGGAUGUCAACCAUUCAUCAAUGUUAAUAAAUUAUUCUUUCAACUGAGAUCACUCAGUUCGUUCAUUUUAAUUCUAGUCUCAUCCUUCUAAAAAAAUAAUAAGAAAUUGAUUGCCUAAAGUUUUCUUAAACACCAUCGAUCCUAAAAUUUUCAUGAAUUCUAUUAAUCUCGUAGAACCACUAGUAGUGCACACUAUUCAUUUGUCAACUUUUUAACAAUUUCUACUAAUUAACUAACUCAACCGUAACUACUUAAUUAGAAUAAAUUUGAAAAAAAACCCACACAUUUAUAUAGAGCGUGACUCAAACUUAGAUCUUAAAGUUUUGAGUACCUCAACCUUACCAUCGGGCAAAAGACUCAUUGGAAAUUUUGUUAUUUUUAUUUUUAGAAAUUUAGUUCUUUUAUUUUUUUUUCAAAUUUUUAAAUAUUUAGAACUAUUAAAUUAUUCUAUUGAAUUCAAGUGUAUUAUAACAAAAUUUUAAUACUUUUGUAAUUGGGUUGGUGUGGAGAUUAACUCAUUUAGAGGUUUUAUAAUAACUAAAAUUAAUAGAACUCACUUUAUGAUGCGAAAAUAACAAUUUUUAAUAGUAAUAUUCUUAAAAUAAUAUUUAUUAUUUUAUAAAAUAAAAUACUCUUAAAAUAAUAUUUAUUGUCUUAUAAAAUAAUAAAAUUUUGGUAUUUUUACAAUUGAGCUGGGAAUAGACCUGAUCAUGGAUCAGGCUAGGUCGAGCCGAUGUAAAAAUUUAGGCCCAUUUUCUAGGCUCAAGUCUAACCUAGAAAAUAGGCCUAAAAUUCUGCCCAAGCCAAUUUAAAAAUUGUAACACCCCCUAACCUCAAACCGUCACCGAAACAGGAUUAUGAAGCAUUUCCAAACAUAUCUAAUAACUUAUAACUAUUCACAAAUAAAUAACAGACAUAGCAUACUUUAAUCAUUUUCAUUUCAUAUUUGUAUAAAUUAUGUCAUUUUAGUUCCAUUUCAUACUUAUAACUAAUUUAAACAUCAUUCUACAACCGUAAUCACAAAACUCUUAUACUUAACCUAUACAUCACCUAGGUACAUGCCACAUUAUCAAAACAAAGGUACGUCACUAAAAUUUCUCUGAGGUCGGGAUUGCUCUGGAUGCUGGACCAGACACUGGCUUUCUACUAACCUGCGCACGGAAACAACCGUACGCUGAGUAUAGGUAUACUCAAUGGUACUACCAUAAUUCAAAUUAAUAACAUUAAUCGAUAAAUUAUAUACAUAUAAUUUAUGUCUACAAUUAUUCAUUAAUUAUCUCAUACUUUAAAUCAACUUGAUAAUUAAUAACAAUAAAUAAUAUUUCAAAUCUUGUAUUUAAUUGUAUUCAUACCUUAUUUCAAUAUCUCAAUUCCAUUAAAUUUUUCACAUCUCAUUCCAAUAGUUCAUUUCAAUUCAUAUACAAUUCAUUCUACUUAUCACUAUAUUCAAUAUCAAUUCUAUUGCAAUUUGUACUCACUAAUACCAUAUAACAAAAAAUUGUUCUUAAUCACAUCAUGAACUUUGGGUUUAUAUCUUCAAAUCUCAUAUCUCGAUUUCCAAUUCACAUAUCAAUUCACAAUUUCACUUUCUCAUUUCUUUUCAUAGCUCAAUCAAUCACACUUAUUCAAAAUUUUCUCAUUUUAAUUAUUUACCCCUAUUAACAAGACUCGGACAUUGACGGAUACACAGAUCCAACCAAACACACCAGAAAAUCCAACCUAACAUACCCGGAAUAAUAUAAAUCCUCCUUAACACACUAGUAUAUCAUAUCCUCCCAAACACACCAAUAAGGCAUUAGAUGCCUCUACGGAUAAACCGAAACAUAUAAUAACAGAAUCAUCUUCUCGGCCAAACUACAAAUCUCCUUAUCACAUCACAAAUCCUAUGGCAUGCCAUUUGUAUCCAAUCUAGUCCGAUAAGUUAAUAGGGUAUUAUUUUACUUUUCCAAUUUCGAAUUCAUUUCCACAACAAUUUCAAAUAUUCAAUCAAUUCAAAACAUCUAUUAUUUCAAUUCACAAACAAUUCAAUAUCAUUUAAUUCAAUAUCAAUAUUCACCUUAUUUUUAUUUAUUAAACAUAUUAUUCAAGAUUCAACAAUUGCUAUUAAUAAAUUCAAUACCAAUACGUAUUUAUCAUUCAAUUCAAUCGUGAUACUUACCUCAAUUUGCUUAUCAUAUAUAUAAAUUUAAAUUUUUAACAAUUAAUAAUUAAAUUCGAAUUAUAGUAAUAGUAACCGAAAUUUUUCUCGAAUCACUCCUUCUCCACCUUCUCAUUUCCUUUCUCGGACAAUGACUCUUGCACGACAUUAGCUACGUAAUUAAACAAUUAAAAAUCAUUAAUACACAAUUUCAUCAAAAUAUUUCCAUUUAUACCUAAACUUUACCUAAAUUCUAAUUUAAUCCCUUAUCAAUACUAAUUUUAUUGUCCCAAUCUAACUCCAUAUUCUCUCUUAAUUCUUACUAUAAACUCAUUUUAACUAUUCAUUUUCACCAUAAAUCCCUAAAUUUGAAAUUCUCUCAAUUUAGUCCCUGUUAAUUCAAAGCAUAUAAUUUAUUUUGCAAAUCAACCUUUUACUAACUUCUAACUUGAAAUUCAAUCAAUUUAACCCCUAAUUCAUCAAUUAAUUCAACAUGAACAACAUCUAAAAAUUUACUAACUUUCAAAAUUUCAACUUAAAUCAAGUAGUAUUUUGUUUUAGGAUUCCAAAAACAUCAAAAUUAUAGGAAAAUGGACUAAAUUGGCUUACCAAUCAAACCUUAAACCUUAAAAUCCCAAAUUUUCUUUCUUUCCUUCCCUUUUUCUUUUUCUUUCCUUUCUCCCCUGUUUUCGUUUUGCUAUUAUGUUUCUAUUCUCUUUUUCUAUCUUUUAUUUCAUUGUUUCUUUUUAUUAUAUAAUAUAAUAUAAUAUAAUAUAAUAUAAUAUAAUAUAAUAUAAUAUAAUAUAAUAUAAUAUAAUAUAAUAUAUAUACUUAACUUUUAAGUAAUAUUAUUAUAAUAUUAUAAUAUAUUUUAACUUUAGAUUUUUAAAUAAAAUAUUAAUUAUGCCGCCUCAACUUUAGAAAAAGGCAUAAUUUCCUAUUUGGUCCUUUUAACUUUUCUUUAAUCUAUAAUUAAACUUUUAUCUCUAUUGCAAUUUAAUCCUUUUUCAUAAUUAACCUCAAUUUAGACAAAUUCACUUAAUUAAAACCUAAUUAACUACACAACUAACUUCGUAAAUAUUUAUGAUAAAUAUUUACGAUUCCAAUUUACCGAAAUGGAGUCUCGGGAAUAUUUUUUUUUCAAUUUUAUCCUUUUUAAUCAAUUAACCAUCGAAAUGUUAAAAUUUCUUAACGAAACUUUAAUACUACCCUAAUGAUACUCCGUAAAUAUUUAUAAAAAUAUUUACGACUCAGUUUAUAAUAUCGAGGUCUCGAUACCUCGUUUUCGACCCAAUUUACCUAAUAAUUUCUUUUAAAUCACAAAAUUCACUAAUUCAAAAAUAUUUCUAAAAUCACACUUAACUUAUAAUUAUUAAUUAAUAAUUUUUUCUAAAUUUUUCAUCGAAUUUAGUGAUCUCAAAUUAUUGUUCUGACACUACUGAAAAUUGGACUGUUACAAAAAUGCUAAACUCGAACCUGACUCAGCCUGCUUGUAUUAAAAUUUUUUGAGAUUAUUAUUUUUAUAUAAAAAUAAAUUUAAAAAAUAUAAUAUAUCAAAUACACUAAAAACAUUAAAAUAAAUGUUCCCAACAAAUUGAAAAUACAUUAAAAAAAUGUUUUAUACUUAAAUAACACUAAAAUCGUUGCAAUUUAGUAAGCAAAAUACCUUUAAAAUAGUAGCAAACUUAACAAUAUUAUACAAUAUCCGAACAAAAUAAUAAUAAAAUAGUAGCAAUAUAACAACGAAAUGACAACAAAAUGGCAGCAAAACAACAGUAAAAAAGAAAAUUUAGGUUGAUUCGGGCCUAUUUUUUGUAUAAGCUCAUUUUUUGGGCCUAUAAUUUUCUCCAAGCCCUUCCACUUUUCGAGCUAGCCUUUGGGUCUGGACAGGUGAUCUAACUCAUGAUUAGGUCAUUAUAGGUUCUGAUAAACUCUUUUGGAGACAAUGCAUAUAACUACAUAUAGCCUCCCAAUCUAUAAAUAGGAAGAUAAUGCGCUUCAAUGCACUCGAACCUACAUCCUACUGUAUUGGUAACAAUGUUCAUGCCAAUCGAGGUAAGACUCAAACAAUAACAUUUGUAUUCUUAUUUUUAUGUUUUUCAAUUUUUUUGGGGUAUAGAUUAAAUUAUUGUGAUUAAAUUUAUUAAAUCAAACUCAAUUAAUCAUAUUAUAUAUAUAAUAUAGAUGUAUCAAUUUAUUGUUGCAUUUGCCAUAAAUAACAACACUAUAUUAACAAAAUUAGAUCAUUUAACUUCCAAUUUCCAAAAUUCGAAAAAUAAAUUAUUAAUAACAAUAUUCUCAUGUAUAAUAGUUUAAAAAAAUAAUAAUUGGAUGCUAUCGUCUCCUAUUUAUAUCAAAGAUCCAUUAAGCAACUAAAAAACAUUUAUCUCAAAGCACUGUUAAUUAUGAUAAUAGGAUGGGAGGAGCUUCAUGCUUCAUGGGAUUAGCCCGUUCUACAUGUACGGUCUAGUUGAGCUCCGUUUCGUUUGGUGAAACAAUGGCAACAGAAAGAAACCCUUAACUAAACCACCAUUCUUAGUUUUUCUUUUUAAAUUAUUCUAUUACUAAUCCAUCGAUUUUUGCACAAAUUGAUCAACUCUUCUUCGAUCUACUCCUCAAAUUCCUCCAAAAACUCCCAGGUUUAUUGAAUUUUUUAAUAUUUUCUUAUAUGGGUUUUUUUUUUCUUUCUUUCAAUCGUGAUUCAUUGAUUGAUUUGGCAAUUCUGGGAUUUACCCAUUUCAUAUUAUUGUGAAAUAUUGGUGGGGUUUUGAUUUUCUCCUUGUGAUCUUCUUGUUUGCAUUUAUUUGCUUUGAUGAUGAACGAAUGUUCAAAUUUAUCAUCUUUUUUUUUAUAGCCUUUUUUUCCUUUGCUGGAUUAUACUUUUCUUGUGUUGUCUGUAAUGAAUUUGGCAUUUUUCUUAUUGAUUAUGAUUAUUAUUUUUAAUAAUAAGUAUUAUUUUAUGGUAUAUGCUCAUAAUCUUUUUUCAGAAACCAAAGCUCUCGUAUUAUGCUGUAGAUAUCAUUUUUAAUAGCUUCAGCCUGCUAGCAAGGUCUGUUGAUUCGAUACUUUCAUCGUUUUAGAUUGUCUCCUUUGUGAUAAAUAGAGUUUCCCUUUCAAAGUUAACUUACGUUUUUCUUGGUUAAUUGUGGUUGUAAGCUUCAUCAUUGAUUUCUUUUGACUGUUUUCAGAUUGUUCCUUCUCAAAGGUUAGAAGAGAGUUAGCUGGUUUGCCUCUUGGCAUGCUUGAAUUAGUGAAAUGGACAGGAGUAGAGGAAUCAACGACUAUGAACCCGGACCGGUUCCUUCAGAAAGCCGUGUGGACAGAUAUGGGUUUAUAAAGCAGAAUGUUAGUAAUAGUAGUGCUGCAGAAGGCUUAGGAAAGAGUAGGUUAGUUUUCAAAUGCGAGAGGUUAUCUUUUUCUUUAAUUAUCGUCUAUCAAGCUCUGUAAGGUGAUAUGAGUGUAGCUGUCUUUAUGAUUUUAUACUUAGUGCUAACAAACAUUGAUUUUGAUUGUGUUUUAUGAUGAUUAUAAAUUUCCAGGGAAGCUAGAAGAGUUAGGAAAUGGAGGAAAAUGAUUGGGGUUGGUGGGAGUGAUUGGAAACAUUAUGUAAGGAGAAAGCCUCAUGUUGUUAAAAGGCGUAUAAGGAAAGGAAUUCCCGAUUGUUUAAGGGGUCUUGUUUGGCAGUUGAUCUCUGGAAGUCGAGACCUUUUGCUGAUGAACCCGGGGGUCUAUGAGGUACUUCUUUUUAUUUCUUGUAGGGUUUAGCAUUGUUUCGUUAACAAACUGUAUAUUAUUCUGAAUGCUAUAGCCUUCGCUUGACUUUCCUUUCCGUCUUAACAUGCAAUAUUACUUAUUUCUGCUAAGUUCUCUAACAGGAAUUGAAAAAAAAAAUGGUCUUCUUCCUGCCUCGUUAUUAAUUUUUGUUUAUCCUAUAUUUUACACUCUGUUUUCUAUCCCAAAUGCAACCUUUAGGUGCUUAAUUCUAACCUCAUGGAUACUAUUUUCUUUUGACUUGAUUCCCAACUGGAAACUUGUGUUAUUUUAUUUGCUAAAAUGCACCCAAUAACCUGAGCACUAAUGAAUUUUAGCAUUGCUUCCAAUUUGUAACAGAACUGGUUUUAAUGCCUGUGUUUGAGUUUAUUGGAACUGAUGGCAGCGGAACUUAUAAUAUAAAUUAGAAGGAAAACUUCUACCAAGUUUUUAAUAUGAUCGUAUUGGGUAUAUUUGGAAGUUCCUAUAGAAGGAUGGGUCCGAUGGGAUAAUAUAUCACAGUAUUCUGAAAUCACUGUGUGUGCCAGUAUUAUUCAUGAUUGCCUAAACCAGUUGAUCAGUUUCAUCUUAGUCUUUUAAGCAGGUUUCUCUCAAUCAUUUCAUGAGGAUGAGAUUUAAAUAUUUAAGUAGCGAUUCUAUCUAGUCCACCAAAAUAUUCUUGAUUUGAACAAUACCAUGAAUGAAAUCAUUAUGGUUGGAGCUCUAUCCCUUGUUUAACAUGCCAUUUUGUUUGAGAAAUACUCUGGUUGAAUCCAAUUUGGAUUUCAGUGGUAGAGUCGAAGUUCAACUGUCUGGACCAAACCCAUCCAGACAUCUUUCAGCACCUAGGUGGUGAACCAAAAACAGUUUCCAAGUGCUCAUUUUGGGGUUAUAAAAUUGUUGUGGUUUAAAACAAAAGGCUUGUUAAGAAGGUUUGGGAACAAGGGUAUUAUUUUUCUGCAGGGUGACUGUGAGAGCAUGGACUUCUGAAGAUCUGAGAAUAGUUUUCAGUUUCCCUGUUGUUUUUAGUAUUUUUAGUAAUGUUCUUGUUUAUUUUGAAUCAUUAUGGACACCAGCCUUGACAUUAAUAUCGUAUAACUUUAUUGAGUGAAUGUAAAAAUCAAUAUUGACAAUUCUAACUUCAUUGUGAAAUGCUUAUGAAUUGACUGUUGGCAUUAUGUUUGGUGUCAUUUAUAUAACUUUUGGGUUAAUAAAAUCAGAUUUUUGUCCUCAUAUUUAUCCUUGCUCAUUGGUCAAGGGAGCAUGAUUAAUGUAGUGUUGUUUUGAUGAUCAGGAUUUGAAUUGCUGGAAAAGUUCUUCUCUCAUUUGAUUUCUUUAGGGAGAAUGUUUUUCUUAUUUGGACUCAAACUGUUCCUUAGCUUAACGGGUUCUUUUCUUUCGUUUUUUUUUUCAGAUUUUUUUCUUUUAUAAUGAAAAUGUUCUCGUUGCACAUGUUUAUGUUGUUGCAGCAACUUGUAAUAUAUGAGACAUCUGCUUCAGAACUAGAUAUAAUCCGAGAUAUAUCCCGCACCUUUCCGACGCAUGUUUUCUUUCAGCAGAGACAUGGACCUGGUCAGAGGUCCCUUUACAAUGUUUUGAAGGCAUACUCUGUCUUCGACAGAGCUGUUGGCUAUGUCCAGGUUUGUCUCAUGUCAUUGGGGAGCCUCAUAUUAAUAUAUGUCUAGGUUAAUUCUGCUCUCGGUUUUUGUUGAAAAUGCAGGGAAUGGGAUUUUUAGCAGGUCUUUUACUUCUUUAUAUGAGUGAAGAGGAUGCAUUUUGGUUAUUGGUUGCAUUACUAAAAGGAGCUGUUCAUGCUCCUAUGGAAGGAUUAUAUCAGGUAUUAUUGUAUUUAAAACCUAUUUUUACUAUCUACAAUGCUGAAUUGACUAUUUUAUGUUGUUAAUGGUUCAUUAAGGACUUAGAAAAGAUUGUGAUACCACUAUCUCUUACUCAGGCAUUGACAUAUGGCUUUAUAGCAGCUUAUAUUAGCUUCUGGGGUUAGGCUUUAAAUUCAUAUGUUGAUUUUAUUAUGGGUUCUCUGACUGAAUCAUGAACUUUUCCUAGAUUAAUUUGCAAGGGAACUUUUAUAUUUAGAUUAUAAAUUGAAUCUAUAGAUUUACAUCUUUAUUUGAUCCCAUAGCAUGCUUAUAGUGCAUAUAUCUAGGCAUUCUUGGUGAACAGAUCAUUUUGUUGAAAUGAUACAAGUUGUAGCGGUCUAAAAUUUAAGAACUACGCUCCACGCUUCAGCUUCUUCCAGUGUAAUCUCCUCUCAUGUUGGUAUAGGCAUAUUGCUGUUUGGUUGGUAAUUUAGCACAUUUGGCAUUCUACUCUAGGAUAGUAAUCUCAACAGCGUCUUGAUGGAAUAAAUGCUACCAAAGAGCAAAAAACCGAACCAGAGGUAAGCAGGUAAGCAAUAAGAGACCUGCGGUUUUCGGUUCAACUAUUUGAACCAACCAGUUCAAUAAAAUCUAAAGAUGAAUAUUAACUAGAUCUAAAAAUUAAAAAGUAGAAAAAGAAAAAACCUGAAAACUUGGAAAGCUUCAUAAAAUAAUAAAAUAUACAAAAAAAAAUUAUGCAACUAGCAUAGAAAUCCAAUACAAGGUACAAAUACAAAGAUAAGAAUACUGCCGAGUAGCCAAUUACGAACAUAUAACUUGCCCAUAGUAGAGAUAGAAUGCUAACUUACACAACCGGCUUUGAACAUUAAGUGAUGAGAACUUAGAUCUUUGAAUCAGACCAGAUUGGCUGGUUCAAUCAGGAAUCGGCUGGUCCUUGGUUCAAUCAUAUUAAUAUAACUGGAAAUUUUGCCAUCCAGUUUAAACUAGCAAGAGGGAAACAUUUAACUUGGAAAUAACCCAUUAAAAUUGGAGUGUUGGCUUUUUUAUUCCUUUUUUUGGUACAGUGGGACAAGAUCCAACUGAUUGCUCAAAAGAAAGCAGGACAGCAAUACUAAAUGCAUCUCUUUAGAAUGGCACUGGGAUGCCAGUGAUCGAAAGAGGACGAGGCACUACUGUGAACCAUUUCUUUCUUGGUUUGGCUAUCAUUGUCCAGCAAAGAAAGAAGAUGAAAAGAAUAAAAAAAAAAAGAUAGAGAGGCAUCAAUGUAUUCCUUAGGUUAAAUCGUCUUAUAUUUCAAUGACAAUCCAAGCUUCUGUGCAAAUGUGGUUUUUAGCCCAAAUUAUUGAAACAUCUAGCGAAGACUAAAACCCAUUGAAACUGUUACACAUCAAAAGUUUCAACUGUUGUUGUCAUUUCCUUCCGCUUCCAGAGACUCAACUGUUCCUGGUUGAACUGGCCGGUCCCGUCCUUUGUUUUUCAUAAUUGAUUGUAACACAACUUCCUUGGAAUAUAUUAUCCCUGGCGUUUGAUGCAUUUUUCUUGAGGCAUUCAAUCAAAUAUAUAUUGUUUCAUUUCUCUGAAAAUUUGUAUGCACUUGAUAGGUGGGGCUGCCUCUUGUACAGCAAUACCUGUUUCAGUUUGAGCACUUAGUGAGGGAGCACUUGCCAAAGCUGGGUGAGCAUUUUAGCCGGGAGAUGAUAAAUCCAAGCAUGUAUGCUAGCCAGUGGUUCAUAACUGUAUUCUCAUACUCUUUCCCAUUUCCUUUGGCUCUUCGAAUUUGGGAUGUAUUUCUCUUUGAGGUUAGUGGUUGGAAAUAUGAUAUAGGUUCAAGCUGUUGAAUUAAUUACAUGGCCUGGAAAUUGGUUUGCAGUAAAAGAAAAAGACAAACAAAAUAAUUUAUUUUAUUUUUCAGGGUGUUAAGAUUGUCUUUAAAGUUGGUUUGGCCCUUUUGAAGUACUGCCAUGAUGAUUUGGUAAUUAGUUCAAGACUUCUUUAUUUUCUCGAGAUCCAACAAACCAUUUUAUCUUGCAUUGAUACAUUGUUACAUUGUUCAUCAGAUAAAUUUAUCCUUUGAGAAACUCAUUCAUGCUUUGCGUAACUUCCCGGAGGAUGCAAUGAAUCCUGAUAUAUUGCUGCCCAUGGUGUAUUCAAUCAAGGUUCUGUCUCUCUCAACCCAAGUUUUUAUGGCAUUAAGUACUUUAAAAUUUCUCAUGUCCAUUCAUUUUUAAGAUCCGCAUGCACCUUUUCUUAUGGCAUGAUGGUCUUUAGCCAUGAACACUUAUUUGAGCUAUGUACUUGAUCUAUAUUGGUUUUACGAAUAGCAGGUGCCUGAGCUGCUCUGGAAUGUAUGUAAUGUGCUUGAACUUUCUGAUCUUGAAUCACCUGUUGAUUAGUUAAUAUAAUUUUUGCUCAAAAGGCUAUUGGUUAAUUUGCUCAAGUGUAUGUUGUAAACAAUGAGAAGUGAGAACCUUGCUAACGGUUUCUUGUGGUAAAAACAAAUUAGCGUUGUGACUUAAAUGUUUUAGGUCAAAGUAUCAUUGAGGUCUCUGUAUUAGGAUUCAGAUUAUAUUUUGCCCCCUCUACUAAAAAAAUGGGCAAAUUAGUCCCUGUAUGUUAGACCAAAGAGAAAAUUGAUCAUUUCUGUUAAAAAUUUCAUCCAUAUGUACUAUUAAAAACUAGUGUGGCUUAUGGAAUAACCGGAUAAUGACACAUGGCAUGUCACCUGUACCUCAUGUUGACGUACAAAGAUCAGUUUUUAAUGGUAAAAAUAGAUGAAAUUUUUAAUAAAAAGAUCAAUUUGCUCCUUGAUCUAACUUAGAAGGAUUAAUUUGCCCAUAUUUAGUAGAAGGGCAAAAUGCAAUCCAACUCCUAGUAGAGAGACCUUCAUGAUACUUUUAUCAAUGUUUUCUAGUAAUGAGUUUGAAUUAUUAAGUACUCUUAUAUUUAUGUUUGAAUGGUGAUUAGGUAUCCCGGAGCUUAGCAGAAUCGAAAAUCGAGUACGAGAAGCAAAAUAGAAAGCCAAAGAUUGAAGCAUAAACAAGUGCAUUGAAGGUUGUCCAUCUAAGCAACCAUUCUGCCUGUACAUUCUUAUUCUCAGUUGUUCUUUUGCUUUUAUAUUGUGUUAUAAGAAGAAGCAUAUACUGACUUCUUUAUAGACCUAUUUAGUUACUUAAACAUGGUGUUCUUUUCUUUUUUUUUCUUUUUAAUGAGAUGAUAUGCAUAAAAUUGUAAAAAGAAAAAAGUUAAAUUCUGCUCUCAGUUCUUGUAUUUUACCAAAAUUGUGGAUUUAAUCCAUGUAUUAUAAUUUGAUCCUUUUUAUUCUGCUUGCUUAAUUUUUAAAAUUUCAGUCAUUCACCAAACUGUAUAACCUUUAAAUCCAUUUUGUUAAUUUCAAAACCUGAUGUGAUAAUUAUAUGUGUAAUGCCAUGUUAAUUCGUUAUUUUCAUAUUACUCAAUUUUAUUUAAUGAAAUUAACGACUAUCAAUUGCAUCAAAUUUGAAAUUUCAAAAUUCGAAAAAAUAUAAAGAUUUAGAAUGAUCUAAUUAGAGAAUAUAAUUGUACUCAUAGUACAAUUAGACCUGAUCAUGAGUCGGGUUGAGUUGAUGCAAAAUUUUAGGCUUGUUUUUUAAGUCCAAGCUUGAUUUGGCCCGAAAAUGGGUUUACAUUUUUGCUCAAGCUCGGUCCAGAUUAAAAAUGUUAAACUCCGGCUUCACUUGGCCCGUCCGUAUUAACUUUUUAGAUUAUUUUUUUAUUAAAAAUAAAUUUGAAAAAUAUAAAACGCUAAAUACACUAAAAUAAUAGAAAAAUGAACAAUAAAACAAGAGUCAUAAUAACAAUAAAAUAAUAGUAAUAUAAUAGUAAAAUGGCAGCAAAAUAACAACAAAAAAGAAAGUUUAGGCUGAUUUGGAAUGUACUACUAAAAAUUCUUUUUGUUUCCUUGAAUCUUUUAUUUAAAUUUUAUUGACUACAUUUAUAUUUAUGUUUUUACAUAAUAUAAAUUAUAAUGUAUUUUUAGGUUAAAUUUCAAAUUCAUUAUACUAAUUGUUUUAAAUAUCAAUAUACUAACUUAUAAUAUGCCACGUUUUAUAAUAAAUUAGUUUAAUAUCUUUUUGGUGAUUUUAAUAUAUAAAAUAUAUUUAAAAAUAUCAUAUUAUUAAAAGCUUUUUAAAAAAUUAAUAUUUUUAGAUUUAGGUACUUAUAUAGUUAUAUUAUGUAAAGAUGAAAAGAUUUAACAUAAAUAGGAAAUCAAGAAAAAAAAAUUAAACCAACUUAACUUCAACUAAAUCAAAAUUUAAAAAAAUAAUUUAUUUUCCGGUAUUUGACAUUAACCGUUAGAUCCACUUGAAUCUAAGUUAUAUUUUUUACUUGUAGAUGGGUAUUGAUCUACUAUAAUAAUCAUCGAAUUGUCACUUAUAACUCGCUAGUUGAACCUUUUUUUUAAAAAUAAACUUAACAAUUGAAUGAAUUAAAUAAAAAUUUUCUAAUAGUUUAAUAACUUAAAUGAAAAUUUUCGGAUAAUUUAAUAAUCAUUUUGUAAUUUUUAAAAAGUUAAGUGAUCGAAAUGUAAAGUUAGUAAGAAUAGUUUACCCUCCUUAAUAAGUAAAAUUUAUUCUAAUGGUCCUUCCCUUUCAUGUUUUAGAAAAGAAAAUCUACUUAGCGUCUUUACAAUAACGAGAAAGGUAAGAGCUGCUGCAAUCUCAAUCUUCAUAAAGUAAUUCAAUUAGGGUUCCAAGGAAUUCCGAAUCUCAUUUCUCAGUAAGUUUUAAUCCAUUUUAUUUUCAGUUUUUGAGCUUAAAUCCUCUAUUGUUGAUGAAAUUAGAUAAUAAAGCUGAUAUCCCAUGUUUAAAGCUUUGUCGUUUAUCCUAAAUUUCCUUAGGCUAAACCCUAGAACGGGCCACAACCCUAAUACCCAAAUCAGAAAUCUCACUAUGGAAUAGAAAAAACUAACUAGUUUUAUGGUUAAGGAACUUGUAGAGAAUCAAAAGCAAUGUGAAGAACAGUUAAAUGAUUCCGUAAGCCAAUCAAAUUUAGACAUUGUUAAACAAGUUUGCAAGAUUACUAGACAGUGCCUAGAACUGCUAUCCCAUGGCUAAAGCUUCAUCAUUUAUGUUAGGCUAAACCCUAGAACUGGCCAAAACCCUAAUACCCAAAUCAGAAAUCUCACUAUAGAAUAAAAAAAAAAAAAACUAACUAGUUUUAUGGUUAUGGAAUUUGUAGAAAGGGAAAAAGAAGAGAGAAAAAUGAGCACAUCGGAGCUGCCAAGGAAAGAAGCCAAUGUCCUAAAAGGCCACGAAGGUGCAGUUUUAGCAGCCAGAUUCAACAGCGAUGGCAAUUAUUGCCUCAGCUGCGGCAAAGACCGCACCAUCCGUCUUUGGAACCCCCACCGUGGCAUCCACAUCAAAACCUACAAAUCUCACGGCCGCGAAGUACGCGACGUCCAUGUCACCCUGGAUAACUCUAAGCUGUGUUCUUGUGGUGGAGACCGACAGAUUUUCUAUUGGGAUGUUUCCACCGGUCGUGUUAUUCGCAAGUUUCGUGGCCAUGACGGCGAGGUAAACGCGGUGAAGUUUAACGAGUAUGCAUCUGUGGUAGUAUCUGCUGGUUAUGAUAGAUCGUUGCGUGCUUGGGACUGUAGGUCUCACAGCACUGAACCCGUACAGAUAAUUGACUCGUUUUUGGACACUGUUAUGUCUGUAUGUUUAACCAAGACCGAAAUUAUUGGUGGGAGUGUUGAUGGAACUGUUCGAACAUUUGAUAUUCGUAUCGGUCGAGAAAUAUCAGAUGACUUAGGGCAACCUGUCAACUGUAUCUCAUUGUCAAAUGACAAUAACUGCAUAUUAGCUAAUUGCUUGGAUUCAACUUUACGACUUUUAGAUAGGUCCACAGGUGAACUAUUGCAAGAAUAUAAAGGACAUGCUUGCAAGUCCUACAAAAUGGAUUGCUGCCUAACCAACAGUGAUGCGCAUGUAACUGGUGGAUCUGAGGAUGGCUCGAUUUUCUUCUGGGAUUUAGUAGAUGCAUCUGUGGUUUCAAAAUUUCGAGCUCAUUCAUCAGUGGUAACAAGUGUGAGUUACCACCCGAAAGACAACUGUAUGAUAACCUCCUCCGUGGAUGGCACUGUUCGAGUUUGGAAAACAUGAGGUUAUGAACAAUCAAGCUUGUCACUUCUUAUUGCAUCCGAAUUGCAAGAACUAUGGAGGUUUGGUACCUGACAUUUAGCUUAGUUUGCUCUGUAAAUUGUUGUUAAAUGAUGGAACCAUAUAUUUUUCCAUAUUAAUACCCCAAUGCACUUCUUUGGUUUGUGAGAAUUCUCAUGUCAUCACAUCUUUGUUUAGAACUCUUGGUUUCACAUUUCCCCUCUUUUAAUUUUUCGGGACCUGGUUUUUUUGAGAGAUUUUGAGGCAGCAAGAGAAUGUGGUUUUCGCUCUGCGUUUCUUUCAUUGGCUGUGGUCGGAAUACGAGUUUUCUCCGGACUUUGACUCGCAUAUCAGAAAGAAAUUUUUUUCAUCAGACCAAUUUUGAACCCAAGCCAGGUUCUUUAGAACGCUACUUAAGAUGUCUUUGUGAAAACAAAUCAGUUGAAGAAGGUGUAGAUGUGUUCUCCAUCUUGACUGAGAUUGGUUAUUGUCCAUCAAUAGAGACGUGGAAUUUAGCAUUAUUGGCUUAAGGUUGGUAGGAAUGAUCUUAUGUGGAAAUUGUAUCAGGAUAUGGUAGAACCCGGUGUUGGGGUCGAUAUUGAUGUUGGGGCUGUUGGGUGUUUGAUUCAAGCCUUUUGCAUUUAUGGGAAAGUUUCGAAAGGCUAGGAGCAUCUUCUGCCGAUAGGUUGAUGCCGGAUAUGUUGCAGAGGGAAUGGAACGGUUCAGAGAGACGCUGAAGAAUCAACUCAAACCGCGACACGAUACUUUCGAGAAACUGAUUCGAUCUCUCAGAAAGUGAUAGGUUCCAUGAUUCUUUACUUUUAAAUUUCAUGCUUAGAUUAGGAUAUGCACUUAAAACAAACAUAUGCCAUUCUAUUGUUAACAAGUUUUGUCAAAUGAAUGCUCAUCUUGUUGGAAUCAUGUUAAAGUGCAUUAAAUUUGAUUUUAAUUAUAUUAAGUAUUUAUUAUUAAAAUAUUUUAUGUAAAUGAAUUUAUAGUGGCAUUCCAAUAAUGAUAAUAAUGAAUGUAAAUUAUGAGAUAAAUUGAGAUAAAAAAAAAAAAAGAAGAAGCUUAAGGCAUAAUGUGAAAUUUAGCACUUAAUAUUUAAAUUUUUUAUCAAUUUGAUUUUUUUUAUCUCAAAAAAAAUAAAGAAAAAAGAAAGAAAUAAAUAAAUAAAUAACUAGAAGUAUAGUUUAAUGCUAAAAAGAGAGAUGGGAAAUAAUUUUUAUAUUUAACGUGCCACGUUAGAUAAACGUUAUCCCAUUAAAGGCGCUUAACACUUAAGUGAUAUAACUAUUUAAUAAUAUUAAUGACAGUUUUGUACGAUUUAAAAAGUGAGUGAUCGAAAUGAAAUUUUAAUAAAAAUUUAGGGACAAAUAAUAUAGUUUACCCAAAAAGUAUUGAUGCAAAUCUAAAAAUUAAAUAUGCAAUUUAACCCAAUUGGACCAUCCUAGAAGUAUCAUAUCUUUGGAAAACUGCAGAGUGGAAAGUACAUUCAUGUCUUGUCAUUAUUCUUAUCGAAAUAGUUGUUUAAAGGUCAUUUUCAGGUUAUAUGGAAAGUAUCUCAUACUAAUCAUUAGUAUUUUUUUAAUUAUUAUUUCGAUACCUUCUUAAUUUUUUUUAUUUUAAGAUAAUUUUGUAUUUAUUUAAGUAGGAAAAUAGCGGCUAAUUUAUCAAAAAAAAACCUUUUUUUUUAAUUUAUCGAAAUGGGCCAAUUUUUUGAUUAUUUACCGGAAUAGUCCAUUUUUCGGGAAAUCGCGUCCACGUCAGCGCGAUGUCAGGGUACGUGCCAGGACAUCGCGUCCACGUCCCGCGCGUGAACAGUACCCCAACGGUCAAAAAUUUAACCGUUGCCCCCCACCCCAACGGUAAAAAAAAACUAUAAAAACCACCCCACCCCUUUUUUUUCCACAAACAAAUCCUAUCUCAAUUUCCUUCCAAAAUCCUCUCAAUUUCCUUCCAAAAAUCUCUCAAAUCCAUAUUAAAUUUCAAUUUCCCCUCAAUUUCAUUUUUUAAAAUAAUUUUAAUUUUUUUUUAUAUUUUCAUCAAUGGCCGAAUCAUUGAUUCGUCUUGAUAGUAAUCACAUAUCGGUGGAGCAAAUGAAAAUGGUAAGUAUUAAAUUUAAAUUUUAAAUAUUAUUUAAGAUAUUUUUAUUUAUGUAUUUUUAGAUAAUUAUUAAUUUAUUAUUUGUUAUAAAAGUCUGAAGAUCGGGUAUUGGAAUGCAAUAUCUGGAAUAUGCAUGCUCAUCCAUCACCGUUAGUAGAGAACUACCUGCGGGAAGCGGGUUUUUGGCACGUGUCGACGGUAGGCCGGGGAUGCAAGUUGGAGCCGAAACUGAUCAGUGCGUUGAUCGAGAGGUGGAGACCCGAGACGCACACAUUUCAUCUUCCAUGUGGAGAGUGCACUAUCACUCUAGAAGAUGUCCAUCUGCAAUUGGGAUUGCCGGUGGACGGGCACCCAGUCACCGAGUCUGCCCAAUCUAGCAAUUGGGAGGCGGUGUGCUACAAGCUUUUGGGCGUUGUUCCGGAUAAAAUGGAUGGAGGUAAGGUGGAGAUGGGCUGGUUACGUGCCACAUUCCCCGAUCCGAAUGCAAAUUCAACCAAAAUUGAAAGAAUCUGAUAUGCUCGAUCAUACAUUCUUCAAAUAAUUAGAGGUUAUCUGAUGCCCGACACGUCACGGAGCCGUGUACAUCUAAGGUGGCUGCUAAAACUCGUUGAUUUCAGAAGAGCCGGUGAAUUUAGUUGGGGGUCUGCCGUUUUGGCAACAUUAUAUCGGGAGAUGUGCGGGGCGACGCGACCGAGGAGAGAAAACAUCGGAGGUUGCCUGUACUACUGCAAUCAUGGGCACGGUUUCGCUUUCCAUUUCUACGUCCUCGAGUGAACCACCCAUAUACAUUCCCCCUCGUAACGAGGUAAAUUUUAUAUUACAUUUUGGAAUUGUUAUGUGGAUUUUGUAAGAAUAAAAGUAUGCUAAAAAUUUAUUUAAUUAGGUGGAACCAUCCGACAAGUUAUCGUGGAUUACCGUCUGAACUUGAAGAUAUACGGUUUCUAUUGGAGCAACGGUCGGAAGCAGAAGUAAGUAUUAUUGCAAAUAGAUAUUUCCAUACAUUCGCUAGUGGGUUGAUAUUUAGUAUUUAGUAUUUUGUAUUAUGUAUAUAACUAAUAUUUCUAUCAUGUUCAUGUAGUUUCAAUGGACACCAUACGAGGAUCCGGCAAUCCGGGCAGUAAUCCCGGAAGAGUUUUUACAAAAUCUGAAUGCUUGGCACGCGAAAGUGGUGUUGAUCAACUAUGCAACUGUGGAGCCCCAUUAGACAGACAGAGUCCUACGACAGUUUGGAUGUGACAACCGAUUCCUGAGGAGCCUGAGGUGUUUGACGAUCACCACAAAAUCGACCUUCGGCUAUUAGGUACGGAUUGGCCUAGAUACUGGUCAAAGUACACGGAAAUGUGGGAAAAUCGGCAUGAAUAUCUACCUACUCGGGAAGAAAUCAUCGUUCCGGAGUUAGCGUGCGUUCCAGAAUACAUGCCAUGGUUUAGGAUCCAUGGCAAGCAGUAUUUACUUACGCCAGAGGAGAGGCAGCGGCAAAUACGUGGAGGAAGGGAAAGGCGCGGGCCUCUAAAUCCAAGGCGACAAGACUACGAAGGCAGCCCCUCAACGAGGCCCAGACAUUCACCCGGCUCAUCAUCAGCAGCCAUGCAAUCACCGUCCCCAACGAGAGCACCGACGCAGUCACCUGACGCAGCAAUUCAACAGAUGAUACCACGCAAUCGCCUUUCCCUAUGAUGCCAGGUGUGUUUCCUAGCCCUUAUAUGUACCCUAACCCGUACAUGUAUCCUUUUCCGAAUCCUAUGGCAGGUUGGAGCCAAAUGCCCGGAUCAGCUCCAUUUCUUAUUAUGCCGAGCGGACCACCGAUAACUAAGCCAGCGGUGCAGGAGGGGUCGCAAGGGGGGGGCGUCGUGGAGCUAUCCUUUUUACCAAUUGCCAGCAACGCAUGGCUUUUUCAAACACCGUCGCCGUUCAGGAUGCAAACACCUCCACAUACACUAUUCUUUGAAGGUGGGAUCAUCGUCCCAAGUCCGACACUAGAUGCCGAACCGGAAAGAACAACAAUCAGCACGCGGAGGAAAGAAACAACCUCCGCCUGAAGCUAAGAGGAAAGAAGGAAUCCAGCGAGUAAACGUCGACGGCAGCCAUGAGGAAUCGAUCCCCCGGGCAUAGACAGAACCGGAGGACAAUGGCCGAGGGGAGUGAAGGAAAGAGAAAGGGAGGGAUGUAAUACGCAAAAAAAGGGGCCGAGUGGAUGAGAUGAGGGGAGAUAAAAAUAGAAGGCGAUUUGAGAAGAAUAGGGAAAAGUAAAAACCCAAAACAACCGAAUUUAAAAAAAACAACCCAAAAUGAAAAACCCGAACCUAAGGAAAAACCCGAACCCGAACGGAAGGGAAGGAAAAACCCGAAACCCUAACCCGGACCGAAGGGAAGGAAAAACCCCAAACCCUAACCGAAGGGAAAAAAACCCUAACCCUGACCGAAGGGAAGGAAAAACCGGAAACCCUAACCGAAGGAAUAAAAAACCCUAAACCCGACCGAAUUUAAGGAAAAACCCGAACCCGAACCGAAGGGAAGGAAAAACCCGAACCCGAACCGAAGGGAAGGAAAAACCCUAAACCCGAACCUAAAAAAAAACCCUAACCCUAACCGAAAAAAAAACCCGAACCGAAUUUAAUUAAAAACCCUAAACCCUAACCGAAGGGAAAAAAACCCUAACCCGAACCGAAUUAAUUAAAAACCCUAACCCUAACUAAUUAAUUAAAAACCCGAACCCGAACCCCAACCUAAUUUAAAAAAACCCGAAACCCUAACCUAAUUUAAUUAAAAACCCCAAACCCUAACCUAAUUUAAAAAAACCCUAACUCGAACCUAAUUUAAUUAAAAACCCUAACCCUAACCCUAACCCUAACCUAAUUUAAUUAAAAACCCUAACCCUAACCUAAUUUAAUUAAAAACCCUAAACCCUAACCCUAACCUAAUUUAAUUAAAAAUCGUAAACCCUAACUUAAUUUAAUUAAAAACCCUAACAACCUAAUUUAAUUAAAAACCCUAAACCCUAACUUAAUUUAAUUAAAAACCCUAACCAUUAACAAAAGUUUUUGGGCUUAAUAAUUUUACAUAGUUUUACAUAAUGUUAGAUUUGGUAAAAUGUUUUGACUGGUACUAACAAUUAAGAAAUUAAAUUAAUUUGAUAUUUUUUUUCUAAAAUUACAUUCAACUAUUGCGAUUAGGGCAUGAUCGACUUGUAUGGCCUGGGUUCCUACACCAUCCGCACAACUUCUGUUGACUGGCUGUUUCUCGGAUAUCCAUAUUGUUCUGUAUUCUAGUGGAACAAGGUCAACCCUUUGGUUUGCGACGCAAUUAUCUAUUCGAUAAUAGCUUAAAAGGAGCAAGAGAUACGGGCGGCCACUUACGUUCAUCUGGGACCGGUGGGAAAACGUGUCUCCAUACGUUGUACAUGUUUUCUAAUUUGUACACUUCGUCCACAUAACUCAGCGGAUCCAGACGGAGUUUCUAACAAGCUGCAAUAACAUGAGCGCAUGGAUAACGAAGUGCAUCAAACUUCCCACAGUCACAAGUCCUGUUUCGCAAGUGUACACGAUAUUGCCCGCCAACAACACCUUGGUGCGGUCUGUCAAACUCCCUCACGCGAAACCAUAAAUUGUCUCGAUCGUGACACACUGUGUGCAUGAUGUUUGCCCUCGCCUUCGCCUUGUUAAUUUCUUGAACUACCUUACUGCACCAUACAUGGCCACCCUGCAUCUGGCCUGCAUAAGUUGCUGCUCGCUUUGGAAAUAGCGCCACCAAACGAAAAUAUGUCUCUCGCACAACCGAUGUUAUCGGUAGAUGGCACGUUCCUUUAAGAACAGAAUUUAUGCAUUCUGCCAAGUUCGACGUCAUAUGGCCAUAUCUUAGGCCUCCGUCGUAUGCUUGUGCCCACUGUUCGAAACGCAUAUUACAAAGGUAGUCCGCCCCUUCUUCGUUUUGGGAUUGUAAAAUUGCCAACAUCUCGUGAAAACGAUCUUUAUUUAUUUCAUACCCUGCCAAUUUAAGUUCAUAGAGAAUAUUUUAUACCACUUCUACCAAUAAAACUAAUUCAAAUUGGCAAACGAAAUAAUACAGUUAUAGAGUAAAUACCCAUGUUGGUCAAUUGUCGUCGUUCGCUCUUAGAUGGAUAUUGCUUGUAGUAGUUCGAAGCAACGUGUCUUAGGCAAUAUCUAUGGUGUGUGCACUGGAACAAGCUUCCCUCUCGAUCAAAUGCAGCUAGUAUACCGGCGCCCCGAUCUGAAAUAACACAGAUAUCAGGUUGGUGGCACACAUGCCUCCUUAACCUAGAGAGAAAGAAAUCUCAGUCAUCAGACGACUCCCCGGUGUUAUUGCAAAUGCAAUAGGAAGAAUUCUCGCACCGCCGUCUUGUGCCACUACAACCAAUAGCCGAUGAGUAUACCUACCGAACAUGAAUGUACCGUCAAUUUGUACCAAUAGCUUGAGUAUGGCAAUGCGUCUCGGCAUUGCUUAAAGGUCCAAAAUAGGCGUUUGAACACUUGGCAUCCACGUAGCAAUCGGCCGUUGUAGUACGCAUGUUCCGUUUCAAAGUCUGUGAUGGCACCUGGGACGUAUCUCUCUAGCACUUGACACCACUGCCAUAUUUCAUUAUAUGAGGCAUCCCACCCACUAUGCAGCUUCUCUAACGCCUUUUGUUUAGCUAUCCGUGUACCCCAUUUGGCUACGGAUAUUGUCAAUUAUCACCGGUACUGAAGUCCUAGGAUCUGCUUUUAUCGUGGGCAGUAUCAAGCUAGCCAACAUAGCUGAAUCCAUUUUGGGAUGAUCUUGUGAAACACCUACAGAAGGAGUACAUUAAAUAAUGCAACAUUGCAAAAUAAAAUUAUUAUUCAGAUACAUUCAAUACUGUACCUGCAGCACAUGUAUGUGGACCUUUGUACUUUUUUAUCUCCCACAACCCUGUCCCUUUCCUUAACGAGGCGACGAUUUUCCAUGAACAUGUGUCGUCUUGCACCGUACACUUCGCCUCAGACUUAUCAGAUUUUGAUUUAACGACGUGGUAAUUAACGUCUUUUUUGAUGCUAUGCUAUUUCAAAGCACCAAUAAAACUAUCCUUAUUGGUAAACUGAUUACCAACUUCAAGUUCACCGAAAUCUACCCCCGAACUUGUACGAUCGCACAUCCGGUGUGGUAGAUCUGGAAACUCUAACGCAUCAUCCGCUGACAGAUUGACAUUAUGCAUGUGGGCUGGAGGUGAGUAUGCUCUGAAUCGUGGAUUUUCUUCAUCAUCUGAACUCCUUUCACCAUCUUCACUUUCUGUUGGAAUAGGCUCCGGUUCAGAAAAUAAUCCCACCUCUGCACCAUCCGGCCCGGGCUCUCGAGGUGGAUCCACAUCGGAGUCAUCUUCUAACCAGCGUAUGACGUCCCCUCACCGGUUGAUGUCAUAGGUAGUACGUCAUCCCUUCUUUUGGGCAUUUGAUAACGUCUCCAAUUGGAUGUAGAUUGCCAUCCACUAGAACUUGAUGCAGUUCCCCAGUACGUAUUUCCAGCUUCAAACGUCGAGCCACCGACGUACAUGUCCCAUCUACCGACAGAGUGUCUUGCGGGGGAUGUGCAUUCGACACUGCCACCGAACAUGGGUUGUUCCGUAUUUUAUAACCCGCUAACCGAGUGUCAGCCAGGGUUCGUGUAUACAUCUCGAACACCGGACGGAAGUACAUCAGUUGGCGACGUAAAUUGUACAUAUAACUCAAUAUAAGUUGCUCCGCUAGCAAGAUGAGUCUGCACCAUUGCCUCCAAGCUACGAGCACCUUUUAUGUCGAACGAGUCAUAUGUCACCGGAUCAACAGAAGAACAAAAUCGAUACGUGAUUGACAGAACUUUCAUUGGCGUCGUUUCGAAUAUUUUAUGCCUAAUUCUUUUACGAAGUUCUGUCAAAUCUAUGUUCUGGUUAAAUGACAGUCGCACCGUAUUCUCCGACAAAAAAAUAACACCAUUCUCGGUGUGACAAACCUCACCAUCGUAGUAAAUAACAGCACUAAUACGUUUACUCAUUUUGAAACUCUAACUUUCUUAGCCUCUCUAAAAUGUUUCUGCUAUGACUUAUGCAUUCUAAGAACAUUUUCUGCCUAAUUUAUAGCCUCAGCCCAAACUUGCUACUGUAGCAAAAUCGCGUCCACGAGGGCUCGAUUUUAUACUAUUUGCUCAGAAACGUCAAAAAAAAUUAUUUCUUACAUGACCAACUGUAGCGAAAUCGCGCCCACGAGGGCACGAUUUCACGAUUUCACAAUUUCUUCUCAAAUAGCAUCCUGGUAGAAGCGAUUUUAUACUAUUUGCUUAGAAACGUCAAAAAAAUUAUUUCUUACAUGACCAAUUGUAGCGAAAUCGCAUCCACGAGGGCACAAUUUCACAAUUUCUUCUCAAAUAGCAUCCUGGUAGAAGUGAUUUUAUACUAUUUGCUCAGAAAUGUCAAAAAAAAUUAUUUCUUACAUGACCAAUUGUAGCGAAAUCGCGUCCACGAGGGCACGAUUUCACAAUUUCUUCUCAAAUAGCAUCCUGGUAGAAGCGAUUUUAUACUAUUUGACCAGAAACGUCAACUCAAAAUAAUUUAUUCUGGGACCCCUAAACCCUAAAAAGCCGCACCCUAAACCCUAAAAGCCAGAAAACCCAAAUGUGAAAUUAUCGUCAAAAUUGCGUCCCCGGGAACGCGCUACGUGGCAGGACAUUGCGUCCACGUCAGUAGGUCGCACUGAUGUGGACGCGAUGUCCUGACAAGUACCCUGACAUCGCGCUGACGUGGACGCGAUUUCCCAGAAAAUGGACCAUUCCGGUAAAUAAUCAAAAAAUCGGCCCAUUUUGGUAAAUUUUAAAAAAAGAGAGCUUUUUUUGGCAAAUUGCCCGAAAAUAGCAAAUUUGACUUUAUGUAUUUUGUCAAAUCUUCUAAUACAAUAUCUCUACUUUGAAAAUGUUUAUUUUGGUACUUGAAGUUUGAUUCCAUCUAAAAAAGAAAUUAGCACUGAUAGAUGUAGGUACCGUAUUGAUAGAUGGAGUAAAAAUUCAAAUACUAAAAUAGAUAUUUUCAAAGUAAAAGUACCAUAUUAAAAGAUUUAAUAAAGUAUAAGGGCCAAAUAUGCAAUUAUCCUUAUUUAGUGUAAUUAUGAGUUUUAUAUUUUCACUAGGGUUUUUUACGUUGUUGAUUAGAAUUUAAAAAAUCAUAAAUUUUUUUAUGGUGCUGGCAAUUCGUUGUUGUUCAUAUAUUAUGAUAUGAAUAUACCACACCAAAUCAUUAUCUAUAGAUGAUGAGAUUCCAUUGAUACAAAGUCAAUUCCAAUAGACUUAUUGGAGGGUCCCAUUGGCGUGCAUCCAAUAGGAAUUGAACCUACGAAUUCUCCAAUUAUGAGUUGGGCAUUUUAACUAUUCAGCCAUAGAUGCUUAGCGGGGAUCCUCAUACAUGGUGAAAAACUAAAUUCCAAUUGAAAUGAAAUCUUUAGAAUAAAUCAAUGCAAUUUAGGAGGAAUCAAUGAAAGGACAUCAGUUCAAAUCCUGGAUUUUCGAAUUGAGAGAGAUCAAGAGUCCUCACUAUUUCUUAGAUUCAUGGACCCAAUUCAAUUCAGUGGAAUCUUUCAUUCACAUUUUUUUUCCACCAAGAACAUUUUAUAAAACUCUUGGACCCUUGAAUUUGGAGUAUCCAAUUUUCACGCAAUUCAUAGGGUUCAACAAGCAAUAGAUAUUUUACAAUCAUGGGUGUAGUACUAUUUGUAGUAGCGGUCCUUAUAUAUCAUAUUAACAAUCAUAAUAUGGUCGAAAGAAAAAAAUCUCCUGAGCAAUCGGCGGCACUAGUAUGUAUUUAUCACAAAAUAUAUACUUGUAUUUUUUAUUGUUAGACUGAAAAAAUAUUUUUUUAAUGGUAUCGCCGAUGGGUCAGGUGGCACCGAAAUUAAUUAAUAUUUUUUUAAAAAAAUUUAAAAAAAGAAGCUAAAACUUGGUUUGGGAGCUGAACCCAUGAUUGAUCAGUCACGUCGGUGGUAGGUUGUCAGGCCGGUGCCAUCUAGUUGUCGGCGGCACUGGCCUGACGGCUUGCCAACGACGUGAUCGGUCAAUCACGGGUUCGACUCCCAAAUCGAGUUUUUCAACUUUUUUUUUAAGUUUAAUAAUAAAAGAAUUUAUAUAUAUUAAAUUAUUCCGAUACCUCCUGACACGUCAACGACACCAUUAAAAAAUAUAUAUUUUUACCUGAUACAACACAAAUAUACGGGACCAAUACAAUACCAAUAUUGCCAAUUGCUCAAGCUACACCAAAGAAAAUUUAUUAUUCUUUACACUACAAAUCACCAACACAAUCAUUGGUGACAGACUAACUUAGUGCAGCCAAUUGGUUAGGUAGCACCAUGAGUUCACUAUGCAAUCUACCUAUAUUCAUAAAUAAUGGACCUGUUAUCCUAUUUCAGUAUUUAAUUUUUUAUUAUUAUUUAGGUAAAAAAAAAAAACCACCUUUCUAGUUUCUACUUUGAUUCAUCAAAAUUUAGUUCACAAGCAUUAUUAAGAAAAAUUAAAAAGUGAAUACAGUUGUUGGUUAACACAUAAAUUUGAUCUGUCGAUUUUUUUUUAAAAUUAUUACAUAAAUCAUUAACUUAUUGAUUCUUAUUAAUUUAUUACAUACAAAUUGUUGAACCGUCGAUUUUUAUAUUAAUAAUUUAAUAAUAUUACUAAUUAGAUUUAACUUUUCGAUUAUCUGUAAAAUAUGAGGAUCAAAUUGUAACAAAUUAAAGUCGAAUGGAUGAUAGGGGCGGGUGAGUGGAGAUUGUGAUCCUUUCUUAAUUCUUAUCCACCAAAGCUUCCAACUUGCCCACAUAUCAUUAUUGGACCCUCACCAUUUACCAACUUUUAUUAUUAUUUUUAUACCCAAAAAAGAAUUUUUAUUGUUUUUUUUCCCUCUUUAAAGGACCCAAUUUGUCAUUUAUUUAUAAUUCAAAGUUGCUUUUUAUUUUUAUUUUUCCUUUUAAUAUUAAUAUUGUUUUCCAAUUGACUCAACUGCCCUCAAAGGCAUCACAUGUCAUUCUCAAUAAUUUAUAUGAUAAGAUGAAAACAAAAUCCAAACUUUAUAAUUAUAUAAUCAAGUGAUAAACUAUAACCUCACGUUAUUUAAUUCAUCUAUCAAUUAAUUUUAACAAUUGGUCAAUGAUGAAAAUUAUUAAUGAGAUGAUUUAAUUGAUUUUUUUAUUAAAAAUCGGAGCUUAAUUGAUGAGAAUUUAGUGUAUGAGCUCAAUUGGCUUUUUUUUUUCAUUUUUUCUUAAAAGCUUUUUGUAUCCAAGGGCAUUUAGGGGUGUUAGAUACAUGAUAUCAAUAGAGGUCAAGAUGGAAGGGAUGGUGUUCUGGUCCAAAAAAUAAAGAAGAAACUUCCUCAAAUGAAUUGCAUGGGGCUACUUAAACUAUGAGUAUUUUGAGUCAGAUCUCGAGUCGGGUUCUUAUAUAUAUUUUUUAGUUGUAUAGUAAUUUAUCUUCCCUCUUGUCAAAGAAGAGUUAUAAAGUGACUCUUCUGAGACAAGCUUAUACUUAUGAUGUGUGUAAUUUGGGGCUUAUUAUAUAUGUUUUAACCUAAAACUUUAUUAAACAAAUUUUGUUGUUUGAUAGUGUGGUACAAGAAUUAAGCCCCAAAUUACACAUAUCAUAAGUGUAAGCUUGUUUCAGAAAAGUCACUUUAUAACUCUUUUUCGACCAGAGAGGGGACAAAUUGUUAUACAAUUAUAAAAAUAUAAAAGAAUCCGACCCAAUUAUCUAACCCAAAACACCUAUAGUUUAAGUAACCUCAUGCAAUUGAUUUGAGGGUUCUAAACCAGAACACCAUUCCUCUCUAUCUUGACCUCUGUUGGUAUCUUGUAUCAAUAGGGACAAGGACCUUGCCUCUCAAAAAAUAAAAAAAUUACUCUUUUUAUCCCUUCGAAAAUGAAGAAAUUAUAUAUUAAUAUAUAGUGAAAUUAUAAAUUAAUUUUUUGUCCUCAAUAAAAAAAAGUUAUUAUCAAACUUAUCUUUCGAAGAAAUCCAUGAACCGAAGCAAAGGGUAUGACCGUAAUUUAAAGCAAGACUAAGGGGAACUAUGUAAAAACAAUCCGUCUUGGUUUGUUCUUCAUGCCCUUGACGUUUUCUUCGCAAAACCUCAAAAUAGAAAACAAAAAGGAAAGAACAAGAAAAUUUCUGAGCUUCCUUUUGGGUAUUUUGUUGAUCUUUUUUCUGAUUCUUUUUAGGUUUUCUACACUUCCGUAGAUUUGAAUUUAAACUGGUAAGUUAAAGAGAAUUCUUGUCUAAUUUUUUUGUUUAAAUUUUGCUGCAUUUUUUGGUAGAUUAAUUGAUUUUCCUUUUUGAUUUUCAGGUUUUAUCUAAAAGGUUCAAAAGGAGGGGUAUUUACAUUGUGAGUGUUACCUUUCGCUCAUUAUUAUUUAUAUUUAUUUGUCAAAUUGAGAUUCCUAUGUUCUUUUAAGCCUUUAAACUUUUUUUUUCUUUAUGUUACGAUUUCUUUUUGAUGGAUUAAUCGUUGUUGAUUGGAUAUGUUUAUGUAUUGUGUUAUUGAACUGAAGAGCCUGGAAAAUUUUUUGCAAUGAAGUUAAUAAAAGUUAAUUAGAAGAUUAUAUCUAUAUAUAUUUCAUAUUAAUAUUGGAAAAGUCCUUUCUGAAGCUUCUUAAUACUGAGUAUAUAUUCAUAUAGUUGACUAAUUAUCAGGAACAGAAAAGGAAUUUAUGAGUAAAAAGGAAAGAGAAAUUGAAGCUUGAAUUGAAUUUUUGAUUUGAAAUUUUGAAAUCAUAUAUAUAUAUCUGUGUGUAAAUUCUAGUACAAAUUAAUGAAGUCCAAAAAAUCAUAAAGAAAAUAAUGAUACUUCCAAACAGACCUGGAAUCGUGAUGAUGAUGAAUAAGUUUUUUUUUUUAAUGUAAACCAUGGAUUAAACCGUUACAAGGAAACGGAAUGUUUAUCCUGUUAAUUAUCUUGUUCAAUGACGGGUUUUGGAAAUUGAGCUGAUGUCCGAGGCUCUUCUUUGUUUGUUUCAUUGUAUUGUUGAAUGUUGGUUGGUGGAUCUUCAAUUGUUUGAAUUUCUCUUUGAGUAUCAUAUUUGAUUGGUUCAUUGUUUGCAUAUUAUGUAUUUGGGUGUAUAUUUGAUUAUUUAAAGUUGUUUUAGUGCUUAAUUUUGUGUUUGGGUGGCUUUAUCAGGAAAGACUGAAUGAUCUAAUGGAGACCAAGGGUGGGAAAAAGACAAAGUCCAAUAGUAGUAGUAAAUCCUUUUUCUAUGAAGCUCCUUUAGGUUACAGCAUUGAAGACGUCCGACCUCACGGUGGAAUCAAGAAGUUCCGAUCUGCUGCUUAUUCCAACGUGAGUUUUUUACUUGGAUUUUGUGGUCAUCGUAAAUAUACUGAUAGAAUCUUUUGACUGACAUCUUCUGAUGCUUUUUAUUGUUUUUGCAGUGCGUCCGAAAGCCAUCAUGAGAUUUGCGAAAUUCAUAGAUAGUCCCAAAGCCUCAAUCUCACUGCAAUUAUAUCUAGUUUGUUUGUUUACUUGCUUGCUUCCUUAUUCUCUAGUUCUUCCUUCUUUGUACGCUUGUUUAUUUUAAUCCAAGAUGGCCUUCCCUGUCUCUGCAAUCGGAUAUGAAGGCUAUGAAAAAAGACUUGAGAUUUCGUUUUUUGACCCUGGUUUUUCUGUUGAUCCUCGAGGGAUGGGUCUCCGUUCCUUAUCCAAAGCACAAUUGGAUGAAAUCCUAAAACCGGCUGAAUGCACGAUUGUUUCUUCACUAUCAAACAAUCAUGUCGAUUCAUAUGUUCUUUCUGAAUCAAGCCUCUUUGUCUACCCAUACAAAAUCAUCAUAAAGACUUGUGGCACUACGAAAUUGCUCUUUUCGAUCCCUGCUAUUCUGAAACUGGCCAACAGCCUUUCACUUUCUGUACAGUCUGUGAGGUACACUCGUGGGAGCUUCAUAUUUCCUGGGGCUCAACCAUUUCCACACCGUAACUUCUGCGAGGAAGUAGCGAUCCUUGAUCGCUAUUUUCUUAAGCUUGGUUCUCAUAGAAAGGCUUAUAUUAUGGGUGGUUCUGAUAAAACAAAGACAUGGCAUGUUUAUUCAGCUUCUGCACGAAUGAGUAGUCAUUCAAAUCCGGUGUAUACUUUAGAAAUGUGCAUGACCGGUUUGGACAGGAAGAAAGCCUCUAUCUUUUACAAAACUCAUGCAAGUUCAGCAGCUUCAAUGACCGAGCAUUCAGGAAUCCGAAAGAUUCUUCCACACUCGCAAAUAUGCGAUUUCGAGUUCGACCCUUGCGGUUACUCCAUGAAUUCGAUUGAAAAGGGUGCAAUCUCAACAAUCCAUGUCACUCCAGAAGAUGGUUUCAGUUAUGCUAGUUUCGAGGCAUCUGGUUAUGAUUUUGAAACUCUGAAUUCGAAUCAACUGAUCAAGAGGGUUUUGGCUUGUUUCAAACCAACUGAGUUCUCUGUAUCUCUGCAUGUUAACAUGACCCGAGAUGACCUCAGGUGUAGGAUGCCAUCUUACGUGAAUGGAUACUGUUGCGAAAAAAGGAGCUUUGAACAGCUCGGGAAUGGGGGUUCGGUCAUGUACUACAGCUUUGUUGGGGGUGACAUGUGUGUGUCCCCUAGGUCAAUUCUGAAAUCAUGCAGCUGGAAUGAGGAUGAGCAAAGUGUUGGGGUUAGGCCUGCUCCAUACCAUUUGAGUGCUCUAUAGCUUUGGAUUGAAUCUGUUUCUGGAAAAAGAGAAUUGCACUGGCUUUAAAGCUUUAAAGGUGAGGGACCAGAAGGAUAAGGAUGUUGAACUGAAAUUAUGUUUUGUUUUGUUUUGUUUUGUUGUCUUGUUUUUGUUUUUAAUAAUAUUUGUCUGUGUUGUUUUAUCUUUGAAUAAAUGUAAUUAUCAGUGAUAUUGGGUGGCAAAUGGGACUAGAAUAAAUUGUGGGAUUGUUGUUACUGUAGCAUUUCCUGGGAAAGUACCAAGAAAGCCCCUGUAAUUAGGGGUGGAUUGCAUUUUGGCUCUUCAGUUAGUCUUUAUAUUUUGAAAUGUGCAAAUUAGUUCAUCUGUUAAAUUUUUUCUAAUGAUCAGUGGAAUGUUAAUUUAAAUGAUUAAUAACUAAUUUGAUAUCUAGAUUAUAGAUAAGAUAUCAUUUUGGUUUUUUUAAAUUAACAAUAAUUCUAAAAAAUUAAAAAAAUCUGAAAAAUAACUCUAAAUUAUUAAAAUCAUAUUAAAAGUAUUAAAAAUUAUGUUAAAAAUUCCACAAAUUUAGUCUUCAAUGUUUAUAAAAUUUGUCAUUUUAGUUCUUUUUUUAAACAAAUUGUCCCUUUAAAAAUCAAAGUUAGGUUUCCAUUAAAACAAAAUCAAACCAAGUUUUAUAAAAGCCAAAAUUCACAUUCAAAGAAGCUCUUUGUUGGUGAAUCAUUGUGUUUUUUUUUUCUUUUUGAAAAAUUGAACUCUCAUUCAAUAAUGGGAGUCAUUUUCAUUUUUCAAUAAAAUUCUCGAUUUGAUAAGAACUAUCUAAUGCAAUAAGGAACUAACCUUACUUGUUGAAAACGCUCUCCAAUGUAAUUUUAGAAUCACCCAUUUCAAUAAAAUCAUGGUUUUAUAACUGUUGAAAUACAAUCAAACAAAAGAAGCAACACAUUUAUAGUAAACAAAGUCUUUUGAUUUUGCAUCUCUCUUUGGCAACGAAGAAAAAGAUGAAGACAAUGAGCUCCUUUUGCUGCUUCCUCACCCUUUGGAGAUGUGUUGAUGGCUUUGGAGUUUUAUUUUGUUGAGUAGAACUCCUAUUUCAGUCAAAUUUGAGAAAUAAUCUUCCAGUUAAACUGUGUGUAUUUGUUUCAAUCAAACUUUAAUUAGUUUAGAUUAUUUUAUUAUUAUUUGACCUAUGAAUUUAACCUAUAAAUAGGCUCUUUUACAACCUUAUAAAAGACACCCAUUAGAGAUUAGAACUCAUAACACUUUUGGAAAAUUUUGUGUUUACGUUUUGAAGAUUCUUUGUUUUUUCGGGUUUUGGGAUUUAGUUUUUAUUUCCAUAUUUAUACUAUUCGUUCAUUUGCCAUUAUAGUAAACUUAUAUUUACCUGUGGUUUUUAUCCCCUUUGGAGAUGUUUUUCAAUUUUAAUUUUGUGUGUUCAAUUUCUCAAUUUAUUUCGUUAUUUUUACUUAUUCGUUGCUUAAUCAGGUCGGUCCUCAACAAGUGGUAUCAGAGCUAAUUUAAUUUUCGUAGAUCAGCUCGUUCAGAGAUGGUAACAAUAAGGUUUGACAUUAAAAAGUUCGAUGGUGUCACAAAUUUCAAUAUAUGACAAGUUUGAAUGAUGGCAAUUUUAAUUCAGACUAGCUUGAAAAAGGUCAUUACCGGGAAAAAAACCUACAAAACUAAAUCAAUCAGAAUGGGAAAAGAUUGAUGAAAAGACAUUGUUUGUAAUCCAGUUGUACCUCGCGAAUAGGGUAUUAUAGGAUAUAUUGAUGAAGAAGACCUCAUCCGCCUUGUGAAAAAGGUUAGAAACUCUUUAUGUGACUAAGUCUCUAGCUAACCAUUUAGUGUUGAAACAACGUCUUUUUAUGUUUCGCAUGAACAAAAAUGAGCUUUUUAGAGAUCACAUCAGUCAAUUCAUUACCCUUUUAAAUGAUUUAAUUAACAUUAAGGUUCAUAUUGAAGAUGAAGAUCAGACUAUGCUAUUAUUUUGUUAUUUACCCCUUUCAUACAGGUCUUUCAGGGAAACCUUGAUUUAUGACAGAGGCAAACUCUCGUUCGAGGAUGUGAAGGGUCAUUUAUUGAGUAAAGACAAACUCGACAAUGAGUUUGGUUCGGAUAGCAAGGCAGAUAGGCAAACUUCCGUUUUGGUAGCAUCAAGGAAGCGAGACAAAAGGUGUCGCUAUUGUAAGAAGUUAGGUCACGUCAAAGUAGAUUGUUAUAAACUACGAAAUAAAAUGGCUACUGAGAGUAACGAGAAAGAUGCAGUUAGUGCUAAUUUGGUCGAUGAAAGCAGUGAUGAUUUUUGUUAGUGUCAACGAACGAAAGCUCCAAGCUUACGUCCGAGUGGAUCCUAGAUUCAGGAUGUUCUUUCCACAUGUGUCCCAAUAAAGAAUGGUUCUCCACAUACAAUUUGAUUGAAGGUAGAUUUGUACUCAUGAGAAACGAUUCAUCCAGUAAAGUAAUUGGUACUGGUACUAUUAAAUUAGGAUGCACGAUGGGAUGAUUAGGACACUCUCAAAUGUCAGGUAUGUACCUGAUUUACGAAAGAAUCUCAUCACCUUGAGUAUUUUAGACUCGAUGCAGAAUCAACAUCGAGUCGAGCGACAUUAAGGUGUCUCAUGGGGUUCUCAUUUUGUUAAAAAGUAAAAGAACCGACAAUCUUUAUAUUCUAGAAGGUUCUACAGUGACCGAUGAAAUCGGAUGUCCCUCAUCUGUUACAGAGUCGAAGUCAACUAGUUUGGAGCGGAGGCAACUUGGUCAUAGGAGGGAAAAAUGUAUGAUCGCGUCGUUAAAGAGAUUUCUCUUUUGGAUGUUUUGAAAAGUUAGGACACUAUGUUUGUGAAAAUUAGACCCGAGUUAGUUUUGAUUUGACAAUGUACAAGUCGAAGGUUAGAAGUUUUCCUGUUUCUAAACACAAAUUCGACUCAGUUAAUUUCCUAUAUAGUUCAAUAUAAGCUUGUGGUUGGUUUUGACAAAGAUGACAUGAAAAUAUGAGUCAAGGUGGAGAUUUGUUGAGUAUGACUUCUAUUUUAGUCAAAUUUGAGAAAUAACCUUCCAGUUAAACUGUGUUUAUUUGUUUCAAUCAAAUUUUAAUUAGUUUAUAUUAUUUUAUUAUUGUUUGACCUAUGAAUUUAGCCUAUAAAUAAACUCUUUUACAGCCUUAGAAAAGACAUUAAUUAGAUAUUAGAACUCAUAACACUUGUAGAAAAUUUUGUAUUUACGUUUUGAGGGUUUUUUUUCGGGUUUCGAGGUUUAGUUUUUAUCUCCAUCUUUGUAGUAUUCGUUCUUUUGUCAUUAUAGUAAAAUUAUCUUUACUCUUGGUUUUUUAUCCUCUUUGGACGUAUUUUUCCACGUUAAAUUUGUGUGUUUAAUUUCUCAAUUUAUUUCGCAAUUUUUCCUUGUUCGUUGCUUAAUCGGGUUGAUCCCCAACAUAUUUUAAAUUAAAAUUUUACUUUUUAUAUUUUAUCACUUUCCAUAAAUUUAAAACAUUAUUUUCUAAAAUUUCAAAACUCAUGAAGUUCUUGUUCAGAACCUAAAAAUUUAUAUUAAAAAUUCAAAACCUAAAAAUUAUUAAACCCAAUAAUUUAAAAAUUUAUAUUAAAAAUUUAAAACCUAAAAAUUAUUAAACCCAAGAAUUUAAAGAUUUAGGCUUCUUAGGGUCUUAAAUAAUAGGAUCUUCAAAUUGGAAAGUUUGUAAUAGUUAAAGGGAUGCGGAAAUGAGUAAUCGAAAAUUUAUAAUGAUGAUUACACACCAUUAGGAGAUAUAAAAGCAUAAGAGAUGUGGAAAUGAGUAUUCACUCAAGUAGAUGUAACACCCACCGCCCAACCCGAUCACCGGGUCCGAGUUACGGGAUGCUACAGUCAAUACUAGAACAAUUACAACAUUUAAUAAUCAAUUUACACCAUAAUACAAGCAUUCAUAAUAAUAAUAAAUUUCAUAAGUAAGUUAUACAAUCUUUUCCGAGACUUAAUCUAGCUUACGAAAGCUCAAUUAAAUUGUAUAUUUUUACGAUAGUAAAAAUGUAAUUUUAUUAUUUUAAUAGCUUAUAUCUUUAUAAAUUUUAAAGGAUUAAAUAAAAUUUUUAUCAUUUUGAGGGACCAAAGUGUAAUUUUAACAUUACCAAUUUAAAAUUUUAUAAACUAUAAAUGAGCCUAAAUAAAAAAAAAAUCAUUUUAAAAGUGCUAGGCCCUGCGAGUUCUUUGGAUUCGCCAGUGCCACCAAGCUGAUCAAACAACCUGCCAAGCCAAAGUCUCAUUUCAUUUUCUCCUUCAAUUAUUUAGUUAAUUCCCAAUAUAAUUAUAGGAUUAAACUACAGUAAUAGUUACUUAACUAUGCUUUGUUUCUUCUUCUUUUUUUUUCAUCUAAUUAUGCAAAGCUACAAAUUGGUUUCUUAAUUAUUCAAUUUUGUCUUUCUUGAUCACCCAACUAUCUUGAAUUUUACAAUGAUUCUAUUUUUAUGUUAGCCGACAGAUGACUAAAAAAGACAAUUGAAUAAUAGUUAAAUGACUAAUUUGUAACUUUUCAUAGUUGUGUGAUAAAAAACAUAAUUAAGUGACUAAUGUAGUUAUUAUUAUUAAUUGUUUAAGGAAAAAGCUAGUGGCGUAAUGGAUAGGGCAGCCAGUGCCACUUAAGGCCAGUUAUUCAUUACUUUUGAGAGUGUUGUGGAAAAGUGCUUUUGAGAAGUGCUUUUGAAAAGUUUGGUUUAAAAUUUGAGUGUUUAGCAUUGCUGUUAAAAAGCACUUUUGAGAAAUAAAAUAUCCAUUUUAGACAUGUUAUUAUCAAGUAACAAAUAUGCAUUUAAAUAAUAUUUAAAUUAGUUAAUAUUAUUAUAUUUUAGUAAAAAUAUAAAAAAAUUAUUAUAACUUGUUGUUAAUAUUUUAAUAUAUGAAAUAUAAAUUUUAAAUAUUUUUAAGCAAUAAAUAUUAAUUAUUUAUAAAAUUUAAUUAGAAUAUAUAAACUAUAUUUUAAAUAUUUAAAUAUAACCAUUAAAUAUUUAUAAUUAGUAUUUUAAAAUUUUUUAUUUUUAAUUAAUGAUUUUAACAUAUUUGUAAGUAAGCACCAAGAAAAACAAAAGGAAAGCAAUAUGUUAUUGGAGGGGUGAAAAAGUAAUUAAGCACCAAAAGUACUUUUGGGAGAGGAAAAACUAAAAUUUUUAAUUUCUCAUUUUCAGAAGUACUUUUCAAAAGCACUUCUGAAAAGCUAAAAAUUUCAUCCAAAAACAGCUUGUUCUGCAUAGCUUUUCUUCCAAAAGUGUUUUUGGAGUCAAAAGUGUUUUUUUUAAGCAAUGAAGACCUGGCCUUAAUCUGCUAAAAAAACCAUGCAAAAGGUGUUUUAAUUUUAAAAUUUUAAUUCUAAAAUCAGUAAAAAUAUUAUAAAGUCCUUUAUAUUAAGAUUCAAAUUGUAUUUUAUAUCUUUUUACUUAAAAAUGGAAAAAUUAGUCUCUAUACGAUAGAUCAAAUAGUAAAUUGGUCAUUUCUGUUAAAAUUUUUAUCCAUUCUUACUACUAAAAACCGUUAUGACUACCGAAAUAACUGGACAAUUACGUGUACUUGAUUCUGAUAUAUAGGGACCAGUUUUUCAAAAGUAAAAAUGGAUAGAAUUUUUAAAGGAAUAACCUGUUUGCUUUAUGAUCUAAUGUAUAAUGAUUAAAUUAUCCAUUUAAAAUUGAAUGGACAAAAUGUAAUUUAAAUAUUAGUACAAGGGUCUCUAUGAUACUUUACUCUCAAAAAUCUUAAUUAAUUAAUUUAAUUUUUAAAAAAAUUUCUAAUUAUUAUUUUGUUUAUAAAGUGAAGUUAUCUUUUCAUUUACAAUAUCUUCUUUUAUUAAUGAAUUGGUUGAUUAAUGUUUUGAGUCUUUUUCCCUUUUAACAAAUAGUUGUAAAAGGGGUCGAUUGAGUUAUAACUUGAUUGGUAUGAGUAUUGUUGUCAAUGUAGGAGCACAUGAGUUUGAGUGUGUUGAAGCGCAUUAUCCUCCUAUUUAUGGGUUAAGAAGGGGCUAUAGGUAAUUAUAUGCAUUGUGUCAAAAAGAACAAAUAUAAUCAGAACCUAUAAUGAAAGUAAUAGGUCAAUUUAGCCCGGGCUCAUAAAAAAUAAUAAACCCAUAAUAAUAAAACAAAGUCCAAAAUUAUAUCAUUUGGCCCGAUCGGGAUGGCUCAUUACUUGAAAAGGUUGAAGGUCUAUCUACAAGCUUGAUGCAUAUGGAAACAUAAUCUUUAAGGAUAUGCAAUCUUAGAUAUGAUAUGUAAUCUUAGAUAUGAUAUGCAAUCUUAGAAGAUAUGAUUUUGUAAUCUUAGAGAUUUAAUUUGUAGAUGCCUUUUAAUCUUAGCCGUUGAUGUAAUUAAUCUGUACCGUUGGAUUUGGAGAGGCUCAACUAUAAAUAGAUGCCUCUCCCUUCAUUGUAAAGGGGAGAGUUGGGAGUAAUAAUAAUUUUUAAGAGUAUUUAUUCAAAUUUCUCUCUCUCUUGCGUUCUUAUUUUGUUGAUUUAUGUAUAAUUUAUUUAUUGAUUUGUAGAUUGUUGAUUUCAAAUCUCUUUUUCCCUUAUUAUUCAUUUUCAAAUUCAUUAUUUUCAAAUUUGUUUACAUUUUAUUUUGCCUUAUAUUUUAUUAUUAUUUUUUAUUCAUGCGCAUGCAUCGUUUUUAUGUAAUAUAUAUUGUUUUAUAUAUAGUAUACGUAUGCUUAUAUAUAUUUUAUACAUAUGUUUUUAUUUUUAUUUUACUUCCUAACUUUUAUAUACAUAUAUAUACUUUUAUAUUUAGUUUCAAUUUUUUUUUACUUUUGUAUAUAUGUACAUGUAUGUAUUUAUAUUUUUUUCUAAUGAAUAUUUUUAUAUAUAUACGCACAUGUCUAUGUUUUUUAUUUGCUUAAAUACAAACUUAUAUUUUCAAGACAUAUGUUAUAAUAUAUAUGUAUAUUUAUAUAUUUUUCUUUAUUUUCAUAAAUGCAUUAUAUAUAUUUUGUUAUAAAUUCUAUAGUCCAAAAUUUUAUAUGUAAACCCAUGUGUAUGUCUUUUAUUCUUUAUAAUUUCAUGUAUAUAUUUUGUACAUUUUUUUCUCUUUAUAUUUUUUUGUUUAUUUCCUUCAUUUGCUUAUUGAUUUAUGUUUUUAUUUAUAUUUUGUUCAUUUGAUACUUUACAUGUCGUUUUUUAUGUACAUUAAUUUCGUUUAUUUCUAUGCCAUUGUUUUAUUUAUUAUUGUAUUUUACACUUAAUGUAGCAUUACAUCAUUUUUUUACUCGAUUUUAAAAUUUUCAAAAUUGAGAUAAUACUCGUAUUUAGGAUUUUCAAGAAAAUUGAGCCCUAACGUAUUGGGUUACAAUUUUCUUCGUUAAAUCUAACAAUCGAGAAUUGCUCAUUAAUCAAAAAUAAAAUGAAAAGCUUGUUGUCGGGAAUUUAAUAUGUUGUAUCCUAACGUAUUGGAUGUGACGUAUUGAUUUCUCGAGACAAAGAUUUUUUUUAAAAAAAUAAUAACAAAGGAAAUAUUCCAAGUUUAGGAUUUUGAGAAAUUGUGCCCUAACGUAUUGGGCCGCGAUUUCUUUAUAAAUCUUAAACAAAUAAAUAUUCUUUUAAAUUUUAUUACACGAGUAUUUUGGACUAAUUCAUUUUUGAGGAAUUAGAAUGUCGUGCCCUAACGCAUUGGGUGUGACAUUUUCUUUCUCCGAAAUGAUAAGAGUCUUAAUAAGUAACGUUUUUUAAGUUUUUAUUAAGGAUCAUAUUUUUAAAUUUUCGACAUUAAGACACUAAUUAAUUAACUAGGUACCAAUUUUGGGCGUUACGAGGGUGCUAAUCCUUCCUCGUACGUAACCGACUCUCGGAUCCAUUUUUCUAAAACUCGUAGACCAAAGCUAUUUUUUAGGUGAUCCAAUCACACCUCAAUAAAAUAUUGGUGGUGAUUCCCAAUUUUUAUUUUUUAAAGUCGACAACUAAUUUUUUUUCAAAAUAAAAAAUGGUUUCGACAAUGAGAUUAUUAAAAAAAAUAAUUGCUCUUCAAUAUGUUUUCUUUAGUGUAAUUAUUCCAUUUUAAAUAUUAAUAAAGAAAUUUCAACUGGUUUUCUAGGUUUGGAUAUUAAUGAUUUAAAUGUUUUUAAGGUUAAAAUAUGAAAUUGGUCUAUCUACUCUUCAUAAACUUAAAAUUCAGUCGUAUUUUUAUUUUCAUGAAUUUAAUCUAUCCAUUUUUGGGUUUCAAAAUUCAAGUUCAAUUGUUAAUAUUGUUUUUUUUUGUUCAAUUUGUUGGUAUGAUAUUUUGAAAUUAAAAAAAAAUCACUUUGUAGCAAUGUAACUAACAAAAUGAUGUUCUAACGAAUAAUUUUAACACUGUUAUCAAUUGGACGUAAAUUUUAGAAUCUAAAAAAAUAAAAAAACUAAAUUCUAAAUUUAGAUAAGGACUUAUGACAUAUUUUAACCUUAUCAUUAAUCAACUUAUUCAUAAUUAAUUUCUAUUUCUAUAAAAUAAAGCAUGUAAAAUAAACAAAAACAAAUUAUUAAACUAUAAUAAAGCAUGAGUUUGAAGAAACAAUUAAUUAUUAUUUGAAACAAUCUCAUUAUAUAUUUUGAUCAAAUCUACUCUUUUUGAUACAAUGUGGAGAACUACUCAUAGCUCCUCUCCAACUCAUAAAUAGGAAGAAAAUACGCUUCAACCUACGUCCUCCUGCAUCAGCAACAAUACUCAUACCAAUCGAACUAAAACUCAAUCAACAAAUAUUGAUUAAUUUUACCUGUUAUUCCUCGCAAAUGACCCCCAAACAAAUUCUCGCACAAAUUUCGCGAUCUCACUAGAAAAGUAGUUUGUGUAAAUCCCAUCAAUUUAAUCUACUUAAAAUUUUAUCAAUAAUGAAUUGGAAUGUAUCAAAAGGGACCUGCUUAUGAAGCAAUGAGACUCCCAAAUACUUCCUUAAAUCAUCAGCUCUCGAAAAAACUAAGGCUCACAUUACACUCACUUUAUGUCUCGAAAACAUAUAGAAAGUAUUCAGUAACAUGAUCUAUAUUUGCUCGACAAGAAAGAAUGAGGUCGUGGAUUUGAGCUUUACAAUAAACUCGUCAUUCCAAAGCAACUGCAUAAUUAAUGACGAGAUGCAAUUCAUGACCAAAAUGAUCAACUUAACAAGAAGCAAUGUCUCUUUCAUUGAAUCAUUGAAGAAGUCUCUUCGAAUUCUAUCAUAUGCUUAAUCUAGAUCCACAUCGAUAGUCAUUCAUGCUUCGUAACCUUUAUUGGUUCGCAUAAUGUGUACAACUUCUUGAAUAGCUAUGAUGUUAUUUGUUUAUUCCAUCUGAUAAUAAAAUUAACUUGAUUUGGAUCAAUAAGUCUUGACAUAAAAAUCCGCACGGACGACGUCAGGGUAGGACUUCUUAAAAUGAAAAAUUUCAGUUUUAACUUUUAAAAUUCAUACUUUUUUUAAAAUUAGCAUAUUGUAAAAUUAUACUUUAGUCCAAAUAAUAAAAUUUAAAUUUUAUUCAAAUUAUAGAUUAAAAAAAAUCACAUCAACUAAAUUUAAAUGCUAAUUAAUUGAAUACCGACAAGGUUAUGUAUGCUAUACUUCAUCAAAUAAUCUUGUUGUGUAGCUUAGUUCAUCAUCAUCAUCAUAUAUAUAUAGCGAUAACCACGUAAGGUGUUGUUUACAAAGACAAAACUAGGGAAAAUCGACACGUUCUAAAGAAAAGACAGAGACGUUUCUGGUCGGCGAAGUUUCCUUCCUUACCUUUCUUGUUCCCUACUCCUUCCUCUUCUUCUUCUUCUUCUUCUCUAUUUCCCCUUCUUUCUAUCUCUCUCACUCUGUCUCUGCAAUUUUCUGAAAAUGGGUUUGUUGGAUUCACUUCUCAAUUGGCUCCGCAGGUAAUUUAUAGUGCUGCCACUUGUUUGAUUGCUUAGAAAAUGCUACUUAACUGCUUCUCUCAUAUUGCUUCCCUUAAAGAAAACUGUGAUUUAGUAUCUGAUAUGGGCUUCAAUUCUGUUAAUUGCUAAUAGUUUGUGCAAAUAAAUCCAAGUACAAUAUGAGAUUGGGGGAUUAGGGGAAUUGUUUUCUUUAAUGAAAAUUUAUGGUUUGAAUUUAUAAACUUUCAAUUUAGUUUAGUAAGUAUAUUUUUUUUUCGAAUUUAGGCUUGAUUACGUCACUAGGAAUAACCGGGAGAAAUCCCGAUAUUAGUUCUGUAUGACAAUGUGAGACUGGGCUAUAAUUUUCUUUUGCCGUGUUUGGCUGCUGGGAAAAUCGCAGGAUUUUAAUAAACUUUACAUCUCUUACUUUGGACUAAACAUUUGAUUAUAGAUUUGUAAAAUAGACACUCCCCAUCAAUGAACACCAUAAUUUUUUUUUUUAGAAAUACCAACUACUCUAAUGGUUUUGACUAGCUUAAUCUUCAAACUGCUCGAAAACAUUUGAUGUUCGUAUAAAAUAUCCAUUCUUCGCCAUAGUGUGAUUGCAAAUACUGGUGUGGUAGUUGGAAAUAUAGUUGAUGUUUAAUGUCGAUUUUCUAAUACUGUUGAAGGUACCAUUUGCAUGAGACAAUUUGUUCUUUGAGAUUCUAUAGUCGAAGCGAGUCAAGGCAGUAAACUUCUUAGUUAAAUCAAAUUCUUUUGUUAUGUUUUAGCUUUACAUUAGUAACUUUUUACUAAUGUUUUAAGUGUACAAUAAGAAAUAACUGUUAAUCUGCAAGUGUUCUAUUGAAACUCGGUACAACUAGACGCUGCAGACAUUUGUGACCAGGAUAUUGCAUGGUUUGACAUUUUCCGGAGCAGCUCAUUCCGAAUUAUGAAUUAUACAAUAGUGAUGUUAAUAAUUUAAACUGUUAACCAAUAUAGGACCAAACAGUUUUCUUUGUUUCUUUGGUUUUCGGUAGUCAUUAGUUCUCGUAUGUUCUUCAAUUUUUCGUCACCCGAUUGUCCUUAUGCCUGGAAUAUAGGCCAUGCCAUCUAGCUUCUUUCUCUUUUGGGUAAAUUACAGUAGAGGUCACCCAACUACUGUUUUUUUUUUUCUUUUUUGGUCACCCUGCUAUGAAAAGUUACAAAAUGCUCAUCUACCUAUUCAAUUGUCUUUUUUGGUCACCAACUGAUUAAUGCAAAAAUUAAAACCCCAAAAAUUCAAGAUAGUUGGGUGACCAAAAAAGACAAAAUUGCAUAUGAGUGACCAUUUUGUAACUUUUCAUAGUUGGGUAACUACUAAGUAGUUUACUCUUCUUUUAUUGAGAUAGCCGUUUUGUAAAAUCAUCAGACCACCACAUUUCAUUGUAUAAUUUGUUCCGAAAUAAUAGUAAGUCUAUGCUUCUUUCUGAGUAUCUGUAUUGCAGCUUAUUCUUUAAGCAGGAAAUGGAACUAUCUCUCGUCGGUCUUCAGAAUGCAGGAAAAACAUCUCUUGUUAAUUCCAUUGCUGUGAGUAACAUGUUUUUUUUUCCUCUUUCUUCCUAAGCAUUGUUAAUGGCUUUAUCUGAUCUUUACUUUCGUAUGUUUUCCAGACAGGGGGCUAUAGUGAAGACAUGAUUCCCACCGUAGGUACCUUUUUAUUUAGACUAAUCAGAUAUAAUGAUUCUCCUUGAGGAUAUCUUAAAAGAAAAUUCAUCAAAUGUGGAAUCUAGGUUGGAUUUAAUAUGAAAAAAGUUACAAAGGGAAAUGUGACGAUAAAGCUUUGGGACCUUGGAGGGCAACGGAGGUUUCGUACCAUGUGGGAGCGUUACUGCCGUGGGGUCUCUGCUAUCGUGUAAUGCUUUCAUUCUCGUAAUCUAUUAUGUUUAUGGUAUAUCAAUUAACUUCUUUCAGUUUAGAAUGAACACGCGCAAACGUAUUAUUAGCAUCCUUUUUUAUAUACUUAAAUCGCUCAUUUAAUAUAAUGGCAGAUAUGUAGUUGAUGCUGCUGAUAGAGACGGUGUUCCGAUAUCCCGAACUGAGUUACACGACCUCUUGACAAAACCUUCCUUGAGUGGAAUUCCUUUGCUUGUUCUUGGUAACAAAAUUGACAAGUCAGAAGCUCUUUCGAAGCAAGCUUUGGUGGAUCAGCUGUAAGUUUUACAAGCUUUACAAUAAGACAAAACUUGUUUAUCUAAAAAAUGUGUUUUUAUUUCAUUUGAUAGAGGUCUGGAAUCAAUCAGUGAUAGAGAGGUGUGCUGCUACAUGAUUUCAUGCAAAGAUUCCGUAAAUAUAGAUGUCGUCAUCGAUUGGCUAAUCAAGCACUCGAGAUCCGCCAAAUAAGCAGGGGUGGAAUGUUUUCUCCUAUUUUGUCUCCUUGCAGGUGAAGGAAAGGACCCGUGUCUACAAGUUGAAAUUCCGGUUAAAAAUUAUUCAUUGAAAUUCCCUUCGAUUUAUGUUGUGUGUGAUCCGAAUAAGUUUUUCGUGAACUGCUCGAACGAAUUUAGGCCUAGCUUGGAUGUAUGAUUAAUGCCCCCUUUGCAGAAUAUUAAGGGAGGCAUUAGUCUCCUUUAAUGGAGUCCAAAGAGUGAAUUAGUUUUUAAUGUAAGUUAUGAUCUACUUCAGUGUGAUUGGUGUCCAAAUGUGUGUCUUGUCAUGAAAUGGUUAUGGGAGACUUCCCCCAUGAGCUAAAUUCCAGAUAUCAAAGUGGAUUUGGGAAAGGGUCACUGGAAACAGAUUUAUAUACCACACCUGGGAAAAGUACAAUUUAAAUUUAUUUGAUUCAUUUUAAUAAUAUAGCGAUGAAAUUGAUCUAUUUAAUAAUAGAGGAAUUAAUUUGAUUUAGUCCCUAUAAUACUAGAUGCUUUAGUGUUCAACGGUGAAAUAUUUAAAAAUAUAAUAUUCUCAAAUUCAUAAGUUUAUAUAUAUAUUUAUUAUUAUUUAAUAGUAAAUUUGACUAUAAAAUAUAAAUACGAAAAAUAUUUUUUAUAUUUUUUUACGUUUGAUUUGUGAAAAACAAUUUAAUUAACGGAAAAUAAUUUACGAGUGAAUAAUAACUAAGUCCUGUUUUUGAAAAUUGAUUUUCCUUUUGAAAGUGUAAAUAAUUUUUCAGAGAAGAGCUGCUUAUGACUAUAUUGAUAUUUAUAUAAAAAUUAACUUGAAUCAAGUCAAAUAUUAUUAAAUUAAUAAUAAAAUUUUAAUUUUAAUAUUUAAAGUUAUUAAAAUAUUGAUCUGAAAUAUUAUAAUUUUCAAUAUUAUUAAACAUAAAAUUUUAUAUUUAAUAAUAUAAUAAUUUGUUAAUAUAAUUUAUUAUUUUAAUAAAAUUAGUUAAUAUUAAAAUUUUAUUUUAGUAACAAAUUUCAGUUUUAAUAAUAAUAAUUUUAUUAAUAUUUUAAUAAUAAAUAUAUAUACAAUUUAUAAAUAUCUAGUCAGAACUGUUCUAUAGAUAAAAUAUAAAUAUUUUAAUAAUAUAAAUAAGAGUAAAUGUUUAAAAAUAGUUUAGUUUCAUUUAUCUCUUGUACCUUCAUUGAUUAUUAUUAAGCCUAUAUAAGAUAUUAGUUAUUGGUCAUGUUUGACAAUUGGCUGAUAGUUGAUAGUUGAUUGCUGAUUGCAGUUGUUUUCAAUGAAACAAAUAUAACCUAAUUUAUAUUGUUGUCGACAUUAUUAAUUUUUAAUUAACACUAGUUUCUUAUUGAGCCAUUAUUAAAUCUUUAUACCCAAUUGGACUUAUCGAUAUAAUCCUAACGCUUAAGAUAAAAGUUUUAUCAUCAUGUUUGGUUUCUUUUACGUGAUUUUGAAAUCUAAAUAUAUGAUUUUUAUAUUUAAAUUAAAUUUGUCAAAUAAUUUAUGAUAAUCAUUUAAAAAUUAUAUUUAAUGCAUUGUAAUAUAACUAAUUCCACUAUCAUUAAAUUAACUUAUUUUUUGCACUCCAACAUCAUAUGUAAAAUAAAUAUUUUAACUUUUUACUGUAUUUUUUUGACAUUAAUGCUAACUUGAAAUUUAAAAAACUAACAUUUUCAAAGACUUUUUCAAAACACUUUCUUCAAACCAAAUAUAUUUUAGGAGCACUUUAUCGACUACAAUACUAAUGUUAAACUAGCCUUAAGUAGAAAGGUGUUCCUAGGUCAGAUCAAGCUCAAAUCGUAUUUAUUCAUGGUAUUAUCAUAAUUCAUGCUUUGCCUAAGUCUUGUUGCCCAACCCAAAAUAUGAACAUCAAAUUUUUGUCCAAAUUUGUUCAUAUUUAUAAAUGGUUAACCUAAUUGCAGUUUAGGCUCACUCGCAUUUUUUAAUCUUUUACGAAAAAAAUUAUGCUAUUUUUAAUUUAAUAUGUUUUUUUCUUGUAUUAAAUUUUUUUGAUAUUUUUCAUGUCUGUUUUAUGAUCCAUGUUCAAGAUUUGUAAUUACUCAUUUCAAUAAUGUUGUCUCUAAGAUUCCGAACUUGUAUUCUCCCCUUAAAAGUACAAUGUGUUGCACCCAAACAGUUGUUGGUUCUUUUAUUAAAAUUUUAAAUGUAGACAACUUCAUGUUUUUUAAAGUUAUAGCUUUAAAUUUUAUGUGAUCGAAAUAUAAAAAUAAAUUAAAUCAAAACUUAACAAUACACUACCUAAUUGAAAAGGAGUUCAACUAGGUCAUGUUUAAUCAUUAAACAUCAAAGUUUAACUUUUUGUCUAAAUUCAUUUUUUAGAUUUAAUAUUUCUAUCCAAACCUUUUCAUAAAUUAGACAAAAUUUUAAAUUAUAGUUAAACUUCAAAGUGUAGAUUUAAAUAAUGGUUAAAAUAAUAUAAAAAGUAACCCUGUGUUUAGCCUAUUGACUAUGCACACACCAUAAAUAGAUAAUCCCUACAAUUCGAAUCAACGACAUGAAUUUUAUGAAAUCACUCCCUAUAUAUAUAAACAAUUAUUACAAUUCGAAUCUAUGGAUUGUUAUGAAACCACUUUGUAUAUAUAUUGCUAUAAAAGAGGUUGAUAAUGACAAUAGAAUGAUCGCAAAAAUAAGAAAAGCAAGAACACAAGUUUUACGUAGAAACCCUUUUGGGAAAAAGUUACUGGCGGAGAAAAAGAUAUUCACUAAUAUUGAAAAACUAAUGAUACAAAAAGAGUUUCGCCUACAUCUAUUUAAAGGUUGAAAAACCUUAUUCUAAUCAAUGUCAAAUAGAAGAAGUGUAGUUCUAUACGGAUUCUACUUGUGCGGCAUGGUCCAUACCGUGAGAGCCGGAGAUCUCCUUAUUUUAUCAUCGUAUUUUAUUUAUUUAACAAGUGAUGAGAUUCGGGUCACACAACUCUAACAUAUAUAUAUAAUUUUUACCAUUCAAAUCAAUGAUAUGAAUUGUUAUGAAAUCACCUGUGAAGUAAGCCUAGUAGGAAUGAUUAAGGAAGAAAACUUAAGAGUAUAAGGAAAAGAUGAAUGGCAUUCACAUAAAAAAAAAAAAAAGAAAGAAAAAAGAAACACCAUUUGAAAGAAGAAACACCAUUUAUGCACCACCACCUUUACAAAAAAGAAUAAUAUCCCAUUGUUUUCUCACAUUAAGACAAGACAGCUUUGUUAAGUGGAAGGGAAGAGUGCCCCUUUAUCCUCCUUUAUUUCUUCAUAAUGGACACUUUUUGAAGACAGCAACCUUUCAUGAAAUAAAGUAAAAUCAACUCUGCCUUUCUUCUUCUGGAAUUUCUUGAAUAUUGUUUACCUCCUGCAUUGCAUUGGAACAAUCAUUUAUUUAUUUAAAUCCGAAUUUUAGGAGGGCAAAAGCCACAAACCAAAUCAAUUUAAUUUUACUAGAACAUUUUUUUGGGUUAAUAUAUUAUUUAAUACUUAAAUUUAAUUUCAAUGUUCAAUUUGGUACUUGAAUAUUUUCAGAGACCCUAUUAUUGGUAUUUUUUGGGCCCUAGGUAAAAUAAUAAAAUGGGAUUUUAAGUUCCUUAAAAGUUGGAAAAUUUUUAUUUAGGUACCUUAGAAGUUAGUAAAAACAUUUUUGGGCCCUUAAAACUUAAAAAAGUUUUUUUGGGGCCCUUUAAAAGUUAGUAAGUUUUUUACUUUUAAAAGUUAAAAAAAAAAUUUGGGCCUCUUAAAAAUUGAAAAACAAUAUUUUAGACCCUUUCAGCCUUAGACCUUAGGCGGCCCGUACAUCCAGUCGACCCCCAAGGCCGGGCCUGACUAUUUCUUUGUUCCAUUUUGAUAGAUGAGUUUGGCUUUAAUGUUGCUAGAUCAAACGGCAUAAUGUAACCUAAUAAAUGUUUAACAAAUGUGCUUUAAUAAUAAAAUAUAGGUACUUAAUUGGGACAAAAAAAAAAGGCAUAAGUAUCAAACACAAAGACUUAAUUGGGAUAAAAGAAAACUCAAGUACCAAAGUGAAUCAUGUAUAGAAUUGAGAAAAAAAAUUCAAAUACCAAAUUUAACAUUAAAAUUAAAAUAAGGACUUAUCUAAAUAAAGUAAAAAAGCUUAGUGUUUUACCAUUUCAGUCCACCACCUUUGUUAAGAAAGCAAGGAAAAUGAGGAAGACAACAAUGGCAUUAGCAGCCAAAAAACCAAUGAAAAUGGCGAAUUAUGUCUUUUAGCUAAAUUAUCCCAAGCCCCAAAAGUGGAGAACCUGGCAUAACACUUGCCCAAGUACAAAUCGCCGUACGCCGCUGCUCUACAUUCGGUUUUCAACCGUCCGAUUGCUUCCGACAAACAAUCCCGACAAUCGUCGGCGUUAAGGUCCCCCACGCAUUGAGCCAAACCCUGGAUAUCCCCUGACCCGCCCUCUCUGAAUGAUCCACCGCCGUUCAUCAACCCGUUCAUCACCGCAUCUCGACGGCCCACGAUCUCCGAUUCCUUGUCGUACUCCACCGACGGCCCGCACUUCUUGAACACCACGUUCUUAUCCUGGACUCCUAGGAAGGUAGCGUUGUCGUACUUGACGAAGCAGCCUUGCAGCUGAACCGCGCCACCGCAUGCGGAUGGGCAAUAGGAGCCAGCUUUGGUGAUUGCACGGGCGACGCAGGUGGCGCAAUCCAGCAUAGAAAGGUCGCCGCGGCAUUGGUAAAGGCCGUAAACAACGUCUUGGGGACUUGAGCCUAUGAUGGUGUAGGUGUUGUAGGUGGAGUAAGUGGCUGAGUUAACUAGGGAAGUGAAUAGUGAGUUGAGAUUGGACUCGAAGGGUGAGUUGGGUGUGUAUUUUUGUUGAGAACAGCCUCCAAAGACGAAUGAAUCUGUAGAUGAAGAAACCACUGUUUGGAUGGAGAGAAACGUGAAAGAGACGAAGCAUAUGGAGAGGGACAGUAGAGCAUUAGCUGCCAUUAUCGCCAUGCUUGGUGGUAAGAGAAGGAAGAGACUAUAUAUAUAUAUAGUUAUCAUGCAGGUAAAAUGUGCUAUUAGUCCCUGUAUUUGUAUAGAAUUUAAGAUUUGGUCCCUGUACUUCAAAAGUCCUACUUUUUUAAUUUAAAACCUUAGUCCAAUCAUUAUCAUAUUUGCCUCGUUGGUAGUUUUUGUCAAUUUAACAUGUUUAUUCUCUAUCAAUUGUAUGUCAUGCCAUAUGGUGAUAGCCAAAUCAAAAUUUCUAGUUUUGACAAAAUUUGACCCAAAAAAAAACACUUAUGGUUUUAAUGAUUGGAUUGAGAUUUUUAAAUAAAAAAAAUUAGGACGACUUAAAUUUUUAAUUUUUUAAGUACAAAGAUUAAAUCUCAAAUUUUAUUAUAGUAUAAGGGCUAACGACAUAUUUUAACUUUAUCAUGCGCUUGAAGUUUAAAAUUAGUAUGAUAUAUUAUAUCAAUUGAAACUAAUUGACAUACAUUAUUUACGUAAAUAGAACAUGAAAGAUUAUCAUAUUGUUAAAAUAUUAAUUGUACAAAAAGUUACGAACACAUGUAAAACAAUUUUAAAUUUGCAUUAGUGUAGGUGGAUCUCACCUUAUAAAUAUAUAUUAUUGAGGAGUGAUUCACUUAUAUUUGUGUAAAAUCUUUUUCAUGAAUAAUAUUUUAAUAAUCUUGUCGUUAAAUUUAUUAAUAUAAUUGUACUCGUUAUAUAAGUAAAAUUUCAAAUCCAUCUAACAUCUCUAUGAUAUCAUUCAAAAAUGUCACAUUUACCCAUAUAUAUAGGUUAAUUUAACAAAAUAUGCUGAAAAAAAAAACAAUUGAGAAACUAUGUUGAUUUUCUAAAAAUUUAUCGAUCUACGAUGUUUUUAUUCUCUUUCCUGAAAACACAUCCUAUAGGGCGCAUUUUCACGGAUGUGGCAGUGAAAACGCGCCUUUGUAGGACAUGUUUUUAGGAGAGAGAAUAAAAACGCGUCCUAUAGGGUGCGUUUUUACUUUGGUAAAUUUUUUUUUCUUGCUAUUGGAAAUUAAAAUUUUGUAGAUUUAUUUUUGUUCGUGUUUGAGAUAGACAAGUUAUAGUUUUAAGGAAUGUUUGAAUUUACGGUGGUGCCGUGGAAUUGGGUGACCUACAAAUUUCGUUUGCCAUAUGAGUAUGGAGCCAUCACUCGGGAAGCCGGAUCACAUUGCAACUCAAGGUCACAGUUGACGGUAAUUAUACAGUUUAAGGUUGAAGUGUAACUAGGGCCUCAAAUUUACAAAGGUAACGCUAUCAAUGGAUGGAGCAUAAAUGGGGCUGUAGUUGAUAGUGAUUAUGUAGGAACGACAACGAGUUCUUCUCAUCAGAAGAGGAUGCUUUAUAAAACUCAAACAUAAGUACGAGGAAGAAAAACGUAGUGGCGUUUCAGUAUAAUCAAGUAAUGCAUUUUAUCCAUCACCACCGAAUGAGGUGACCCUAUUAUUAUAACCUGUGACAACAUUAGGGGUGUAACAGAUUAUACUAACAAGGUCACUGCCUUCGGUGGAGAUGGACAACACGAAUUACUUGAUUAUAUUGGAAGGCCCCUUGUGUUUUCCUCCCUCAUGCUUAUGUUUGAGUUUUAUGAAGUAUGCUCCUCUGAUGAGGAGAAACUCGUUGUGAUGCUCGCAUUAGCACCGUCAACUACGACCCUGAUUAUACUUCAUCCGUUGAUAGUAUAAACUUUGUAAACUUGAAAUCUUAGUUACAUUUCAACCUGAGAUGGUAUAAUUACUGUCAAUUUGGACCUUGAGUUGUAAAGUGAUCUCGACUUCUCAAGUGAUGACUCCAUACUCACACGGCAGAUGAAAUUUGUAGGUUACUGAGCUUUAUGACAUCACCAUGAACCCAAACACAACUUAAAACUAUGACUAUGUCUCCCUCAAAGCGAGAGAGAAAUAAAUCUUUAAAUAUGAAAAUUUUAACACAUAAGAAAAAGAAAAAAAAAACAAUUUAGAGGAGAUUGAGAUGUAGGUGAGUAGGGGAUGAAGAAUGAGCAUUUAUAUAGGGGAUGGGGCGGGGUAUAAAGGGAAUUUUUUUUAUCCGAGUUGCAGGGCUCAGAAGAAAUCAAGUUGGGUUGGUUGAAAUGUCCAAAGAGACAACGCUCCCUAUAGGGGGAGUUUUGAUCUGACAUUGCAGUGAAAAUGCUUCUUGUAGGACUCAUUUUCAACCCAUAUGUCUAACAUGUUAGUUGAAAACGAGUUCUACAGGAAGCAUUUUCACUGCCAUGUCAGAUGAAAAUGCCCUCCGUAGGGAGCAUUUUCUCUCUAGGCGUUUCAACCACCAAACUUGAUUGCUUCUGAGCCCUUGCAGCUCGGAAUUCAGGGGAUAAGCUUGAUUGGGGAAAAUGUAGAAAUCGCAUGUGUGGAACUCGCAUGCUCCUUUCGAGUUGGUACUGGAUAAAAACUCGCUGCACAAGCUGAAAGGUCAUCCGAAGUAAACUCGGAUACGAGGAAAUAUGGAUAUUAAGGAGCAUAGAGACACACCGAAAUUAUGCGAUUACUGUAGAAACUCAGGGCAUACGAAGCCAACAUGUCCACACAAUUCGGGAGCAUUAAGGAGAAGAGCUAAUUAAAACACUAACUUAUUCGUUUAUUCAUUAAUUUUUUUCUAUAAAUUGUAAGUUAAUAUUAAUUAUUGAAGUAAGAUAUAUUACAAUAUGCAAGCCAAAGUUUUAAUCUUUUUCCGAACCUUCUAAGCAAUUCUUUGCUUUUUGAAAAUAUUUGUAACACCCAUUAACCCCACACCGUCGUCGGAACAGAGUUACGAGGCAUUACCGAACAUAUCGGAUACUUUACGAUUAAAUUCAAAAAUAAAUAACAUACAUAUUAUAAUUUACUGAUUUAGUCCCUUUCAUGGACCUUCGAGGCCCAGAAUACGUAUUAGAAAUUAAUUGGGACUUGUUCGAGUGCUCCGAAUUUUUUUUUUAAAAACUCAAUAUAACCCCUUUAUAAUUAACUAACCUUCCCUGCAAAUUCAAACCACAACCAAUUUGCAACCAAUAUAACAAUCUAUUCAUCUCCAUACUCAAACAUGCCUAAUUAUGCCUACAACAUUAAUUUAACAAUUUAUCUACUUAAUCAUUCAUAAAUAAUUUUUAAUUGAACUAAUAAUUUCAUUUAUUUCCAUUUUAGUUUCAUGCCACAUUUACCAAAUAUGCCAUAUUAUUUCAUUUCAUACUUAUAAUCCAUAUUAGACAUCAUUUUACAACCAAAGUUACAAGACUUAAGUACAUAACUUAUAUGAUACCUAAGUACAUGCCACUUUUAUAAAAAAAAAGAUUACAUCUCCAAAUUGUCUCUAAAGUCGGGAUUGAUCUAGAUGCUGAACUAGGACCUUUGAUUUCUACUGACCUGCGCACUGAAACAACCGUACGCUGAGUAUUUCAUACUCAGUGGUAUUACCAUAAUUCAAACUAUAUAACUUUAAUGAAUUAUAAAUAUUAAUCAUAUAACAUUAAACAUGUAAAAUUUAUAACUCAUAAGAACUAAUUUACAUUUAGUUUCAUAUUUCAUAUAUAAUAAUUCAUCAACCAUAUCAUAUAUUAAUAACUUGAAUUUAAUCAAUUCAUGAACCUGAGGUUCAUGCUUUCAAAUCUCACAAUUCGACUAACAAUUUCUUUCUUAUACUUCCAGUCAUAUGAUCAAUCAAAUUUAUUCAAUACUCACAUUUCAAUUAUUCACCCUAUUAACAAACUUGGACCUUGGCGGAUACACGGAUUCCAACCAAACACACCAGUACGGUACAUUGUGCCUAAAACGGUACUCAGUACCUGAUCAAUAUAUCAGAAGCAGUAUACGACACAUAAAAUGCCUAAAACGGCACACGUGGUGCCUAAUACGACACAUAUAGUGUCUGAUCGGUAAAGCUGAUAAAUUCCCGUACUCUUCCAAUCCUAUGGCAUGCCAACUAUAUCCGACUAGGCCCAAUUAAUUAAUAGUAGAGGUGAUCAUGGGCCAGGCUGGGUCGAGUUCGGGCCGAGCCCAAACAAAAUUUUAGGCCCGUUUCCUACGCCCGGGCCCAGCCCAGCCAGAAAUAUGGGCCUAAAAAUUUUGUCCAAACCCGACCCGAAAGAAAAUUGCUAAGCCCGAGCCUGGCCCGACCCGGCCCAUAUUUGAUUAAAAAUAAAAAUAUAUAUUUAAUAUAUAAUUCAGAUUAAAAGUCUAAAAAAUAUAUUUAAUAGAAAGUAUAUUUGAUUAAAAAAUAUAUAUUUAAUAUAUAAUUCGGGCCGGGUCGGGCCUGGGCCAAAAGGUUUUACACGAGGCCUGACCCAUUUUCUAAACGGGCCUCGUUUUUUUGCCCAAACCUAUAUUUCAGGCCUAUAUUUUUAGCCGAACACUCUCAUUUUUCGAGCGGGCCUUCGGGCCGAGCCGGGUAGCUCAACCCAUGAUCACCUCUAGUUAAUAGGGUAUUCAAAUCACUUUCUCAAUUUCAAUUUUCACUUUCAAUGUACAAUUCAAUUCGAUACAAUUUUCCACUUUCCAACAAUAUACUAUCAAAUAUUCAUACAUAAUCAUACUUCAUCUCAAUUUCAUUCAUUUCAAUAUUGAUACCUACCUUAAAAUUUUACUUACCAUACACAUAAAUCUAAAUAUAACAUUUAAUAAAUAGUAGUUUGAAUUAUAGUAACACAAACCGUGAAUUUCUCGUUUUAGUCCUCGAUAGCCUUCUCCUUUCCUUUGUGUGCCGAUGCCUCGGGGUUCUUUUCUAGCUACGGAAAUUAAAAUAAUUAUACUAUUAAUUAUAGCACUAAUUAAUAAUAAUAAUUGAAUUUUUAUCCAAUUUAUACCCUAAUUCCAAUUUAAUCCUAAUUAACUCAUUUACUUUUCUAACUCAAUUCACACUUCAUUUCUACUUAAUAUCUUGCCAUAUUCAACUUAACUAUUCAAUGUUCAUAUUAAAACCCUAAUUUUAAAAUUCUUUCAAUUUAAUCCCUACCAUGUAAAACUUAUAACUUACUUUACAAUUCAAUCCUCUUUUUCAAUUCUAUCUUGAAAUUCAUCCAAUUAAACCUCUAAUUCAUUAUUUUGUUCAACAUGAACUAUGUUCAAAAACCUAAAAACUUCCAAAACCUCAACUUAACUUCAACAAAACUUUGUUCUAAAGCUUCUAAAACAUCAAAUUUAAGUAAAAAGAACUUAAUUGACUUACCAAUUAAAGUUUAAAGCUUCCAAACUAGACCUGUCCAUGGGCCGGGCGGCCCGGCCCGAUGGCCCACCCGAAAUAUGGGAGGGUUCGGGUAAAAAUAUAGGCCCGAAAUAUGGGCUUGGGCAAAAAAAUGAGCCGGGCCUCGGGCACCACUUUUUUGGCCCGGGCCCGGCCCGGCCCGAAUUUAAUAAAUAUAUAUUUUUAUAUUUUUAUUUUUUAAAUACUUUUAAAAUAAAUUUUUUUAUUUUUAAAAUAAUUUUUUAAUGUUUAUUUUAAAAAUGGGCCGGGCAGGGCCGGGCUCGGGCUUAUGAUAUUUUUCUCGGGCCGGGCCUGGGCAAAAUUUCAGGCCCAUAUUUCGGGCCGGGCUAGGCCCGGGCCUAGGAGGCGGGUCGAAAUUUUUUUCUAGGCCCGGCCCGGCCCAUGGACAGGUCUAUUCUAAACCCUAGUUUUUCCUUUUUCUUUCUUUUCUUCUUUUUUCCCCUGCUACUUUCGAAUAGCCUAUUCUGUUUUGGUUUCCUUCUUUGUUUUAUUUCCUUUUGUUUUUAUGCUUUAUUUGUUUAAUAAUAAUAUAAUAACUUAGUAAAUACCAAUUUAAUAAUCAAUAUAUUUAUUACAAGUGUAAUAUUACUUAUAUUUACACAUGUAUUAUAUCAUCAUCAUACAUUUGUCAUGUUUUACUUAAUAAUAAAUAAUAAAUAAUAAAUAUCUAUUUACUUAAAUAAUAAGUAAUUUAAAUCCAUGAAUUACAAUUGUAUGCUUAUUUUUAUUACACAUGUAUAUUUUAUUACCAUACAUUUGGCAUUAAUUUAUAUAUAUAUUUCAUUAAUUUAAUAAGAUAACAUCAAUUAAAUAAUAAUUUAUACUAUUAUAUUCUAAUAUUAAUUAAUAAUAACUUAAAUCAUUAAAAAUCUUUAGAUUUUUCUCAUUGUUUUGCCGCCUCAACUAUUACUUAAUGGCAUAUUUGCCAUUUUGGUCUUUAAUAUUUUCUUUUGAUCUAUAAUUCAACUUUUACCCCUUAUUCAAUCUAGUCCUUCUUCCUAUUUUCUCUUAAUUAAGCUAAAUUCACUUAAUUAAAACCUAAUUAAACACACUACUAGACUCAAAAAUAUUUCUAAUAAUUAUUUACAAACCCAUUUCGUUAAUACGGAGGUCCGAUAAUGUACUUUUCUGAUGCCCGUGACUUUUGAGUCAUUACAAUAUUGUACUUAACAAAUGGACGGAUAAAAACUUCAAUGAAAAAGCAACAAAUAAUUAUAAAUUUUAAACUCACAAUAUGAUUGUGUACAAAUCAAACCAAUUUAAUAAAUUCGUCUUGUAUAUUAUAAAUAAGUGUACAUUUGUGAUGUAAAACAAAGUAUACAAAAAAUUACAAAAUAACAUAAUCAUAGGCGUCUCAAAUAUGUGCCACAACCGGGUGGGCGUCAGACAUGCCUAGGGUUCUGUCGCACUAUUGGUUUGGUGACUCUUUGUUGACUUCAACUUCAUCUUCAUGUGCAUGUCAAGGUUGAUCGCUGACUUCAUCUUGUUCCUCCAUGGUUAAUUGCGACUAUGUUCUAGCUGCCCAUCGUAGAUUCCCACUAUUUAAGUCGGCAGUUGUGAGGAUGACCUAUCGGGGUAGAACAACGAUGCUAGGGGUGUUUGCGACACUAUUAGCAGGCUACUAUAUGGUGUCGCAUGGCCCAAUUGCUGAUAGAAGGUGGGAAUUAUCGGCAAUACCAGAUGCAUCGAUGUUGUUAACGAGAUUGACAUGUAAUAUGAUACAGUGGGUGACAGUUGUGCAAAAUAUAUCCUUGGAGAAUGUGUUAAUGUAGUGAAUGAUUGCGCGUGCUAUGGUGCUUGUGUAAAAUAAAGUAGUGCUAAAUGAUAUGAUGCAGUGAACGAUUGUGCGUGCUGUGGUGGUUGUGUAAAAUAAAUUGGAGCUGAAGGGGAUGAUGCAGGGAAUGAGUGUGCGUGUUGUGAUGUUUGUGACAAAAAAACUGGGUUAAAAGAAAAAAUAAAUGAACCAUACUGAUUGGGAAGUUGCACGACAAUCUGGUCCUCCGGUACAGAUGGAGCAAAUGUUGAUCCCGCCAGCAGUAGAUACAACUUGUCAUUAUACCUGAAUCAAUCCAUGUAAUUCGAAGAUGUUGCCAACUCCAGUGUGAGAAAUGAUAUUAUCAAAUGAAUUUUACCAAAUGAUAUUAUCAAUCCAUCUAACCUAUUCAAAUAAUUUGUUAUUUCAAAAUUAUAACAAUGAAAAAUAAAAAUAGUAAUGAUAUUAUCAAAUGAAUUUUACCAUAUGACGAGUGGGAAUUCGUAAGGGAGUUCCACUUAGGGGCGUAAAAAUGGUAGUCGAUACCAUGCCCACGAUUGAAGAAGGAGCAUGCAAUCGUCGAUUUUAACUUUAUCCAAUAUCGUCGCUUGACAUAUUUCUCGGAACAAUGUCGUCAGCACCAUUGAUCCCCAACUACGCCAUCCCGGUUCUUUCAAGUCAACUAGUCGUAGUAGCCACCUUAAAUGUACUAGAUUGCGAUAUUUAUCUGGCAUUAGCAGACCCUUGAUCAACCUCAAGAUGAAUGCGCGCGCGAAUUGUUCCUUUUCAACGUCACUCACAGAAGCCUUGAUAGUUUGGAAGUUUCCUCCAACCAUCUCAUCUUGAUCCGGCUAGCCCUAAACUUGUUCGACACCUUCCCUAGCAGUUGCUCGCAUGUUGCACUCCAAACGACACUAAUAACUGGCCCCGGAGUUUGCCAGAUUUGGAGUUAACUGCAUGGUGAAUCCCAUAGAGUGUACUACUCCGCCAAAACGAAUACUUUACUUAAUUCUACCAUUAACUUAACCGAGUUAAAUGCCAAACAAUAACUUGAUAUUGAGUCUUUGUUGGGCAGACUGUUACAUAUGUAAUUUACUUUUUGAUUUAUUUAUACAUUUUAAUUUUAUUAAGAACAUUGUAUUAUCUGAAAACCCUUGCCACUCCACUAAUAAUCAUUUGUUAAUAUAUUUUUAUAACUAUAGUUUUUAAUAUAAAAUAUUUUCAUUCACUCGACGUGAUAAAAUCUAGUAUUAAUAAUAUUACUGAUUAAGAUUGUGUCACAAAUGACCUUAACACCAACUUAGGGUUGAUGGCAACACUGAUAAAUAAUUGUAUUCAUUUAGUAUUCUUAAUAUGAUGUACUCAUAUGUGUAAAUUUCGUUUUACUUACAAUUUAAUCUAUUUUUUUAUUUUAAUACCGUACAUAUUUUAUAUGUUAUUAUUAGUAAUUAAUUUCAAAUCAUAUAUUUUAUUAUUUAUUAUAUGUUAUUUUUAAACACACAUUUGUAUUCUAAAUACAUGGUUUCCAUAUGCAUACACAUGUAAUAGAGUUUCUAGUAUAUCUAAUGAUCGCAAUUUUUUUAUAUAAAAAUAUAAUUAAACAUUUUUAAUUUACUCAAAAUUUGAUACGUAUGAUCUACAUAAUAUAAUGUAACACCCCUAACCCGAAUCCGUCGCCGAAAUAGGGUUACGGAGCAUUACCAGAGUUUACAAAUUAAAUACGGUCAUUUCUCAACUUUUCAAAAUUUUUCUUAGAAGUAGGGAACACAUGCCCGUGUCUCUGCUCGUGUGAAUGUAAAUAGGUCAUUAUUAAACAAAAUACCUAUACAUGCCACUAUAUUCAAAAUCCAAUCAUUCAAACAUACUGAUAUAACCAAUGGAUAGUGUGAUAUAUCUACGACAAGCUUCCAACCCAAUCGAGCUUCCGGUAAUCUGUAGGGUAAAUAAAAAUAAACAAAUACGUAAGCAAUGAAUGCUUAGUAAGCUCGUGUAGUCUUUAAUCAUAUUAGUUCAUUUAAAAUAUGAAAUCUAUACAUAUCAAGAAUAAUCCAAUAUUAAUACCAUAAUACUCAUGAAGCUAUAUUCAAUAACUCACAAGGUGAAUAAAUCCACGGUAUCACUUACAUAUUAUCCCAAGCUUAGUAGGAUUUUAUAUAACUUUAACUCUUCAUAAUUUCUUUAUUUUCAUUUGCAUUUCUUUACUUUCCACGCUUAUUCCAUAUACAUGACACUCAAGUCAUAAACAUAUCAUGGUUACAAGCUAGUGCAUUUAACCAAAGCCUUUUUCGAAUUGAUCACAUGAUAAGGCAUUUCAUAAGAAAUUGCAUACAUUACAUAUAAACUCAUCAUACAUAAAUUUUCUUGUAUCAACAUAUUAAAGAUAAUCAUACAUUUACAUGUCAUGAUACAUAUUAUUCUCUUGCCGUUUCUUCAUUGGCAUAUAUCAUUCAUUUCUCAAUAUUUAUAAUUCAAUUUGGCUUUCAUUUGUUAACAUCAUAUACUAUUACAUUGAGCCUUUAUUUAUCUCAUGAACAAUUAGUUCAUGCUUUUUAUUCACAUUUUCAAAUUAUGUUCCACAAUCACGUUUCCUUUCAAUGGCUCAACUGUUGCAUUUUUUUUAUUUAACUUUUCAUUUAAUUACCCCUAUUAACAGACUCGGGCUUUGGCGGAUACGUGGAUUCCAACCAAACACACUAGUAUGACACAUUGUGCUUAAAACGGUACAUAGUACCUGAUUAGUAUACGACACAUAAGUGCCUGAUACGACACACAAGGUGUCUGAAAUACGACACACGAGGUGCCCGAAAUACGACACAUAAAGUGCCUGAAAUACGACACAUAAAGUGCCUGAUCGGCAUAGCCGAUAAAUUCCCGUACUCUUCCAAUCUUAUAGCAUGCCAACUAUAUCCGAAACAGCCCGACUAGUUAAUAGGGUUUUCAAUUCUCAAUUCAAUUUCACAUUCAUUCCAAAAGUUACUUUCAAUAUCAAAUUCACUUUUUCAUUCACGAAUCAAAUUUCAAUUCAAUACUAACACAUAUUUCUUAUUCCAUUCAAUUUUCUAAAUUCAGUUCAAUACUAACACAUAUACAUAUAUAUUAUUCAUCACCAAAUAACAUUCACUUUAAUCAAAAUUGUACAGAAUAUAGUUCAUACGAACUUACCAGGUUAAUUUACAGAAAUACCAAGAUAUAGGGGCAUUUUGGUAAUUUUCUAUUUCCUCAAUUUUCUACCCGAUCUUGAUCUAAGUUAAUAUUUCAUUCAAUUUAUUAACUUAAAUAAUAAAACAAUUCAUUUCAUACAAUUUGGUCACUUUUGACAUUUUUACAAAAUUACCUUAAAAAUUUACUUUUAUUCAAUUUAGUCUCUGAACCUAUAACAUGUAAAUUAGCUAUUUUAAGAUAAAAUCAUAUUAGCUGAAUGUUUACAUAUAUUUUUCCUCCUCCUCCACUCCAUUCCACAUCCUUGAUAUAUAUAAUACCAUUAUUUACUUGUUUACUCAUAACAAGCUAUUCACUUGAGUCAUAAUCACCAAAUUAAUUAUAUUUUAAGCUAAAAAACUACGAAUUGAGAUCCGAAAAUUUUAUAUGAAACUAGACUCACAUAUAUUCUUCCAAUAAAAUUUUCAGAAUUUUUAGUUUAUCCAAUAAGUACAUUUUAUUCUUUAAAGUCACCUCUGUUCUGCUGUCUAACAAUUCCGACCCUUCUUCACUAAAAAUUAAUUAUCUCCUUGUAUGAGAUUCGAAUGAUGUUACCGUUUGUUUCUAUUGAAAAUAUACUCAUUAAGGAUUUAAAAAUAUGAAUUUAAGCCCUAAUUAUUUUUAUCCAAUUUUUUAUGAUUUUCCAAAGUCAAAAUAGGGGAACCCAAAUUCAUUCUGACCUUGUCUCACAAAAUUUAUUAUAUCUCAUGAUUUAUAAUUUCAUUACUUGCACCGUUUCUUCUAUAAGAAACUAGGCUCAAUAAGAUUUAAUUCAAUAUUUUUAUCAUCCUCUAAUUUUAUUUCCACGAUUUAUGGUGAUUUUUCAAAGUUAACCUACUGCUUCUGUUCAAAACUGUUUUAGUGCAAGAUGUUGAUUACUAAGUUUAUAACUCCCUUAUUCCCUUUCUCUAUAAUAUUUCUCAUCACUUUCACUUAUUUUCCUUCACUAAUAUAUCAAGAACAUAAGACCUUAUAUAAUAAAACUCUACUAUAACAUCAUUUCCAUGCUUUUUCAAUAAUAUCAAACUUAAAAAUAUAUUGAAAUCUUGAUGUUCUUACCUUGUCCUAUUGGUUCCAACCUUUAACUUGAUUUUCUCUCUCCUCCAGCUUCUAUUUCUUGAAUCUAACUUGAUAUUUUAGCUCCCCAUGGUCUCCUUGUUAUCUUUCUCUCUUGAGGGAUAUGGAAAUUCUUUUGAUUUUUAGGUGAAAAUGAUAAAUUUUUGGUAGAAGGAUCAAAUUGUAAAGAAAGCAAAACUUUCUUUCUUCUCUUCCCUUCUAACGUGAAAUGCAUGGAAAGAUGGUGGGAUGGUGGCUUUUCAUCUUUCUUUCCACAUAUAUAUAUACUAAAUAAAUUAAUAAUAAAAUAAUAAAAUAUCAUUUAAAAAUCAAAUUAAAAUAUUAAUAAACUAAUAUUUAUUUAAUUAAUUAAACUAAAAUAUCACCAACAUCAUCAUUGCCUUCUAGAUUUCUCUCUCUUCUAAUUGACCAUUUUUCCCUUUAUAAUAUUUUAAAAUUCCAUCCUAGAGUCAUCACUUAAUUUGGUAAAAUUGCAAUUUAGUCCCUCAAAAUUCUUCACCUUUUCAAUUUGGUCCUAAUUCAUCCAUUUUUCCUUAGUUUCUAGAUUAUUCCACCCUUAAAAUAUUUACACAUUUGGUCCUUUAGCUUUUUCAUAUUUACACUUUAACCACUCAAAUUUUGAGUAUUUACUCUUGGGCAACAAAACUUUUCUCACUUGCGAUUUAAUCCUUUCUUGAAUUAAUAUGUCAUAAUAUACUUCCCAAUGUUGCCAUAAGUCAAAAUUACCCUUUUUAUCACUUUAUUUCCUUAUUUUACUAUAUCAGAGAUAUUAUCUUACUUUCCUUACUGUAGAAAUUUUCGAGGUAUUACAUAUAACAUAAAAUGCAAUGGUCAAAUUGUAUAAAUAGUACUCGUACAAAAAUUAUGCACAUGCGUAAAAGUACUAUAGUUUUACAUUAGUAUGAGUAGAUCUCUUCUCUUUAUAUAGAUUAUUGUAAAAUUUAUUAAGAAGAAGUAUUCAAACCCCUUGAGGUUUGAUAAAAAAAAAAAUUUCACUUACCUUCUUAUGUUUUGGAAAACACUCGCUUAUUCUUUGAGGUUUGACAAAAAAAUAUAUUAAAAUUAAAAUUAAAAUUAUUUAAAAUUGAGAUAAAUCUCAAAAUUACACAUGAGUUUUGAUUCAAUGUGCAAUUUGAUACAUAAAUUUUGAUUUCGUGCAAUUAUACACAUGAAACAUUGAUUGUCGUUCAAAUGUAUCCAUGAAACUUUAAUUUGAUUCAAUUAUACAUAUUUAAAGAAAUAAAUACAUCAAUUUAUUUUUAUAUUGGAUGAAUUAAUUAUUUGUGUAUGCAAUAUAUAAAAAUAAAGUGAUGCUAUAUUAGUAAUUGUAUUAAUAAUUUGUGAGAAUUGGAUCAAAUUAAAAUUUCUUAUAUAAAAUUACACAUUAGGCCAAAGUUAAUGUAUAGCUUUGAUAUUUAUCCCUUUAAUAAAAUUUUAUAUAUUAUAAAUAUAAUAUAUGCUUGUAACGAGAUGAACUGACAAAUAUAUAUUUGAAUCGAAUUUUGAAUGAACCAUUCGGAACCAGUUAAGUUAGAAUAAAAACUGAUUGAAUUGAUUUUAUCUGUUUUUCAAUUUUUUAUGACUUUUAAUUAAUUAAUUUAAUUAAAAUCAAACUGAUAAAUUGAAUCGGAACCAAUAAUUUAAAAUAUUAAGCGAUGAACGUUACAAAAAACGAGAUUUCUUUUACGGAUUGAGAUCCUCUCCAUUACUGUUUUACCAAAUAAGAAAUGAUUACCAUUUUUAAUUAUUAAAUAUAAAUUUAUUAUUUAAUCGCAGAUUAACAAAUAUAAAUAUAUAAUUUUUUGGAAAGCAACAAAUAUAAACAUAUAAAAUUAUAAAAACAUUUACAUUAUUAUUUAAUUAUAUAAAAGUGAUUUAUUAAAAAUAUUAUAAUUACCAAAGUAACCUCAUAAAAAUAUAAAUAAAUAUUAAAUGAAAAAUAUCACCCCAAAUUUUAAUAUAAAAUCAUAAACUAAGUAAAUUUAAUCAUCUAGCUUCAUAUUUCUUUUCCUCAUAUUUUCUCCUUCUCUUUCUUGCUUUCUAAGUUUCCCAUAGAAGAUAAAGUUAGAUAAGGUAAUCUUCGAAACACUAAACUUAACUAGAAGCUUUUUACUUGAGUAAUGAAAUUUUGAGUUAUCUGCUUCACUUCCAUAUUUGAUUUUCUGUUUUCGUUCUACUUAGGAGUAAACUUUUUAUGAUAUCGGUUUAACAAAAAGCGGGACUAUUAUCGUUUUCUCCACUGCCAUUUGAAACCUUAAAUGACUUUUUUUUUAUUUUUGUAUAAACUUUUUAUAGUUUGGGGUUUCUAUUAUAUCUAAUUACCAAUUUGCUUCGUAAAAAAGGUUAACUUGUAAUUGAAACUUUGUUGAGUAACCAAGUGUUUUCUUUGUUUGUUUGUGAUAAUCUGAAUAUCUGAUACUUUGGUAAUAUUCACUGUGUAGAAUUUUGAUUGGAAAUAAGGAGUCCUCCAACUUGGACUGCAAGUUGGGGUGAGAUGGUUCCUAAUAAAUGGCUUCCCGUGAGACCGAGAAUGUCGAAUUCGACAUAUUAUGACCCAUCUGUGGCUGAUGCUAGAUUUCCUUUCGCCGGACAGAAUCAAUCAUUUUGUCCCGUAACUGAACAAGCUGCGAACCAUGGUUAUCUUCCUCCGCUUUAUUUACAAGAACCGCUGGCAGAUGCUACUAAUCGGUUGAAUCGAGCUAUCCAACGGAAGGUUUUACUUGCUUAUAUCCAGUACAAGAAUUCAGCGGCAUUGUCGGGGAAUGAUGCUCCGGCUUAUUUUGCCAACUAUAUGCAUUCGACUGUCUGCUGUCAAUAUGUCUGUAGAUGCACCAAAUUCUUCUCACUUGCAUCCCAUUAUGAUGGUUGUCAUGAUGCUAGAUGUGACAUUUGCAACACUGUUCGGUAUAAUGCUGUCCUUGAUACAUUUCGUCCUGACUUUGAACAUGUAAAAGGAGGUCUUCUAAGAGUUACUGGCAGUGGAGACUCUGGCCAGCCCACAUAUGGUAGUUCAGAAGCCAUGCAACCUUUCCUGAAGCGUUUGAAGCUGGAAAAUCCUACCGCUCCCUGCUUUCCUUGUCAUGGUAUGUUUUAUACAAUGGCUCCAUCGCAUGUUCAACCAAGUUAUGCCGAGCUUCCACCCAUGGUGCAGUUUUCAGAAUCUCCUGUAUCUUAUAAUUCUGAGGUUACGCAGGUGGGCGUUGAAUUGCUACCAAAGCUUUUAGAUGGUUCUACAAUUGCCAACAGGAUGGGUAUGAAUAUGGAGGUGAACACUGAAUUGCUACCAUAUCUUAGAGAAGAUUCUACAAGUGCUAAAGAGAUGGACAAGACUAUGGAGAUGAACAUUGAAUUGUUACCAAAGCCUAUAGUAGCUAAAGAGAUGGAUAAGACUAUGGAGAUGAAAAUUGAAUUGUUACCAAAACCUAUAGAAGAUUCUAGAAGUCCUAAAGAGAUGGGUCAUAAUAUGGAGGAGUGGAGCAUCGAAUUGAUAUCAAAGCUUAUGGAAGAUUCUCCAAGUACUAAAGAAAUCAGUAUGGAGGAGGAGAACAUCAAACUGAUACCAAAGCUUAUAGAAGACUCUACAAGUGCUAAAGAGAUAGAUAUGUAUAUGGAGGAGGAGAACGUUCAAUUGAUGUCAAAGCUUAUAGAAGAUUCUUCAAAUGCUAAAGAGAUGGGUAAGGAUGUGGCAGAAAAUUUUCCUGGUCCUCCAGAGGUGGCUAUCGCUGGUUAUAAAGUGGUGGAAACUGAUCCUGUUGGCAGUCAUAGAGAAGAGGAUAUUGGAUUCAUAAAUGUUAUUGACAAUGCAGAUAAUGCAAGAUACCACUUUAACAAUUUGGAAAUCAAUGCUUUGCCCAGCUUCUCUGAAGAACUUGCAGCUGGUUGUGAAGAGGGAGAAACAGAAGCCAGGGCUAAUUCCACCCAGGCAGAGUUAGCAACAAAGACUGAGCUCAUUGCCCAAGAAUCAAAUGGUAGAAAGGAAAUAAAGUUGGAGAGUCUAAAACAAAGAGGUGUGUCCUUAAUAGAAAAUUUCACAGCACAGCAAAUCAAGGAGCAUAUAUCAAGUCUUAGAGAGUGUAUUGAUCAGGUUUGUGCUUUCAUUGUUGUUUAUUGCUUUUAUUUUCCAUUUUGUGCUGUCUUGAUUAGAGGAUAUCCUACUUUAAUCAUCUACUUAAAAUUGCUGUUAGAAUGCUUUAACUUGACUAAAUAUGGAUAGGAUAGAACUUAUGCUAUUGAAGGAUAUGCAUAAUUGCACACAUUCAAACAUCUCAUUGGAGAAAAUAAUAUAAUAGAUAGGCGCAUAAAUAACUUUAUAACAUAUGCAGCCACACCUCAACUAAAGUGCCUGUCAGCAUGCAUCUAACAUCAUGCCAAUUUGUCUCUUUUGAAACCCCUGAAACAUUUGAAAAUUCCUUCCAUACAAGUUUGAAAUGGGUGGGUAAGGGCAGUACGUAGCUGCCAUUUUCUGCUUGCUGUCAUAGUGGUUUCUCUUAAUUUUCCAUAUUCCAUGGCUGCGUGCAUUUUAUAUAAUGAAGUAUGAACCUUUUUAAUCUUAAUCAAACCCUUUCCUUUAACAAAUCUGCAUAAGAGCUGCACGAGUUUGUUCAAUCAUUUUGGCAGUAGCUGGUUUUUGUUGUGUUAAUAUUUUUCGGAGUAUUUUAUCUUCCUGAAGUUGGUUGUCAUAUUAUAAUAGCUGCUGAUACCCAUUUUACAAAAGCAUGGACUUUGCAUUUGCUUGGGAAGGUGACAUUGUCUUCUCUUAUUAAAAUAGGAUCUUGGAAAGAAAGAAGGGGCAAACAGAAGAGUCAAUGUCGACAGUAAGAACUCAUGCCAGUUGUGUGGAGCAGAUAAGCUUUCACUUGCUCCUGCACCAAUAUAUUGUUCAUCAUGUUGUGCUCGUAUCAGACGCAGUGCAAAGUAUUACAGCAUUCCUGAAGUAGAUGGUAUCAGAUAUUGUCUUUGUUCCUCAUGCUACAAGUUAUCUCGGUCUGAGAGUAUCACAACUUCUGGGAUAUUGGUUUCCAAGGCAAAGCUGAUUAAAAAGAUCAAUGACGAGGAAGCAGAAGAAUGGGUAGGCAGGCUAAUCCACAGUAUUUAUCUCAUAUUCCUGGAAUUUCAAACUGAUAAAAGACUCACUUGGUAAUGUUGUGUUCUUGCAGUGGGUUCAGUGUGAUAAAUGUAAAUCUUGGCAACACCAGAUAUGUGCUCUCUUUAAUGAGAAAAAAAAUAAGGAGAAAAAAGACUGUUUCCUUUGCCCAAAAUGCUGCUUAGAAGAAAUUGAAAAUGGAGAACAUAAGCCCCCGUUGGUGAAGACUGUUUUCGGUGCAAAAGAUCUGCCGCCAACCAUGCUUAGUGACCACUUAGAGCAAAGACUGUUUAGGUGUCUUCAGAAAAACAGAGAAGAGAAAGCAAAGGAUACAGGAAUGAGCAUUGAUGAGGUAAGAUUGAAAGUAUGAGUGUAAUGUACUCAUUUUUGUAGCAGCAUUGUUUGGAACUAAUGUACAUAAAAUUGUUCUUUUGUUAUCGGUCAUGAAUCAAGGGUUGGAUUUCUAUUAAUAUUGGAAGGUUGGAAAGAUCCACCUUUUGCUAAAUUGGUUUAAGGUCAGAUGCCCAUUUUAAAACUUACAUGAAUAUUAGAAGGUGAAAGAUAUAUACACAUAUACGUAUACUCCUUCGAAUAUGAAUUUAUUCAUGUAAACCAAUAGUUUUAGGCAUUUCUAUUUUUUUUUCUUCUUCCCUUGCCCUUUUGCUUGUGUUUCAUUCCUAAGCAGUUUUUGUUUUCAUUUUCAGCAGUGAGGUUUUCAUUUUUGACCACUACAUCUUUUCUAUAUUGCACAAUGUUAUUCGUACUUAAUUUAGCUGUUUCAUUGACAAUAGAUGUUCUAUUAUUCACUAGGUUCCUGAAGUAGAAGGUCUUGUUGUCAGAGAGGUGUUAUCUGCUCAGAAACUUGUAAAAGUGAAUGAGAAGCUUUUAGAUAUACUCAAGGAUGGGAAUUACCCUGCUGAAUUUCCAUACAAGUCAAAGGUAAGAUAUCUUUUGAAAUUAUUAUAUGUUUUGAAGGUAACUUGGUAUUCCCAAAUUUUAACAUGCGGCCCUGACCUUGAGGUUUCUUAAAAGAUUGAUUUCUACCAAACUGUCUUAAUGAGAACUGUGUUUGUUUUCCUUUAGCUAUAAUUUGCUUCUUUUUGGAUCAUUCUCUAGAUUCUUGUCAUUUUUACUAUACCAUGAUCAUUUUUCUGUUUUCAGGUUAUUCUUCUGUUUCAGAAGAUUGAUGGGGCAGAUGUAUGCCUUUUUAUCAUGUACGCCCAAGAGUUUGGUGCAGAAUGCAGUCGACCAAAUCAACGCUGUGUUUAUAUCUCAUAUCUUGAUUCUGUUAAGUAUUUUAGGCCCGAAACAGAAACUGCUGCUGCUAGUGGAGAACCUCUUCGAACUGUUGUUUAUCAUGAAAUAAUGGUAUAAUAUAUAGUUUUCUGCUCUAAUUAUUGUAGCUUUUCAAAUUUCAUUAGUUGUUAUAGUUGGAUACUGAGAUUGUUUCUUGCUUUUCUGUUCUGUUUCCAUUUUUAGAUAGGAUACCUUGAUUACUGCAAGAAACGGGGUUUUGCAACCUGCUACAUAUGGGCCUGUCCACCUAAGAAAGGAGAAGAUUAUAUCUUCUAUUUCCACCCAGAGAUUCAGAAAAUACCGAAGUCUGAUAAGCUGCGGCAGUGGUCUCUCUCUCUCUCUCUCCCUGUCACAUAUCUCUUAUACAUGCAUGUCUUUUGUGUGUGCAUGUUGCUUUCUAUCUGUUUGUAUGUGUUUCCUUGUUUGUAUAUAUAUCUUGACAGCAGCUUUUAUGUGAGUGCAGGCAUAAGACCAUGCUACUAAAAGCUGCUAAAAUGGGCAUAGUGGUUGGUUUGACUAACUUAUAUGAUCAAUUUUUCUCCACCGGGCAAUACAACUCCAAGGUGACAGCAGCUAAUUUGCCAUAUUUUGAUGGCGACUAUUGGUCUGGUGCUGCUGAGGAUGUGAUAAAGCAUAUCGAGAAAGCAAGUGGAGAAGACUCAAAAAAGAAUAAGAAAAUUGUGUCAAAAAGAACAUUGAAAGCCAUGGGACACACAAAUCCACCAGGUCAUGCCACUAAGGCUAUUCUCCUGAUGCAGAAGGUAAAAAUUUACAAACCAUCCUCUAGUUUUUACUCUCAUAUGGUUUUUGGCACAUUCUUUGUCCACUUUCCUUCAUGUUAUGAAAGGAGCCUUAUUUUUUUGUCUAUUCCUUUGAGCAGACUGGAAUUACAGGAAGGAAAAAUUGUAAUUAAAUCAUUGUGAUAGUUUCUAUUAUGAAAACAUACUAUUUUAAAUCUGUUUAGUAUAGCUUUCUAUUGAAUUCUUUUCUUAUGCAACUAUGAUCGUCACUAAUUAUUUCAUUUCUUUUCUUCCUGCUUUGUUAGCUGGGCCAAAAUAUUUUACCUAUGAAGGAGGACUUCAUCAUUGCCCAUCUGCAGUUUGUCUGCGUAUGCUGCCAUAGAACUAUAUUAGAUGGAUGGCGAUGGUUUUGCCGUAUGUGUAAAAGCUUUCAGCUUUGUGGAAGGUAAUCAUUCUUUAUCCUCUUAUUUAUUAGAAUAUGCUCUGUCAGUGUUUAUGCAUUUUUUUUCUUGUUGACUUCUGGUUGGCACUAUAUUUCCUCCUCAGAGCUCCAUUUAGGCAUCAAGUUAUUAGUAGGCUAGUAGCCUGAACACACUAACUUUUAGAUGGUUAUUCACUGUCUGGCAGUAAAUUUGAUAAUAUAAACCUAUAAUAUGAUAUGCCUUAAGUUUUUUCAAUGGAAUCUUGGGAUACAUAUUAAAACUGAAGCAUCAAAGUAUAUGAUUGUGGCAAUUCUGUAUGCUGUGGUCUGUGUUUGUUUAUUCUCGUUCUUUAAAUAUAAUUAGCAUUCUCAUAAUGUUAUCAUACUCUUUCCAGCUUUGCUAUUUGCGCUGCUUCUAGUGAUGUAUGUUUUAUGCAUUGGUCUAUUUAAUUCAUGCCAUCUUUCAGGUGCCAUGAUGCAGAGCAAUAUGUCUACAAGGAUUCCACUCACACUUCAUGCAAUGGGGAAAAACAUUCACUCUCUAGGGUAAAUUCCGUUUUUUAACCAUUUGUUUUUACCUUAAUUACUAAGAAUUUGCAAUAUUUAAUGCAUAUAUCUAAAUUAAGUACAACUGUGUCUCUUUUUACAGAUCAUGGUGGAUGUUCCUUAUGAUACCGAUGAUAAUGAUGCCAGCAUGGAUAGUGGUUUAUUUGAAAAUAGGUAUAGGUUUUUGUUGUUCUGUCAGAAGAACAACUAUCAGUUCGACACGCUUCGUCGGGCCAAGCAUUCCUCGAUGAUGAUCCUAUAUUACCUUCACAAUCCAACAUCAUUGCUUGCUGAAACUACCUGCUGUAUUUGUGACAAAGACACACCACUAGACCAGUGCUGGCAAUGCAAGACCUGUUCGGAUUUUUUUGUUUGUGCUGCAUGCUAUCACAGACAUGGUUGUUCCUUACAUGUUCAUAAGUUGUCUCUGCAUCCUUCUGCUGUCGAUUCCUCGGCCAAGAAUAGAGAGACUCUGAAGAAGGGAUUAUCGGUAGGAAGUUUGUUCCACAUAAAUACUAAUAAAUUCUGGUUUCCGAUGUCCCUAAUCUGAUAUUUUAUUUUGUCAAAAUCAUGCAUGCGUGUUAACAGAAACUGCUGGAAGUUUUGUUGCAUGCCUCUGGAUGUGAUCACUGCUCCCACCCCGAUUGCCGUCUUAUGAAAAAGCUAUUCUUCCAUUCGAAAGUGUGCACUGUUAGAGCUGCUGGAGGUUGUAAACACUGUAAUAAGAUAUGGUUCAUACUGAGACAGCACUCCAGAAGUUGCAAAGAGUCCAACUGCAACGUACCACGGUGCAGGUAAGAUCCAACUUGCGACCUUUCUGAAGCCAAUUCUCACUUAAAACAAAUUUAAAACCAGUUCCCCUGAAAUUAUUUCCUUCAUUUUCUCUAAAUUCAAUAGGGACAUAAAGCAGCAUGCACAAUCUUUGGCACUGAAGCCUGCAGCAUUUUGAUGAAGAUAUCUAUAUUAGGACUGGCUCUUGGCACUUGGGAUUGGUCAGAGCACUCAGGUUAUGUUUUGACAAGAUCAAUUCAAAAUAAUUGAUUUAGGGGUUUUUUUUUCUUGAAUAUUAUGCCUAAAAAAUUAGUGAAAUAGUUUACUUGGGUAAAGGUAAAAAUGCACCUCGUCAUCGAUGCUUUUUAAAAGCGUCGGAAAACAUGGAUGACGAGGCGCACAUUUUAUCUACAGGUGUAGGUUGUCAUAAAUUUUUUAAUUUUCAGUUAUUUUGUUUAAACAGAUUUAAAUAAAAUCGUGUCAGUUUUUAGUGUUUGUAUUUCAGAGGAGUUAAUGUUUGAACCUUUUGGAAUUAAUAGACUAAAAUAGUAUUUGUUUCUAUUGAAAAACAACAUUAUUAUGAGUUUUAUAAUAAUAUAACCAAAUAUUAAACAUAAACUAAAAUAAAUUCAUCUGAGUUUAAUACUUGGUUUUAGUGCUAUUACUAUCAAACAUAAAUUAAUGGCUUAAUAUACACUAAACUUGAUCAUUUUUCUUUAAGUUGAUAUCUGAAAAUUUUAAGGUAGCCAAUCGUUACAUUAUACUAACUGGAGAUGGGAAUGAAUAAGCAAGCCACAUGUGGAUUACUAUUUAAUUAAUUUCAAAAUAUAUAUAAUUAAAGAAUAAAAAUGUGUAAAAGUCAUAUAUUAAUCAAAGUGUCUCGAAGACUUCAAAUUUUGUUCUGAUAAGAAAAACGCAUUGUAUAUUGUUUCAAGAUACAUUCUAAGAGUGCACAACCAAAACGUGAAUUAUUUAGCUAAGUUGACCCCGCAAAUAAAGAAGAUUUACAAUUGUUGGACACCCUCCAAAAAAAGCUUUAGAUUUUCUUUGUAUCCCUCAAAUUUUCCGUGUAAUUUAGUGUAGAAUCGUUUCUGGGCAAAAUACCAAUAAAGUCCUUUUUUUUAAAAUUACUGAAAUGGGUCAGGUAAAAAUUUAAUUACUGGAAUAGACCUAUUUCCCUGAAAACGCAUCCACGUCAGCGCGUUGUCAGGUGACAAAGCAAGAAAGGAAGCGCUUUUUCCACGUGGACAGAAAACGCAUCCUCAAGGACGCGCUUUGUGUCCAUGUGGACAAAACGCUUCCUUGAGGAAGCGUUUUCCCCGUGUCUCUGCGUUAGGGUUAGGGUUUUGGGUUUUGGGUUUUGGGUUAGGGUUUUGGGGUUUUUGAGUUUAGGGUUUUAAAGAAAAAAUUAAAUAAAUAAGGGAUUAUGGAUUAGGGUUUCUUAAUUAAAUUAAUUAUAAAUUUUUAAAAAUUAGAUUAGGGUUUCGUGUUUAUGGUUUUUAAGGAAAAAAUCAAUUAAAUUAGGGUUUAAGGUUACUUGAGUAAAUUAAUUAUAAAUUUUAAAAAAAAUCAGAUUAGGGUUUAGUGUUAAGGGUUUUUAAGGAAAAAUCAAAUAAAUUAGGGUUUAGGGUUACUUGAGUAAAUUAAUUAUAAAUUUUAAAAAAUUAGAUUAGGGUUUAGUGUUUAGGGUUUUUGAGUAAAUUAACUAUAUGAAAUAAUAUAAAAAUAUUCAAAAUAUUUGUACAAAUAUAUUAAAAUAAAAAUCAAUCUCCAUGCUCGCCGAAUUCAGUGCCACAUGGCGGUCGUCAACGGACGUGCUGGAUUCCUCCUUUGUCCAGCUUCCGGCGGGGGUUGUGGUUGCUCCGGGGGGAUUAUGGUUCCUCCGAUAGGGGAUCUGGUUGUCGGUGUUGGGAGGAUGACCCACCUUGAUAGAAUAGUGAAUGUAGAGGUGUUUGCAUCACCAACAGCGAAGGUGUUUGAAACUCAUAAGGUGAUGGGGAUUGGUAAAAAGAAGAGCUCUCCGACGACCCCUCGUACGAUCCCUCGUGCAACAGUGGCCUAUAGAUCGGCGAUCCACUUGGCGUAAUCGAAAAUGGAGAUGAACCAGGCCAUUGACUCCAACCUGCCAUAGGACUAGAAAAAGGAAACAUAUAAGGGUUAGGAUACAUAAAAGGGCUAGGAUACGCACCUGGCAUCAUCUGAAAAGGCUGUACUGUGAGUGUCGUCAGUUGAAGUGUUGGGUCGGGUGACUGUGUCAGUGCUGUUGUUGGGUCUGGUGAUUGUGUGGGCGCUGUUGAUGGGCCUGCGUCGUCGUCCCUUCUUCUUGGAUUUAAAGGGCCACGUCGUUCCCUUUGGACACACAAUUGUCGUUGCCUCUCCUCUUCCGACAGUAAAUACGGCUUGCCAUGGAUCCUAAACCAUGGCAUGUAUUCUGGCACGCACGCUAACUCUGGAACAAUGAUCGGUUCCCGAGUAGGUAUAUAAUCAUACCGAUCUUCCCAUAUUUGGAUAUAGUGUGACCAGAAUCUCGGCCAAUCCAUAUGCAAUUGCCGUAAGUCAAUUCUGUGAUGAUCAUCUAACACCUCAGGUGCCACGGGAAUCGGUUGUCGGAAUCCAAAUUGCCGUAAUACUCUGUUCGACUGGUGCAUCUCUACGACCGCAAAGUUGACAAAUGGGACUUUCACAUGCCAAGCGUUCGGAUUUUGGAAGUAUUCAUCCGGAAUUACUGCCCGAAUUGUCGGAUCCUUGUGUGGUGUCCAUUGAAACUAUAUGAACAUUAUGGAAAUAUUAGUUAUAUACAUAAUACUAAAUACUAAAUACUAAAUACGAAUCGACUAUCUCAUUAUGUAUAUCUAUUUUAUUUAAAACUUACUUGUGCUUCCGACGUUUGUCUAAUAGAAGCCGUAUAUCUUCAAGAGAGGUAGGUAAUCGAGCAUAACUUGCCGAAUGGUUCCACCUAAUUAAAUAAAUUUUUAGCAUACGAUUAUAUUUUAAAUCUACGUAAUAAUUGUAAAAUCUAAUAUAAAAUUUACCUCGUUAUGAAUGGGAAUGUAUAUGAGUGGUCUACUCGAGGACGUAAAAAUGGAAAGCGAAACCGUACCCAUGACUGCAGUAGUGAUAGGCAACCUCCGAUUUUCGCUUUAUUCGGUCGUGUUGCCCCGCACAUCUCCCUGUACAAUGUUGCCAACACGGCAGACCCCCAACUAAAUUUACUAGCUGCUCUAAAAUCAACGAGUUUCAGCAUCCAUCUCAGAUGUACAAGGUUCUGUGACAAGUCUGGCAUUAGAUAACCUCCAAUUAUCUCAAGAAUGUAUGCCCGAGCAUAUUGGAUUCUUUCUAGUUCGGUAGAAUCAUCAUCUGGCUCCGGGAAUGUGUCUCGUAACCAGCCCAUCUCGAUUCGACCUCCGUUAAUAUUCUCCAGAAUAGCGCCCAAAAGCUCGUAGCAUACCGCUCCCCAAUCACUAGAUUGAACAGACCCGGUGACUACGUAUCCGUCCACCAGUAAUCCCAAUUGCAAAUUUACGUCUUCCAACGUGAUAGUACACUCUCCACAUGGAAGAUGGAAUGUGUGCGUCUCGGGUCUCCACCUCUCUAUCAACGCACUAAUGAGUUUUGGGUCCAACUUGCAUCCCUAGCCUACCGUCGCCACGCGCCAAAAACUCGUUUCCCGCGGAUAAUUCUCUAUCAACGGUGAUGGAGGACCAUGCAUAUUACGGACAUAGCAUUGCAAUAUCCGGUUUACAGACUUUUAUAAGAAAUAAUAAAAUAAAAAUUAUUUAAAAUUGCAUAAAUGAAAAAAAUCUUAAAUAAUAUUUAAAAAUUAAAGUUAACACUUACCAUUUUCAUUUGUUCUACGAAUAUGUGCUUGUUAUCAAGACAAAUUAAUUCUCCGGCCAUUGCUAACACAAUCAAAUUUUUAUGAUUUAAAAAAUUCAAAAAAUAAAAUUAGAGCUUUUUUUAAAAUAAUUAAAGAGAGCUUUAAAAUGAAUUUGAGAGAAUAUUAGAGAUAAAUAUGAGAGAAUUUGAGAAAAAGGAUUUAAGUGUGAAAAAAAUGAAAUGGAGGUUUAUAGUUUUUUUUUUUUACCGUUGGGGGGUACCAACGGCUAUUUUUUUACCUUUUGUACUGUAGCGAAAAACACUUCCUCAAGGAAGAGCUUUGUCCGCGUGGACGCAAAGCGCGCCCUCCAGGACGCGUUUUCUGUCCACGUAGACAAAAGAAAGCGUUUUCAUGCUUUGUCACCUGAUAACGCGCUGACCUGAACGUGUUUUUGAUUUUGGCCAUUCCAAUAAUUAAUUUUUUACCGAGUCUAUUUCAAUAAUUAAAAAACAAAAUUUUGCCCAUCGUUUUUAUUUCACAAAUAAAAAUAAAGAUGGGUAGGGCUGGGUGAUUUAUGUCAGUAAUAAUGACAGCCACUAAGGUAGGUCUAUAUGUAUGUAAAAUGCAGACCAAAGGCUAAAAGCCAAAAAUCAUCCAUUGCACAAAAAAGUUUAAAAAGGACAACACAUUCAUUUCUUUAAUUCAUUCUAAUCUUAAACUCUGCUACAACAAAAUUUAUACUAAGAUCCCAUUGACAUUGCAAAUGAUUUAAUUAGUGAAAUUUGCAAUGGUGGCAUGUGGCUCACAAGCCUUAGCAGCCGGAACGGCUUCAACAGCUGGGUGUGGGUCAACCGGCUUGCAAAGCAGCUCUUCUGGGAGUUCACCAAUUCCCUUCAAAUAGAAAGUGUAGAAAAUCUUAAAGGGGAAGACGAUUUGGUGGAGCUUAACCUGACCGGAGACACCUUCAAAAAUGCCAGACCCACCAGUAAUAGCCAGGUACGUGUCCUGGUAAGUCAAGUAAGGUCCCUGCACCGCUAUGUGACCGUAGUCUCCGAAGUAAAAGCUGAAGAUGGCCUCGUAGCGAUCACCUUUCAUUUCGGGUUUAUGCUCUAUUAAUAUGCAUAUUCCUGAUGUUAUUCCGAUCCGUUUCUCCAAAUCUCCCCUAUAUAUCUGUAUUUAUAUAUAUACGUUGAAGAUUAAUUUCAUAAAAUUAAUUCAGUGAAAAUAGAAAAAGAAAGCUUACUUUGUUGCUAAAAGGGACAAGAUCACCCAGUGAGUUCACAGAUUUCUGACUCAAACGAAGGUAAGCUGGACUCCCACGAUCUCUCUCAUUCAACUCAUACACAUGUAGUUCUUGAACUUUUUCUGAAACAAGCACAAAAACCCAGAUAUAUUAAUCAACAACAUCAACCCAAAGUCACCAAUCAAUUGACGGGUUUGAAUCAAGAUUUACCCGGAGCUGAGUUAUCAGAUGGAAUAGCCUGGCUUUUGCAAGUGAAACCUCGCUUGGGAGCUGAGAAAGUGUUGGAGUUUGAUGUGAAAAGCUUGUGGGUUUGAGGUAAACAAGGGUUUUUGAUGGGCUUGAAAGAUGAAGCUGCAGGCAACAAGGAAUGGGUGGGUGAAGUUGAUCUGAUUAUCCCAGAAGAAAUGGUGGAUCUUAAAGCAGACAUACUGAGAGUGGAGGAAUUUGAUGAGAAAAUGAGCAAGUCUAGGGACUAGAUUUAUACAGGAAAGUGGAAUUGUUGGUGGACGGUGAUUUUGACACGUGGGCUUUUAGCUUUUGGGUGUACCCAAUGACGGUGCAACCAUGAAUAGUCAAAAGCAGUCUUCGAUGUACAGCCGUUAUCCCAUGUGACGGAAGAACGUGGUGCGUUAGAUUUUGUAUUAUUGUACAAUACACGUAGUUUAUUAUUUUCAAUAAACAUUUAUUUAAUUUGGACGGAAUAAGUUUUUUUUUUUUUACGUUUUAUGCCUGGAGUUGGUAAUUAUUCUUAUUAAUAAUAUUAUUUCAAAAGUUUGAACUUAUAUUCUUCGAAAUGCAACGUGCCUUACCAUUGCACAUUAUAGAUAAUCAAUUUGGGGUAAGAUAUUGUAUGAUAUUAACACAAUAAAAAAUUAUUUAAAAUUUUAAAUAUAAAUUGUUUAAUUUAAUUUUUAAUCUAAAAAUAUACGUGCCUAUUUUUAAUUUUUACAUAUAUAUAAAAUAAUAUACUACAAUAUUGAAAAUUAAUCAAAUUUGGGCAUUGUCAAAAUAUGGUUAUUGGCUAAUUAAUUCUCCAAAUGCAUUUUUGGAAGUGCGAAUUAUGGUGUAUAGAUUAUUCAUCUAUGUUCGAAAGUCUGCUCGAAAAAUGGGUGGUUUUGAAUAAAAACAUGAGGUUCUGAAAAUGAACUUGGGUAGGAUUGAAUGCCUGUUUUCUAUAUGGGCUAGGCCUUGGGCAAGAUGUUUUGGCUUGUGCCUAAUCCGACCUGAAUAUAUUAUAUUAUAAAAAAUAUUAAAUUAAUUAUAUAUGUUAAAUAAUAAUUAUAUGUUUAUAUUUAUAUUAAAUCACUAACCCAGUAACAAUUAAACUCAUUAUACAAAACUUAAGAAAAUAACUUAUCCAACUAAAUAACUCGAGAGUAAACUACUAAAAUAGUCAAUUUUGCUUCUCUCAGGUUAUAUUUUAGUCAUUUACGUUUGAAAUAUUACGUUUUAGUCACUUACGUUAAUGUGUUGUAACAUUUUAGUCACUGAGCCAUUAAUUGCCGUUAACGGUAAGCUGAUACGGCACGUUCAAUCAUCAUUUAAAACAAAAAUUUUAGGUUAAAUUAUACAAUUGAUCCCCAUAUUUCUUUGAGCAAUUUAUUUUUUUCUUUCAUGUUCUUUUAAUUUUUUUCCUUUAUUUUCCAUUCUCUUCUGCUUCUACCUCUAUUUUCCUCCCUUCUUCAUCUCUUUUAAUGUAAAAGAAAAAAAAAUUAAAUUGCUCAAAAUGAAAAAAGAUAUAGGGACCAAUUGUAUAAUUUAGCCUAAAAUUUUUGUUUGAAAUGAUGAUUUAACGUGCCAUGUCAGCUUACCAUUACACCAUUAACAACAAUUAACACUCAAUGACUAAAAUGUUACAACACGAUAACGUAAGUGACUAAAACGUAACAUUUCAAACAUAAGCGACUAAAAUGUAACUUGAGGGAAACAAAAGUGACUAUUUUGGUAGUUUACCCAUAACUCAACCCAAAAUAUAAAAUUUAAAAAAAUUAUAUUUAAUAAAAUAAAAUAUUUAUUAUAUUUAUGCUAGUGUUUUUAAUAUAAUAUAACAUUUAUUAUAUUGCUAGUGUUUUUUAAUAUAAAUAAUUUUUAACGUGUUAAAAUUGUUUUAUUUUAGUAUUUUCUUGCAUUUAAUGUAUUAUAUAUAAAAAAUAUUUUUAAAUAAAAAAAUAUUAAAAAAUCAAAUAUGGACGGGUCAGGUCAAAUCCGAGUUUACCUUUCUUAAAUUGAACCAAUCUUAAACAAAAAAAAAACUCAUUUUUCAGACCGAAUCGAACAUAAACUUAAAAAAUUGGUCUUAAUACCUUAUCCAAACCCGACCCAGCCCGACACAUAAGCAUAUAAAGUUGAGAUUUGUCCAAUAUGGAUUUAAAUUCUAAAUUUGCCACCAAUGACUCGAGGUUUGGAUAAAUGUGUCUCUCCUUUCCAUUUCCUCCUAUAAAUACUUCAUUCAUUUUGUUUUAUUUUUUAAAAUUUUAUCAUAUUAUAUAUAUUUAAAUAAAUACAUCAAUUUUUUAUAUUAAAUAAAUAUAAUUAUUUGUGUAUGUAACAUAUUAAAAUAAAAUGAUGCUAUAUCAAUAAUUGUAUUAAUAAUUUGUGAGAAUAGGAUCAAAUCAAAAUUACAUGUAUGAAAUUGCACAAAAGUAAAAUUCAUGUAUAAAUUUACACAUUAAACCAAAAUUCAUGUAUAGUUUUGAGAUUUUUCUCUUAUUAAAUUUACUUUAAAUUGUCAUAGAAUUAAUUAUUAAAUCUUUUGGAAUUUAUUAAUAGGAAAUAGAUUUAAAGGAUGCCAAUCUAUAUACGAUUAAUAUAAUCGACAAGUUCUUUUUGGUGUGGGUAAAAAGACCUCUGUAGUCUCUCUCAAUUUCAAGUUUGAACAAAUUGGUUCCUCUCAGAAAAAAUUGAGCAAUUUAGUCCUUGUUAAUUUCGAAAAUGAGUGAUUAAAGACAAUUAAUUUCAGAAAAACUAGUAAAAUAUGUAUAUCAAGAACUAAACUUGUUAUUAUACCAAUCAAAUUUAUGCAUAAUUGACGAAAGACAUUAACGUCAUGAUUAAUUGUCCUUAAUUGUUUACUUUCGAAAUUGAUAGGGAUUAAUUCACUCCCAUUUUUUUGAGAUGGACUAAUUUACUCAAUUUCGAAAUUAAGAGGGAUUAAAGAAAUCUUUACCAAGAUUAUUUUAAUAAUUUCCUUAAUCAAUUUUUUGACGAAUUGACUCGUUACAGUAACUUAAUCACUCAUUUAAAUAAUAGUAUAAAUGUUGAUUAAGUCUUUACUCAAUUGGAAUCGACAUUGUUGCCUGUGCAAGAAGAAGUGAAUUUAAGUGCGCUGAAACACAUUAUCUUCGUACUUAUAAAUAUUGUAUAAAAUAAUAAUAGUAUUGAUAAUAAUUUAAUUCUAGUUUUGUUUAGUCAUUGAGCAACAUUAAUUUCUUUCCAUCAUUUAGCCAUUCAUUGCCCAAAAUAUACGUGGACAGUUUUUCAAAGAGAAAAAAGAAACCCCUCCCUGUCCAAAUAAACAUAUUUUUAAAAGGGUAAAUUAUAAUAGAGUUCACUCAAUUAUAAUUUUUUUUUCUUUUUUGAUCAUCUAACCAUGAAAAAUUAUAAAAUAGUUACUCAAGUAUUUAAUUUUAUUUUUUUGAUUUCCAGCUGGCUAACAUAAAAAAUGAAACACCCAAAAGUUCAAGAUAGUUAGGUAAUCAAAAAAGACAAAAUUGAAUAGUUGAGUGGUCAUUUUGUAACUUUUCAUAAUUGAAUUAUCAAAAAAGAAAAAAUUACUAAUAGUCGAAUGACUAUUUUGUAACCUUUCAUAGUUGGACGGUAAAAGAAAAACCAACUACUAUUUAUUACUAUCGUUUGUUAGAUCUAAUUGUAAGGAGUCCAAUAUCUAAAAGAAAAAUCACGUGGAUGUAAAAUGCAGUCCUCGAAGAGCUUUGAUUGACUUUAAAUUUAAUUAUCGGAUAUAUAUUAAAAAAGGAGAAAGGCGUAUUUAUACCAUAUACGGAAUCUAACGUACCAUCCGGCCACAAAGGGAAAACAAAAAUCUAACGCACCAUGUUCUUCCGUCACAUGGGAUAACGGCUGUACAUCGAAGACUGCUUUUGACUAUUCAUGGUUGCACCGUCAUUGGGUACACCCAAAAGCUAAAAGCCCACGUGUCAAAAAUCACCGUCCACCAACAAUUCCACUUUCCUGUAUAAAUCUAGUCCCUAGACUUGCUCAUUUUCUCAUCAAAUUCCUCCACUCUCAGUAUGUCUGCUUUAAGAUCCACCAUUUCUUCUGGGAUAAUCAGAUCAACUUCACCCACCCAUUCCUUGUUGCCUGCAGCUUCAUCUUUCAAGCCCAUCAAAAACCCUUGUUUACCUCAAACCCACAAGCUUUUCACAUCAAACUCCAACACUUUCUCAGCUCCCAAGCGAGGUUUCACUUGCAAAAGCCAGGCUAUUCCAUCUGAUAACUCAGCUCCGGGUAAAUCUUGAUUCAAACCCGUCAAUUGAUUGGUGACUUUGGGUUGAUGUUGUUGAUUAAUAUAUCUGGGUUUUUGUGCUUGUUUCAGAAAAAGUUCAAGAACUACAUGUGUAUGAGUUGAAUGAGAGAGAUCGUGGGAGUCCAGCUUACCUUCGUUUGAGUCAGAAAUCUGUGAACUCACUGGGUGAUCUUGUCCCUUUUAGCAACAAAGUAAGCUUUCUUUUUCUAUUUUCACUGAAUUAAUUUUAUGAAAUUAAUCUUCAACGUAUAUAUAUAAAUACAGAUAUAUAGGGGAGAUUUGGAGAAACGGAUCGGAAUAACAUCAGGAAUAUGCAUAUUAAUAGAGCAUAAACCCGAAAUGAAAGGUGAUCGCUACGAGGCCAUCUUCAGCUUUUACUUCGGAGACUACGGUCACAUAGCGGUGCAGGGACCUUACUUGACUUACCAGGACACGUACCUGGCUAUUACUGGUGGGUCUGGCAUUUUUGAAGGUGUCUCCGGUCAGGUUAAGCUCCACCAAAUCGUCUUCCCCUUUAAGAUUUUCUACACUUUCUAUUUGAAGGGAAUUGGUGAACUCCCAGAAGAGCUGCUUUGCAAGCCGGUUGACCCACACCCAGCUGUUGAAGCCGUUCCGGCUGCUAAGGCUUGUGAGCCACAUGCCACCAUUGCAAAUUUCACUAAUUAAAUCAUUUGCAAUGUCAAUGGGAUCUUAGUAUAAAUUUUGUUGUAGCAGAGUUUAAGAUUAGAAUGAAUUAAAGAAAUGAAUGUGUUGUCCUUUUUAAACUUUUUUGUGCAAUGGAUGAUUUUUGGCUUUUAGCCUUUGGUCUGCAUUUUACAUACAUAUAGACCUACCUUAGUGGCUGUCAUUAUUACUGACAUAAAUCACCCAGCCCUACCCAUCUUUAUUUUUAUUUGUGAAAUAAAAACGAUGGGCAAAAUACUAAUAAAAACGAUGUCGGCGAGGAGGUACGAUGGUGGGAAUGGAGGAGACGUUGGAGUGGGGAGAAAGGAAAAUAAAGGGAAAGGGAAGGGUAAGGGAUUUAGGGAUUGGGGUGGCUCGAAGGGUGGAGGAAAGUAGGAGAGGGCGUGGGUAAUGGAGGAAGAUGACAGUGGCCGGAGAGGUGGAUGAGAAUUGGUUGAUGGUGGCUAAGGUUAAGGGGUUUGGGGGUUAAAAAGGGGGACAUAGUUGUGUAAGGGCCUGUGUUGGGCUACACGGCCGUGUCACACUCCCGUGUGAGGCGUUUUCAGCCCAUGUACAUUUUAAAAAUAUAGGCGCAGUCUUCACACAGCAUCAGACACGUCCGUGUGUCCAGGCCGUGUGGAACACAAUGUCGUGUCAUACAGCUGUGUGCAACGUUCUUCGCUUCUUGAACUACCGUGUGAACUCCCACACACCCAUGUGGCUUGGCCGUGUCUCGCACACUGCCAUGUGUCUUACCCGUGUAACUCUCUGACUUGAUUUUAGAAUGAAAAAAAUUAUCUCCAAGUUUUACACGGCCUAGGGCACGCCCGUGAGCCCAGGUCAUGUGGACUAUUUUAGACCGUGUGACAAUCGAAUUUUGGAAAAUUUAAGUCCCAAGAUCCACACAGCCAAGGACACGCCCGUGUGUCCAAGCCGUGUGGGUCAUAUAGCCAUAUCACCAGGCCAUGUAACUCAUUGUCGAACCAUGUUUUGUGCACAUGGCCUGGGAUACACCCGUGUGUCCUAUCCGUAUGGGUCAGAAACACUUUUUUUAAAAAUUUGAAAAUUAAUUAGUUUUAAAAAUAUCAUGAAAUAAAAUUAUGAAAAUUAGUAGUAUUAACACUCAAGUUGCCUCCCGAGAAGUGCUUAUUUAAAGUCUAAGCUCGACUUACCUUGUAUUCGCACUGUCACAAUGGUUCACGGAGUCGAAACUCCUCUUUCUCGUUAUCAAUUCUAUUACCAAAAUAAGGUUUAAGAUGAGUACUAUUUACCUUAAAUGUGUCAAAUUCAGAAUGAGUUACCUCGACUAUACUGUAUGGGAAAACAUUCAGUACUGUAAAGGGGUUUAAUCUAUUUACAUCAAGCUCCGAAGUGGCAAUUCAAGGAUCCAUUUUAUCUAGCAGUACCUGGUCUCACACCUUAAAUUGGUUCGUUCUAUCUACAUGCUUAUCAUAGUGCCGCUUUGGCUCUUCAUCGUGUUUUCUCGGUUUCCAAUUGACAUGUGUCCGCCAUUCAUCUAGUUCAUCGACUUGUAGCAUUCGUUCUUCAUGAGUCAUUCUAUUUCUGUCCCAUGGACUGGAACAUGGUUCCAUCACGUUUUUCUGAGGUGUUUCCUACAAAGAAGCUUGAGCUACAAGGUUACUCAUAUUAACAGAACUCGUAUAAUCAUCUCGAUCAUUAGAUGUCUUAACAGAAUUAUGAUCUUGAAGUGUAAUCGUUUCGUCACCUACACGAAGUAUUAAUUCACCUGUAUCAACAUCAAUAAUAGUUCUAGUAGAUGCUAAAAAGAGCCGACCCAGAAUCAAAGGUACGUCACUAUCCUUAUCCAUGUUUAAAACAACAAAAUCAAAUAGGAAUAUGAAUUUAUCAAUUUUGACAAGAACAUCUUCAAUAAUACCCCUAGGAAAUCUAAUUGUUCUAUCUGCUAAUUGAAUACUCAUCCUAGUUUGUUUGAGUUUUCCAAGACCUAAUUGCUUAAACAUUUUAUAGGGCAUGACAUUGAUACCGCCCCUAAAUCAGCUAAAACAUUUUAUAGGGCAUGACAUCGAACUUUGGUCGUUGCGAUGAGGCUUGACAGUAUAUUGCAUCGCAACAAGGAACCCCCUCAUGUCACGACGUCAAUCCUAUAUUUUGAAUUAUUUACAAUUUGGUCAUAUUUCUAUCUUAGGUUAGCUUUAGGGCUUUCUUAAGCUCGUGUAAGAUUUAGAUAUGAUUGUAUAUCGUAUUGAAUGAAUGUUUUGGUUGAAUUUAAUCAUAUAAUAGUAUAAAUUGAUUGUAAAUGAUCGUAGUUGCUCCGGCAAUAAAUGUGGCCUCCUAUAACUCAGACUCAACGAUCGAGUCGGGUACAGAGUAUUAGAAUUAUUAUUUUCAAGCUUAAUCUCUCCAAACCCUUAUAAUAAUAACUUGACAUGUACUUAAUAAUUGAAGAAUCUAAAGUGUGGACUAGCUUAAUCAAGUUUAAUUGAUGAUAAAUCUAUGAAAAUUUCAAAGGAAAAAAUUUCUUACCUUUGUUGAUUAUGGACCACAAUUACUUUAUUUGUGUUCUUCCUAAAUUAGGAUGGCAAAAUGGAGAAAGUGAUAUGUUUCUCUCUCCCACUAAUAUUACCUAUUUAUACUUUGAUUAAUAUCUUUAUUAAAUUUAAUUAAACUUUAAUUAAUGCUUAUUGAAUGGUUAAAACCAACUAUUAUUAGUGGCAAUCCAUCCACUCACCAUGAAUUCUUUAUGGUUAAAUAACCAUGAAGCCCCUUAAAGAAUUAUCAUAUAAGUCCUCAUUUAUUUUCUAAAUUAAAACUCAAUAACAAUUAUAUUUUUAUAAUUUAAUCCCUAUACUAUAAUUAACAAUUUUCUCAAUUUAUUAACUCGACCAUUCACUAAUAUAUUUUCAAAUUAAAUACGUAAAUUCUUCUAUUCAUAAUCUCACUGAUUCAAUUUAUGGAAUUCAGUUUGUGAAUUUUCUUUAGAGUUGUUACAAUAUAUGUAAUAGUUGUUUCGACAUUAAAUGAAAUGAUAUAAAACAAUAAAAAUAAGAACAUAAAAAAAUGGUUAAUAUAUGUGGAGGUACUUAAACUUGAAAUUUUAACUUACUUAGUACUUAAAUUUUUUUUCAGACUUAAUUGGUACCUAAACUUAGAAACUGUAAACCAACUUGGUACUCUUUUUAGGUACCUAACUAACACCGUUUAUUUUUACAGACCUAACCAAUCCUUUCAUGCCACGUGCAUUAAAAGAUAAUCAGAUUUUGAAAUGUGUAAUAAAAAAGAUUUAAUUUAAAUUAUUUUAAAAUCAAUAAAUUAAAUUACAUAAAAAAGCUCUUAAUUUAUUUCUUAAUUUUUUCUACCCGCCCCCUUUCUUUCUCCCAAGUCCCUCACCACUCUUAAUUCUGAAACCCCAUAUCAAUAUAUUUUUUGUUGAUUCAACUGGUAUUGGUUCAAUUGUUGAUUCAAUCAGUUUUAAUCGGUUCGGACUAGUCACCCUAUCGAUUCUCAGUCCAACUAAUCCGAUCAAACAGUCCAAUCCAAUUCAAAUAACAUUGAAAAAACACAUAAUUUAAUUAUAAUUAAUAUUUAAAUAUUACAGUCUAAAACAUUUUUUCUCGAAUAUUUAAAAGUAUCCAUCAACAUGUUUUGACAAAGCAAUGAAGAAUUUUUUAUAUUCUUUAAUAAUUUUAAAAAUUUUAAUAAUAUUUACAUGGUUUUAUAAUUUUAUUUUUAGGUAUAAUGACUUAUUUGAUCUUUCAAUUUUAAAAAAAUCAUUUUAGCUACCCAUUUAAUUUUUCAUCUCUUUUAACCUUUAAAUUUGCAUUGUUUAUCAAAUCAUCCUAAAAUGAAUGGUAAAGUUAACGCGUAUUAACUUUGCUGACGUGACAUCAACAUGGCAAUCCACAUGUAUACCAUAUUAGCAAUUAAUUAAUUUUAAAAAAUUUAAAAACAUUAAAAAAUAUUUUAUAAUUUUAUAUUAUUUUUAAUAAUUUUUAAUUUUUAAAAGAAAAAAUAAUUGUUUAUGUGACAUCCGUGUGAAAAUCUAUGUGUAUGUCACAUUAACAAAGUUAACAAAAUUAAAUUUUUCAUCCAUUUUGAAAUAAAUUGACAAACAACACAAAUUUAAAUGUUUUAAAAAAUAAAAUAUUAAAUAAAAAUUUAAAACAUUUUUUAAAUAAAAAACAAAAUAAAUUAUUAUGCUUUUUAAUUAAUUAUUAACGUCGCAUAUAAAAUAAAAUAAUGUCACACCAAUAAUAUAUACAUACAUGUGACAUCCACGUGGGUAAAUUAACAGCAUCAUUAACUUUUAAUAAGAUGGUAUAGUCAACAUUUUAGAUGACGUUACUUAAAAAAAUAAUAUUUUAAUUAAAAAGAGUGGUGACCACACCCCUUUUUCACCUGUACUUUAUAUUUUUAUAUUUUAUAAUUUAAUUUAUUUUUAUAAAAAUAAUUGAGUUGUUUUAUUUUUAUAAUUUUAAAUUUUUAAUAUUUUAUAAGUAUAUAUUUUUUAAUAUUUAGAAUAAUUACCGAGUUGAUAAUGUGUAAACGUUGAAAAUAUAAUGUAUUCUUUUUGAUGACCAAAUACGUUUUAAUAGUGGAGUGACUUAACGAAAGUAACGAAAUUAACUAAAUAAAUUUGAUGACCAAAAUAGGAACUCGCUAAAAAAUUUGAGUGACUAUUUAAAUAGUUUAUCCUAAUAUUUUUAUGUUAAUUUUAUUAAAAUUUAUCAAUUUGUUCAUUAUUUUAAAUAUUCAAAAUUUUAAAAUGAUAAAAAAUAUGAAAAUAAAACAAUUUAACUAUUUUUUAUUAAAUAAAACAAAAUUAUAAGAACUAUAAAAUAUAAAUAUAAAACUAAAAAAUUUAUAAAAAGUAUGUCGCCAAAAUAUUGUUAUUAUUUAUUUAUUAUUAAAAUAUUAUUUUUUAAAUAAAAAUCAUAUUUAUUUUAAAAACAAAAUAAAAAAAUUGUUUAUUUAAAAUAAAAUCACGUGUUUUGUAAAAUAUACAAAAUCUAACGCGCCACCCCACCUUUUUCACAUGUAAUAAUAGUUCACAUGUGAAGACUGCUUUGAGGGAAAGACUUUUUAUUAUUAUAAAUAUAUAUAAAUCCAUCAAUCCCUCCACGUGUGAUUUCACCGUCCACCAACGUUACCACUUUUCUAUAUAAAUCUACUUCCACUCUUCCUCAUUUUCUCAACAAUAUCUCCACUUUCCUUCUCUCCAAACACAAUUCACUAAAGCAAAGACAGCUAGAAGAAGAAGGAAUGGCCGCCUCGGGUAAAUAUAAUUUCCAAUUUUCCCAGUUCUGAAAGAAACCCAUCCAUUUUUUACAUUCAUAUUUUCGAUUUGAUGAUUUGUCACUUUGGGGUGAUCAUGUUUAAUAUUUCUGGGGUUUUGUGCUUGUUUCAGAUAAAGUUCAAGAACUGCAUGUAUAUGAGAUGAAUGAAAGAGAUCGUGGUAGUCCAGCUUACCUUCGUUUAAGUCAGAAACCUGUUAACUCACUUGGUGAUAUUGUCCCUUUUAGCAACAAAGUAAGUUUUUUUUUUCUGAAUUAAUUUAUCGAAUUAACCAAAUAGUUAUUGAUAUAUAUGUAAUUACAGAUAUAUAGGGGAGAUUUGGAGAAACGGAUAGGAAUAACAGCAGGGAUGUGUAUAUUGAUAGAGCAUAAACCCGAACUGAAAGGUGACCGCUACGAAGCCAUCUUCAGCUUUUACUUCGGAGACUACGGUCACAUAGCGGUGCAGGGACCUUACUUGACUUACCAGGACUCGUAUCUCGCUAUUACUGGUGGAUCUGGCAUUUUUGAAGGUGUCUCUGGUCAGGUCAAGCUCCACCAAAUCGUCUUCCCCUUUAAGAUUUUCUACACUUUCUAUUUGAAGGGAAUUGGUGAACUCCCAGAAGAGCUGCUUUGCAAGCCGGUUGACCCACACCCAG
RNAcentral lists this long non-coding RNA (96399 nucleotides) under Gossypium barbadense (sea-island cotton). Its description in RNAcentral is "long non-coding RNA (GBAR_LNC018268)". The stretch from base 24850 to 24994 matches the Rfam family "MIR7502 microRNA precursor family". Lineage: Eukaryota; Viridiplantae; Streptophyta; Magnoliopsida; Malvales; Malvaceae. The record is from RNAcentral.